RNAcentral lists this long non-coding RNA (114501 nucleotides) under Solanum tuberosum (potato). RNAcentral's name for it is "long non-coding RNA (STUB_LNC002915)". Lineage: Eukaryota; Viridiplantae; Streptophyta; Magnoliopsida; Solanales; Solanaceae. The record is from RNAcentral.
UUUUUUUAAAAGUCAAAUUAAAAAUGGAUACUUGUCCAUAUUAAUAAGGUUUUCAUACUUCUUUUUCAUCUCUUACACGCGUACCACCUCAGCAUCAAAGGGUAUAUUUAUUACUCAUUAAAGUAGUUUAGGAAGGUAUAGGACACUCAUAUAGUUAAAGUGUGUCGUAGAUAUUUCACCUACAAUUAAAGGGGUACUUAUGUCUUGUGUCUAAGUUGAACAAAUAAAAAUUGUUAUUCAUCUAAAAAUGUGUCAUUUAUUUCUAUUAUUAAUUAAAGGGUUUAGGGGCGUCACGCCAAAUACCUAGAUAAAUAUGCCAAAUACCAACAAUGAUGAUGAUGGUACUUACAAAACUUAGCAAAAAAUGUAAAGGGAAGAUACAAUAAGGUAUUAAAAUAGAAUAUGAUAAGAUUGAACGGACUAAUAGGAUAUAUUAAUUGUUUUAAUAGCGCAUUGAACUUAGUAUUGAGUUGAUGUAGAUAGGGCAAACUUAAGUUAUAAGAUUUUCAUAGUCGAAUAAGAACUUUUGAUUAAUGUUACAAAUACAAAAUUAUUCCUUGAAGUGAAUGUGCCAAUAUUUAACAAAAAUUAUUGUUGAUAGUAUUAACCCAGCUACAAUGGCUACUGUUACAUUGAUAUCAAGGAAGAAGGAAGAAGGAAUCAGAAGGUAAAAUGGAGAAUUUGUGAAACUGUAUUAUUUCUUCAUACAAUCCAACUAUCGCUAUUUAUACAUGUCAUCCACUAACUAUACACGUGACUAACUAAUUAUACUGCCAGCUAAUCUAAUUUAACAGAUUCUAUUAUUAAUCUGUGUAUACAUACUAAGCUAGCUAACAACUUAAUACAAUUGUCACUAAUUUCUACAAUUAUAAAUAUGAAUGUUCUCUUAGUUGUGAAAAAUAUCACGACUUACCUCUAUAAGAGGUAGAAUAAUUAAGAAGAAUUCUAAAUAUUCUAUGUUUUACUUCCGAAGUAGUAAAAGUAAAUUUAAAACUGACUUUUAAAGUAGUAAACACUCUAAAUUUUACUCUCGAAGUAAUGAAUAUGGAAUUUACUCUUUAAAUAACAAAUAUUCUUAAAUUUACCUUCGACGUAGUAAGACUUUGAAAUUUCCUCCCGAUGUAGUAGAACUUUAGAUUUUACUCCCAAAGUUGUAAAACUUUAAUUUUGAUUCACGAAGUAGAAAUUUUGAUUUUUACUCCUAAAGUGAUAAAACUUUAGACUUUACUUUUGAAGUGGUAGAAUUUUAAAAUUUACUCCUGGAGUAGUAAAAUUAAAAAAUUUACUUUCAAAGUGAUAAAUUUUAAUUUUUACUCCCAAAAAUGGUAAAACUUUAAACUUUACUCUCGAAGUAGUACAAUUUUAAAAUUUACUUCUAAACUUGUCAAACUUUGAUUUUUACUCCAAAAAUGGUAAAACUUUAAACUUUAUUUCUAAAGUAGUAGAACUUCAUAAAAUUUACUCCUGAAAAAGAAAAGUGUGAAUUACAUGGGGAUUUUUCUAGGGAUUAGUAUGAAAAUUCGCAGGAAAAUUAUUUUCCUGAAUUGAGAUGUAGGAUGUGAGGAUGAACUAGUCCAACUCUAUGAAUAGCCUUACAUAUCUGGAAGAACUAAGUUCUUUGGCCAAAUUGAAGAAACUUGAAGAACGCUUGAGCCCUAGAUUUUCUCCUCUCAGAACCUUGCUUUAAUGUCUUGAAGUGUUAAUCAAUGUAAAAGAAUUGAUUAACACUUUCUAAGCCCUUAAUUUGGUGUGAAAUGACGUAGUUUAGGCUUAUAAUAAGAGUUAAAAUGGCGUAGUUUAAGUACCAAAUACAUAGGAGAAAGACUAAAACGACCCAACUUUUAAAACUGAAAAGGCACCUAAAAAGGGCAGUUUCACAGGCCGUUUAAUGCUUCACGGCCCGUCUAGUGGGUCGUUAAGUUGCACCUGCCUGACAGUGCUUCACUAAAAUGAGCAUAACUUUUUACUCCAAACAUCAAAUGAGGCAAACUUGAUGACGUUGGAAAGGGGACUCAAAGACCUUUAAUUUGAUAGGUAAUGCGCCACCUAAUUCAUUUUGUUCUAAGAGAUAUGAUUGUUUGAAGUUGAGACAAAACUCAAGAUCUGAUGGGUGACUUGUACAGACCACUAAACACAUCAUACAAGUCAACACGAGCUGUUUAGUGGCUUGUCUAGGUGACCUUCACCUUGGCUGCCUUGGGCAGUCCUUCACGAUGCCCAAAAUGAGUCGUGAACCCUUAAACAAGCCAUCUAGGGUGCCGUGAAGGGUCCAUGGUCCAGUUUGGGUUUGUGGACUUGCCCGUUUCCCUUCUUUAGCACUUUUCGAAGUCCGGUGUGUUACAAAAAGAUUCAAAUUUUAAGAGUAGAGUUGCGAGGUGUUAUAAGAUGAUUCAAGUCUUAGCUUAAAAUUUUUUCGGUGUGUUACAAAAGUAAUGAAUGGCGUAUGUCAAGCACAUUUAAAAAUUAGAUUUUAUUCCCCGAAACGAAUGAAGAUAUACCACAACUUACCCUUUAGAGAGAUAGAAUAACAAAGAGUAUACAUGUCGUAUUUGUGAUAUAAAAAGUCAACUCAAUACGUACAAGUCAUACUUAGAAACAUCUUGAAUAAUUUUAAUAAGUAUCAACGCAAUACGUGCAAGUCAUACGUAGAAACAUCUUGAAUAAUUUUAAUAAGUAUCACUUUGAGGCAAAAUGAAGAAGAGUACAAUAUUUUAUACCAUAACCUCAUUGGUACAUUAUGAUUAAUUGUUACUGAUUUCCUCGACGGAAAUAACAAUUAAAGUAUCUUUUCCCGAAAGAUACAAAAUUGUGAAAUUAUCUUUGUGAUACAAAAUAUUCAGAUCUGUUAACGGCAAAUCUCCCUGAAGGACUCUACUUAACUUUCUAUUUUUACUAACAUCUUUCAUGUUGUUGUGCAAUUUAAUAUCUUGAAUUGGAACUCUUGAAGAGUUUUCAAAAGCAAUAGAUAUGACCAAGUGAAAGAAGUUGAAAUGAAAAACUUGUAGAAUUCGACUGGUCCUUGUAACGACUCUACCGGUCGUUAUUGGUAAGCUAAUUGUAAGAGAAAUUGGGUGAGAAAACUUUUGGAUUGAGAAAUUCAAAAUUUCAGGCUAGGAUUGGAUGAAAUCUGAGCGAGGUGAAGUCUAGGAUAAUCCAAGAAAGAAUUGGUAAAAUGUCUAAGUUUGAGUUGAGUUACCUUUUAUCUAAGACGUUAAGGAGUUUGUAUGACUUUUCAUAAUUGAAUUCGGGCAAGUAAAUCUCCCGAUAUCUAAGUUGGUGUGAAGGGGUUGGUUUGGAACAUCAAAAUUUAAAGGUAUGUUGCGAAAUAGGCCAAAAUAAGAGGAUCUCCAAGUUUUUGUCCAUGCUUUGGAUAUAAUCUACCGAAAAAUGUGUACAAUUACAUAGAGAAAAAGAAUCCUAUAUGUUUUGGACUAUGGUAUUACACCCCAAAAAAUGUGUAGAGUUACUUGGAGAAAAAGAAUGUGUUAUUUUGGACUAUGAUUUUACACCCCAAAAACGUGGUUAUAUAUAAGAUCUGGACUAUGGUUCUACACUAUAACACCUCAAAAAUUGGUAAGUGAGUUGGAAGCUGAAAAGUUGUAGAAAAGUUACUGGUGCCAGUUUGAAUGAGACCACCUAUGGUCCGUGAUGGUGGUCGUAGAAGCUGAGUUGGAAAAUUGAAAAUGUCAACUCCCACAUGAGUACCUACGGACCAAUAGGACGGUCUAUAUGAAGUUGUACGGUUGUAGAUCAGGGCCCGUAGAAGAGAUAUAGACUUAGAAAAAAAUUGAUGAACCUUGGAUCUACAAUUGGGACUAAAGACCGUACAAAGUCUUAUGGUCCGUUACCCAGGGCUCGUAGAAAAGAGAGUGGACUUAAGGGAUUUUUUGACAAUGAGUUGCAUGGAAGAGACCUAUGUGUCGUAGGUCGUUCAACAUGUCGUAAACCCUGGCUCAUGGAAUUUGGUUUAGAAGUUGGUCUCUAGUAGUCUUUCUAUGGUACACCAAUACAGUAUGUAGAAGCCUGUAUAGACCAUACAUGGUGCUCAUAGAAGUGAUCCUGUUGUUUUUAAGUGGGGUUGGUUCAAUUUCUUUCCACCCAUUUUAAGUCUAAACCCCCACGUUUUUACACCUAAUUAAGGUUAUCAUCGGUGUAGUUUGACCUUAAAGCUCUCAUAAACACUUCUAUGACUUGGAGCAAGGAUCCAAGCGGAGAAAGCUAGGUUUUUUGAGUUCUAAUUUCUUAAUUAUGAGAUUAUGAUACUUUAUGCAUUUAGAUACUUGCAUUGUUGUUCAUGCUUAUAUUUUUACAUGAAUCCUAGUUGAUGAGAUUUUGUUGAAAGUAGUUGUGCUAUUAUUUCCUUACAUUGAUUUUGGAAUUUAAAGAGAGUCCAAGAGUAAUUUAAAGCAGCAUUGAGAGGAGUUUUAAAGGAACUUUAAUGAUCCCAAAUGUAUAAUUUUUACAUUUAGAAAGGAAGUAUUAUUUCCAGAAAAGCAUAAAAAGUUUUCAAAAGCAUUUCAGAUAGAUAAAGUAAAGUUAAGUUAUCCCUUAAAGAGGGUCUUUUGAGUAUCAAUGAGUAUUUUAUAUGAGCAUACAUAUUUAUAUAUUGGGAGUAGUAUUGAAUACUGAUUUGGAGUAAAAAUUAAGAUAACUUAAACUCCAUAACCUACGCCGCCAGUGCAGAUAUGUUUGUACCACAAUACGGGCUACUCCUCACCUACCUCAAGAAGGAUUUAAGUGGAUCCAUAAGUUAAAGUUGCGUUCUAUACUCCGGCAAAGUAUAGGGAGACUCUGUCAACGUGAGUAAUACGUUGUAAUAUCACGAGGCUCAUAGUGAUAAUUUUCGGUUAGAGAAAUUCCCUAUAAAGUAAAGUAUUUAUAUUUUAGUAUUUGUUAUCAUUGCAUCUUAUAGUGUAAAGUGAAAUGAUUUUUCUUCACGUGAAUGCUUUACUUCAAUUGAGUUACUUCAGUCCUUUAGCUUAGUUAUUUGUUUCAUUCAACUUUAUUACAUACGGUAAAUUUCAUGUACUAUGUCAUCCGAUCGAUGUUGCGUCAUCUCAUGAUGCAGAUACAUGUAUUUAGUAUCAUCAAUAGGCAUUUCGUUGAGAUCACAUCACUACUCGUAAGCUUUUGGUGAGUCUAUCUUGCUUUUCAGAGGACUCCCAUUUUUUAUUCCUUUAGUAGUUUGAUUAAAGUUAUCGUGGGUCUUGUCUCGACACCUAUCUUUCAACAGUAGAGGCUUUAUAGAAAGGGAAUUUUGAGAGUCUUUCAGUAUUCAGUUUCAAACAUUUUGCUAAACUUUUAUCAUUUAUAUCAAAUAUUUUCAAACAGCUUUAAGAUUCCGUCACUUGUUUUAAAUGAUUUUCUUCAAUUUUAAGCUUAUGUAUGCUUGAGUUAGUCUUCCGCUAAGUAGUAAGCUAGACCAAAAAUUUCUUGGGGGUCAACAAUGAUUUUCGAGUACCGGCCACGUCCAGGAUAUAGGCUUAGGGAGUGACAUACAACCCAAAACGUGGUUAUACAUACGAUCUUUUUUUAACCAUAAUAGACAUACUUAUCUAAGUAGGAAUACUUUCCCACACUAGUAUUAUCCACUCAAUUGAUUAAGUAGGCUAUAACAUAAGAAUGUGGACCUGGAUAGAGGUGUUAUUCAACAACCACCUAAAUACGCCCUCUUUCUCAAGAAUACAUGAUAAACAUGCACAAUCAAUUAAGGGCUCAUCAACUAGUAGAGUUAAUCACGUUGUUGAACAAGUAGAGAAAAAUAAUGGCAAACUUACUAAACAUAAUGUAAGUCAUAUUUCAAAAGGUUCCAUCACACACCCUAGAUAGAAAUUUAGCUACUCAUAAUAGUAUGAAGAAAUUCAAUGAUAGAACCCAUGACAACAGAAAUUAAGAAGAAAUACGAAAAAAUGUGAGGUGAAUCUAUCUCUUAUCUCCAAGAGUGUUCUUGUCUCCAAAUAUCCGACGUCCCUUUUCAGCAGUCAUUUACUAGGGUAUUUAUAGGACCAGAUGUGUAGGAAUCAAAUAACCUAAUCCAAACUCGCUAGGAUAAUUUUCUUAGCUCAUCUGAAUUCUCACUUCACGAGGAUCACAAGUGAGCUCUAAAUUAUCUCUUGCUUCUAGGCUCGCUUGGUUGUCUAAUGAAGCAAGGAUAUUGAGUGAAUUCGGCCGAGAGCGAGGAUAUUGAGUGAAUUCGGCCUUGCUCCAAUCAUCAUUCCUUUACUUCAAAUCCAACCAAUAUCACCUUUUUUUUGUGUUCAUCUGACAUACUUCCCACACACAUAAAACUCAUAAUAAUCUCAAAAUAUAUGAGAUAAUGAUGUGACAAUACAAUUAUGAUCAAGAUAUAUGAGGUGAUAAUGUACUAGAAAUAUCCACUUUUAGCUAAAUAUCAAGCACACAUAAUAGUGAGGUGAAAAUGGUAAGAUUGUUGCAAACUCAAUUCAUUGCUCUAUAUUGAUGUGUAUGUCAUAUUUUCACCAUUCACCAUAACUUGUAUUAUCAUAAUUACCUUUCAUGACUAAUUUGAUUGUCAUGAAAGGUAAAAACCUACUCGGGAACAUGGAGUUUUAAUUAGGAUGAGGAUGAUAAUUGAUGAGUUUAGUAUGUAAACAAUAACAAAAAGAAAGAACAAAUGUGUUUUUCAUAUAUGAGCAAUUAUCAAAAGUUUUAAAUUAAUAGUAAGUUGUGUACUUGUUACGUAUCCUUAGACUUCCUCUGGUUCUUGAUAGAUAUCAAAAGAUCUCUUUAUAUAGUUAUUGAUCCUUUUUUUCCAAAUAAAGAUAGAUCUAUUCCUAUUUUACUUUACCUUCUUUUGCUCCCUUUUCUAUUUACCUUUUCUCUUGUCCACAAUUUUCAUAUUUCUUAUGCUUUGUGAGGCAUUUAUUGUGUUCUCUUUUUGUACAUUGCGAUUAUAGUGGUGACUAUAUAGUCAUUGGAUAUCGAUUUUUUUAUUUUUUUUCUAUGGACAAGUAAGAUAUCAUCCUAACCAGUUACUUACUUUAUUUAUCACUUUCUAGUGAUAACAAUGAGCCCGAUUUGGACUUUAUGAUUCACAGUAAUUAGUGAAUCUGCUUUGGUCAUUAUCUCUCUAUCUAGUUUUUUUUCACAAAGAAUAAUAUUUUCUUAUCCUUUUAUUUUCUAUCAUUCUAUUGACGUGAAAUUUAAUUCCUUAUUAGGCAAUAGUAAAAACAUAAAAUAAAAUAAAAUCAAAACAUCAACAUAAAUAAAAGACAAAUGUUUCAACAAACAUAAAAUGACAACAAAACAAAACAUCAAACAUAACACGACAACAAAACAAAACAAACCAACAAAUAUAACACAAUAAUAAAACAAAACAACAAACUAAAGUUGCUUAAGAUCUAAAGCCUGAGCUCUAAGUCAAGCUCCUCCUGAUCAUCAACAUUGGUGUUCUCGACCAAUUGAUUAGGACGGUUGGCAAACAAGUUUUGAUCUUGAAUAAGUAGAGGAGCGAUACGUGCAUAUGCAACAACAUGAGGCACCUGAAGCACCAUGGCUUGUUGUGGUUGAUACAAAACCGCCCGUGGGCGUCCAGGCAGUCUUCGAGGCCCGUACACCAUUGGAUUACGGAGACGGUAAAACCUUCCUUGGCCCCGUAACACUGUUGGUGUUGACUUUCGUGUACCCAAUUGUCGAUAGAGGUUGGGGAGUCCAGCAGAUGGACAAAAAAACUUCUCAUGAGGAGCACCUCUUAUCCAAGUCCCCUGAGAUUUGUGCUUACGUUGGUGCCCAGCGAGCCCUUGGCUCGAAGUGAACACAUCGCGACAAGUAGUACACCUGUAACACCAAAUUCCUUUAGGAUUUGGUAUGAUGCCUUGGUGAGCUAUUCCACUUGUUGGUGGUUGUUGUUGCAUUUUUCUUAAAAGGAAUUUUUUUGUUUAAGAAUUUGAGAAAUGAUUUAGUGAGGAAAUAGAAAAAAAUUCCAUUGGAAUUUAUAGGAGCAACAUUUAUGAUAAACUUAUUGCAAUGCCUGAACAACCAGUUAAAUGUAUUAAUUAUAAAUGUAUUAAUUAUAGAUAAUGGGUAAUUCUAGAUAUUUCAUAUAAAAUAACUCAGUUUUGACUUGUUUUUAGAUUUUUUAAAUCCCAAAUGUAACAGUUUUCCCGCUUCCUCUUCUUUUUCUCUCUUUUGCUUAUUAGACUCAACCAAAAUAUCAAAAUUUCAAAUAAAAUUUCUUACUUUUUCGCAUUGAUUAUUGUUUUCUAUUUUUGAAAGAAAGAUGAGUUUUUUAGAAUAUGUACAUAAGAUAAUAAAUAUAACAUUAUAUAUCAUUUCCCUUCUUUAAUAAAGGAAAAAAGCAUUUAAUUUUACUAACUUUAUAUUUAUUUCUGAAAAUCAGCACGAAUUCAAACAAAAUUCUAGAAAAAUCAAUGCUAGAUAAGAAUAUGAGCAAAUGCACGCAGAAAAAAACUAAAAAGUUUAAAUUGAAUUUUGUGUCACAUUUUUUUAUUUGUGAGUAGUUAUUCUUAAAAAUGAAUAAAAAAUUGUUAUUCGUCUAAAAAAUAUCAUUUAUUUCUAUUAAGGAAUUAGGGGUGUUUACUAUUCUUUCAAAUUGAUUUUCACUAGGGAGAAAACUAAAUGAAAUCUAUUUAAACACACAAACCAAAAAAUCAAUCAAAUCAAACUUUUCCUUAUUUGAAUUUCUUACUUUUUAAUUUUCACUCGAAAUAUGAAUUCAUUAAUUCAGUCAAACAAAAACUACAGGUAAAAUUAAUUAUAAUAUAGAAAAUUAUUUUUCCACGCUUCUACCAAAGCAAAGAAAUAUUUCUACGAUAUCAAAGACCCGAAUAGUUUUAGUUUUUGUUUGUAAGGGAACAUUUAAAAAUAAUUUAUCCUGCAUGACAUCUGACAUGUCAAUUUCGUAUCCUACGUUGAGUCUUAUGUGUAUAAUGCCACGUAGGACACAUGUGUCUACUUGUUCAAUCUUAUACUAGUUUAAGUGUCUGCUGGUGCACACCCAAAAUUGGAGGAUAUAGAUGCCAUCUGAAGCAAGUUAAAAAGUAUAUUUAUGUAUUAUGCCUAAUUAAUAACAAGUCGUGCACUCAUUACACCUCAUUAGACAUUCUCUAGUUCUUGAUAGGUUAAAUGAUCUUUUCUCCUUUUAAAGAGAUCUUUGUUUCAAUUUUCUUUUACUUUUUGAGGUAUCCAAUAUCAAUUUUAUACUUUUUUCUAUGGACAAGUACGAGAUAUUCCUAAUCUAUUGCUUAUUUUAUUCAUUAAUUUUUGGUGAUAGCACUGAGUUCGAUCCGACCUUUAUGAUUCACAGUAAUUGGUGAAUCUACUUUUAUCAUUAUCUCUAUGACUAAUUUUUGCACGAAGUAUAAUAUAUUUUUUACCUUUUUAUUUUCUAUGCUUCCAUUGAAGUUGGAUUUAUUUUUUUAUUUGACUAUUGUAAAGAUAUAAAAUGGACUUGGAACAUAAACUUCAGCAAAAGACAACUGUUGCAAUAAACAUAAGCCGACAACAAAACAAAACAAUACAUUAAAGUUAACUAAGAGCUAAAGCCUAAGUUUUAAGUCAAGCUCCUCCUUAUCGACAAUACUAAUACUCCCAAUUGAUGAAUUGAUUGAAUUAACAAGGUCAGGGGCCAAUGCAAUAUUUAGAUUUGAGUGGAUCCCAUAUGAAAUCAUUUGAUUAAGAUAACGGCAAACAAGUCCACCUCCUGAAUAAGAAAAUUCUAUGGAACCGACUUUUCUUUCUUAAAGGAAAACUAACCAAAACAUUUUCUCAUACUUUAUUUAUUUUGAAUAUAAAGGUGGUAUGUCCAGCUAACUUCAUAUAUUUCAGUUCCAUCCAUCUGAGUAAUUUUUCAGCAAGAUUACUAAGCUCAUUUCUGGAAGGCUCAACCCUAUGCUACCUCUUAUGUUCUCUGAGAAACAAAGUGAUUUCUUGAAGGAUAAAUUUAUUACAGAAAAUGCCUAGCUAGCUUAGGAGAUUGUCCAGAAUAUCAAAAGUAAGAAUUAAGGACAUAAUUUGGUUUUGAAACUUGAUAUGGUAAAUGUAUAUGAUAGAAUGUCUUCACCUUUCCUUAUUGUUUUAUUUAGAGAAUUUAAAUUUCCUACUACAGUUACCAUCAUGAUAAAGGGCAUUAUUUUCAAGGCAUAAUAUAUAAAUAUGUUCUUUAACUUGGCAUCUACUCAUAUUUAUGCCCUUCAACUUUGGGUGUACAGAAAUAGACACUUAAACUUGUAUAAAGUUGAAUAAAUAGAUACAUACAUCUUACGUGACAUCCUACCUGACAAUUUGAGUCCUACGUGUAUUAUGUCAUGUAGGAUUCAUGUGUUUACUUGUUAAACUUGUAUAAAGUUGAAUAAAUAGAUACAUACAUCUUACGUGACAUCCUACCUGACAAUUUGAGUCCUACGUGUAUUAUGUCAUGUAGGAUUCAUGUGUUUACUUGUUAAACUUGUAUAAAGUUGAACAAACAGACACACGAGUCCUAUGUAACAUAGUACACAUAAGACACCACGUAGGCCAUAAAUUACCACGUAUGAUGCUGUGAAGCCCCGCUUAAGAUUAGAAGCCACACAUCGGCAAAACACAAGAGAAAUGUUGGGUAUACAAGUAAGUGGACCUUACCAACUAGUGACACGUUUUAAAGUCAUGGGGCCUAGGCCCAAAGCGGACAAUAUCACUAGUCGGUUGAGCCGUUACAAAUGGUAUCAAAGCCACUCAUGUGUCAGCCUUGUCGAUGUGAGCCAGAGUUCAACUGAGUUCAGGAAAAUCACGAUAAGGCAGGUCAAACCUUAGUGUUGAGUCUAGGCAAAUCUCAUUCGGUGGAGCAAACCUCAGCGUGGACACUGAGUUUAUAGAGGGGGUGUAUGUGACGCCCCAACUUGAGAUUAGAAGUUCCACAUCAACAAAAGACAGGAGAGAUGUUGGGUAUAUAAGUAAGCAAGCCUGACCAACUAGUGAUGCGUUUUAAAGUCGUGCGGGCCUACGCCCAAAGCGGACAUUAUCACUUGCGGGUUGGGCCGUUAUAGAUGCUACGUAGGACGUGUGUAUCUAUUUGUUCAACUUUAUACAAGUUUAAGUAUCUACUUGUUCAUCCUGAAAGUUGAAGAGCAUAAAUGUGAAAUAAAAUCAAGUUAAAGAACAUAUUUAGUCCGUCAUGCGUUCCUCCCACUUGGGGCCCGCUAUGCCAAAAGCGAGAGAAACCUCUGCCUUAUUAUGCAUAUAAUAUAAACAAAUUCCAUAUUUUUUUUAUAUUCCAAAUUCGAAGUCCCAAAUCUGACACAUUUGUUUUGUUCCAACAAUUCAAAUUCUAAUUUACCUAUAUAAAUAUUAGUAUGAUUUAUGCCCACGGCCAUUGGAUUGUUUUUCUCACAACUAUAAUAUAAAAAACAAAGGUGUUAUGUGUCAAUUUUCAUGAUAAAGGGACCAAAGUAAAAUAUCAUGGAAGUUCAUAUUCUUGAAAUUAGACCAAAAAUCCAAGAAAACUCUUGAGCACAAAUCAGCACUACACAGUGUGUGUGAAAAUGGGGAGAUGUCUUCUUUCAUCCACAAUUUCUUCUUUGAGAAUUUGUCAGUUACCCAGAAUUCGUCUUCCUGCAUUUCCCAAGAGUUGUAGCACAAACUCACAAUAUGGGUUUUGUACAAGUUUGUCCACUAGUGGGGGAUUUUGUACCAAGGCUGCUUUAUCGGAGGUGGGUAUCAAGAAAGAGUACUCAAAGAUUGCUGCUGAUUCAACCGGAAGUAUCCCCUCCAGUGAGCUACUCCAAGUGGUUGAAGCUGCAGCCAAGACUGGUGCUCAGGUUUGGCCCCCUUUCUUAAUCUGGUUUUAUUUCUAUGUUCUUGGCAAUUUUCUGCUUAAAGAUUGAAUUUUGAGUUCUUGUUUACAAUGGAUUAUUUUUUGAAUUAGGGUACCCUUUGUUCUGUUGAGCUAUUAGAGACAGGGAACUGGUUACCUAGAGGAUAAGUUGGAUUCUUAAGAAUAUGAUGUUAAGCUUCAUUGAGGAGUUUGGAUGUUGGAGAAAGAUAAAUACUCCAUCCGUUCACUUUUACUUGUCCACUUUGAAUUUUGCAUGCCUCUUAAGAAACAACGUUUAAUAGGAUAUUAAUUAGUCUUGUGUCACAACAACUAGCUUUUAUUAAAGGGAGACAGAUAAUGGAUGCUGUCCUCAUAGCUAAUGAAGUUGUAGAUUCCAGGUUGGUCUCAAAAAAACCAGGAAUUCUAUGCAAAUUAGACAUUGAGAAAGCAUAGGACCAUGUCAAUUGGGACUUUCUUAUGGGUAUGCUAGAGAAGAUGGGAUUUGGUCUCAAAUGGAGACAGUGGGUUAAAUUUUGCAUAUCUUCAGCGAACUUCUCAGUAUUGGUAAAUGGCUCUCCCGCAGGAUUUUUUAGGUCACAGAGAGGUCUUAGGCAGGGUGAUCCCGAUCACCCUGCCUUUUCAUACUAGUCAUGGAGGGACUCAACAAUAUGAUCAAGAAUGCAUGCAAUGAAGGAUGGCUGAGAGGUUUUGAAGUUGCUAGAGCUGGAAGGGAAAGUCUAGAGAUCACUCAUUUACUAUAUGCAGAUGACACCCUAAUUUUUUGUGAUGCUGAGAAAGACCACCUUAAAAUAUUGAGACUGAUUCUAGUAUUUUGAAGCUAUGUCUGGGCUACAUGUCAACUGGAGGAAAAGCUUCUUGUAUCUAGUAAAUGAAGUACCAAACAUGGAAAUUUUGAAGUCAAUAUUGGGAGGUGAAGUGGGUGUCCUCCCAACCACAUACUUGGGUAUGCCUUUUGGGGGAAAAAUCCAACUCUAUGGAAAUCUGGGAUAGAGUGAUUGAGAAGUGUGAGAAGAGGCUAGCAAGGUGGAAGUCUCAGUACCUUUCACUAGGGGGAAGACUAACUUUGAUUAAUUUUGUGCUUGAUGCACUUCCAACAUAUAUGAUGUCAUUAUUUCCUAUCCCACCGGGAAUCAUCAAUAGGUUGGAUAGCAUCAGGAGAAAAUUUUUAUGGCAAGGGAACAAGGAAAGGAGAGGAUAUCACUUAGUGAAAUGGAAAACUGUGAUCACCGAAAAGAGAGUUGGGGGUCUGGGGAUCAAGAACAUGAAGAACCAGAGUAAAGCUUUGAGGAUGAAGUGGCUUUGGAAGUACUCAAAUGAUAAUCAGAAUCUGUGGGGCUCAGUCAUAAAGGCUAAAUAUGAAGAGAGUAAUAGUUGGAUGACAAAGGAGGUUACCACCCCUUAUGGUGUUAGCUUAUGGAAAUCCAUUAGAGAACUUUGGAAUGAAUUCAAACCUAACACCAAGAUCAAAGUGGUAGAUGGCAUAAAAACUAGGUUUUGGAAGGAUGAUUGGCAUGCAGAAGGAAAUAUGGAGACUCUCUUCCCUGACAUCCACAAUUUAGUUCUUCAGCAACAAAGUACUAUAGCUGACUUAUGGACUCCUCAAGGGUGGAAUUUUGUAUUUAGAAGACACCUCAAUGACUGAGAAAUUCCAAGAGUAACAGAAUUUUUUAGAAGCAUUGAUCAAUUUAGUGGUCUGGAAAUAGGGCGAGACAGAUUGCAGUGGUUGGGAAACAGUAAAGGGAUUUUUAAAGUAGGUGCAGUGUACAAGAAGUUGAAUCAUCCAAAUCUGCAGCUACUCAAGUGGCCCUGGAAACAUAUAUGGAAAGCCAAGAUCCCCUACAAGGUGUCUUGCUUUGUGUGGUUAUUGGCUAAAGAAGCAGUAUUGACACAGGAGAAUUUAAUGAAGAGGGGAAUUACACAGAAACAGUCAAUCAUUUGUUUAUCCAAUGCGAAGUCACUGGCCAGUUGUGGAAUUUGUUCCUGAGACGUAAAAGCAUCUCCUGGUCCAUGCCUGGGAGAAUUUCAGAGGCUCUAUUUAGCUGGGAAGAAGCAGGGACACAAGCAAAAAACAGAAGUAACUGGAGAAUUGUCCCUGCCACUAUUUGGUGGACAAUAUGGAAAGAGAGGAACUUUAGAGUUUUUGAGAAUAGGGAGAGUAGUAUGCAACAAGUUAAACUGAAUUGCAUUUCGACUCUGUGUUUUUGGUGUAAUCAAAUUUACUCUAAUGAUACCGUCUCUAUCAUUGAUGUCUUAGACUCAUUAUAGGGAUAGGUCGGUAUUAUUAGAGUUUCCUUAUGUAAAUACGGGUUUCAGUACAUCCUAUGUACUGUUCUGCAAAAAUAGAAACAAUUACCAUUUUCAAAAAAAAAUAAAAAAUAAUUUGGGGAAUAAAUGAUUAAUGUUGAGGGUAAAACAUAAUAAAAAAAAAGUUCUUCCGUUGAUAUGCUAAAAGUGUCAAGUAAAAGUGAAAAUGUAAUUUUAGUACCGUGGACAAGUAAAAAUGAAUCGAGGGAAUACAACCCAUUACUCUGUGGGUGAUAUUUUCACCAUUCCCCACACAUUGUAUUAUCAUUACCUUUCACUAAUUUGAUAGUGAGGAAAGGGAAAUACCUGCUUGAGGGGUGGGGGGCUAGGAUGGGGUUGAUAAUUGGUAAGUUUAGUAAUCAAUGAGCAAAAAAAUGUGUAGAAAUAUAUACAUAACAUAGGUGUUUUUCAUAUAUUAGCAGUUAUCAAAGGAUCUUAUGUACUACAUAGUAAGCUUCGUAUUCAUUAUGUAUCUUUAGAUUUCCUCUAGGUCUUGAUAGCUUUCUCGUGAAUUUAUGAUUAUUAUUUUUUUCUUCAAAAAUUUCUGUUCCAAUUUUCUCUUAUCUUCUUUUUACCCCCUUUUCUAUUUACAUUUUUUUUUUUUUGAUUUGCACCGGGUGUCCGAGUCUCUUUGAGCCCCGACUAAUCCCGGGGGUGCACAGGCCCUCGGCAAGGAGUUUCCCGCAAGUGCACCACGGUUAAUUCAGGUUUUACCCAGUCCGAUGGCCCUCAGAAAUUGUUUGCACCCAGUGGGUUUCGAACUUGAGACCUUGAAAGGGAGCAAACCCCAAGGCUCAAGUCAAUUGCCAGCAUUUUUUUCUUAGACAUAACUAUUAUGAUCUUUACUUUUGAGUAUACACAAAUAGACAAUUAAAAUUUGUAUAAAAUUGAACAUAGACAUAUCUGUCAUUUAUGACUUCCUACAUGACAAUUUUGCAUCCUACGUGUAUUAUGUCAUGUAGGACACAUGUAUUACUUGUUCAAUUUUAUACAAAUUUAAGUAUCUACUUGUGCACACCCAAAAUCGAAGGACAUAGAUGUCAGUUAAAGCCAAGUUAAAAGGCAUAUGAUUAAAAAAUAGUGUAAAAAUAUUAAGUAAAGUUGAUAUAACUCUAAGGCAUAAUACAUCUAUUUACAUUUUAUUUUGGCCUCAAUCAUCAUAUUCCUUGUGUUUUCUGAGGUAUCCUCUAUCUUCUCUUCUCGUACAUUGAGAUUUUAGUGCUGACUAUGGUCAUGGAAUAUCGAUGUCUUACUUUUCUUUCUAUGGACAAAUUAGGGAUCAUCAAUUUCCUUUUUCAUUACUUCUAUAUCCCAUCUGCAUCUAGAAUUUAAAUAAUCUCUCUGGCUCCCAAUCUAUUACUUUGUUUCUCAUUUUUCUCAUUUUCAUUUUAGGUUGUAAUGGAUGCUGUGAAUAAGCCCCGAAAUGUUACCUAUAAAGGGCUCACUGACCUAGUGACCGAGUAAGACUUUGUAUUACUUCCCUUUGGUGGUGGUUAUUUUUUUGUAUCAGAAUUGACAUAGUGCUUCUGUUUCUUUUCUUCUACGCUGAUGAUCAGUGACAUAUUGUUCCUAAUAGAUUUUUCAUUCUUGUUGCAGUAUUGUUUCUCAAUUUCUGGUGAUGACACUGAGCACUGUAUUGUUCACUGUAAUUAGUGAAUCUACUUCUAUCACUAUCACUAUGUCUAGUUUUGUAGCAAAGAAUAUUUCUUUCCUUUUUAUUUUCUAUGCUUUCAUUGAAACGAUUCAAUUCUUUAUCAGACUGUAGUAAAUAUUCUUUGACUUUCUUCCACAUUAUGUGAUCAUUGGUUACUGCUCCGUGAUACUUCUUUUUCUUGCUGGAGGAACAUAUCCCCAUUCUCUUAAGACCAUUGCUUGAAUUUAACACAAGUUAAAGAAUGCCUUGUUAGCGAGUAUGUACGGUCUUACUUUAUCUGUUGACCUUAUGCUUAACAAUUUGGUGAUUUAUGUGAGCUACCUUUUAGUUGCUCCUUAGGUUAUGAUAUUCAUUUUAUUUCUUUAUGUGGAGACUUUCAUCAUGCUGUCACAGUAACAUGUGUUGGCUUAAACUUAUUGCAGCACAGAUAAAAAUAGUGAAGUUGCUAUCCUUGAAGUCGUGAGGAAGAAUUUUCCAGAUCAUCUAAUUCUCGGGGAGGAAGGAGGAAUUAUUGGGGACUCGUCAUCUGAUUAUCUUUGGUGCAUUGAUCCUUUAGGUUUGUUCUACAGAUCUCUAACUUCAUGGCAAUGAAAGUAGCCACACAUAUUAGCUAGACACUCUAUUGAGGUUAGAGAACUUAUGUAGGUCCUCAAAAGUAGAAAUGAAUUGUCAAAGUUCCAAGUGGUUUUAACUUGUAAUGGUCAGGUUAUUUUAAUUUGAAGGGGUCACAUUUAACUAGUUCCGGUUUAACAAAUAUACAACUUUAACCUAAAUACUAGCAGAUUUUACGCACGCUAAGGCAUGUAAUUGCACAAGCAAUAUAUGGAUGAAUAUUGAGCAUCGUCCUAACUUCAUAGUCGAAAAUGGGUGGAAGUAUCGAACAAUGAAGUAAAGUAACUAAGUAUUGAAAAAAGGAAAGAAUAUAACUAACACUAACUAGCUAAGAGAAAAUCUUGUGGUAGCAACUAACAAGCCUAGUGUUUCUGACUUCACUUAAUUAUUUCAUUUGGACCUUUAUCAUCCUCUUGAUCUUACUGAUAAUGUGAGCUAAGUCGGAGUUCAUACUUAUUCAGGGUACAUUCCUAUGUCAAGUGAAGCUAACCUUCUUAACUAAUAACCUAUUUUUGAUGGUUGUUAAGACAAGGAGGAUGCAAUGAGUUUAGCUCUAUUUUCCAUGCCUCUGGUUUGAAGUAGAAGCCUAUUCUACAAUCAAAUCAUACCAUUAUCAUCUAUUUGAUUAGUAUGGAUCUCAAUCUUUUCAAUCCUGAUUCUAAAUGAAGAAUCUCUCCUGAGUUACCUUAAAAUCUAGAGAAGGAUCUAGUUGGUGGUCAAUCAAUGAAAAGCAUUAAAUACAAUAUUGAACAAACAACGUACUUGUUAGUAAUAAAGACCAGGAAAAAUAGUAAUUAGUUCAAGCUUCAUGAUAAUCCUAAAUUGGAAAUUAACAAAAUGAAAGAAAGAAACUCUAUUUGGUGUCCUAGUCUCUUCAAAAGCUCCUUGUCUUGUGUCUUAUUUGGCCUUGAAAAACUGAUUUUUGUUCCUUAUUAUGGUCUUGGAAGUUCCCUUUCUUUUCCCUUUUUUUUUUCUUCCUAAAAAUCUUGAAUUCAUUCAUAACCUUACGAAGUAAAACUGGUUCAUGCUAAGAGUUGAGAGCAUCAUAGACACCCAAGGAGGUGGUGUAGUAGUUGAAGAGUUGGAAUAGUAAUUCUUUUGAAACGGGUAACUUGUAUUCCUCAGAAUUAAGGGCUAUGCUGGCCACCUCCAAAAAGUAUGAACAGAGAAGAGAGAAAAAAAGAAGAAAAUAGAAACAGAAAUACUUACAAAGAACCUACGAAAUCCACUAAUUGGAUUUCCUCUUCUAUAUUUUGUUCUUUACACCAAAAACCUAAGGAAGUAUGGAAUAAUAAUCUUAGAACCAGUUUCUCAGUAAGGGAUGACAUUGAGUAAAUUAUUCCCUUAUACUGAAGACUUGUUGGGGAGAUUUGCUUGAAACCUGUAUUGUUAGGAGGUAGUUAGUGGAUUACGCGAGACGCAAGCUGACCCGAACACCACAGUUCCCAAAAUAAAAAAGAGAAGAAUUGAGAACUUCGUGGAGAAUCUCCUAAACAACAUAUUUUCAAAGUGAAAUUUAGAAGUAGAAGGAAGAAAUUUUGCUUGUGCUUUAUCUUACCUAUAAAACUGAAUUCCGGUGUCUCUUUUUUGUCUUGCAAGUCCCCUCUUUAUAUGCAAACCGGAAAUCCUAAGCCAAGAAGGAAACACUGAAAAUCUUGGACUCCCUGCAUAUAUUUCCUGCAGCAGCGAGUGAAGCUUGAUAUAGCUGUGCGAUUGCACAAGCGCAUGAACAGCCAAGUAGCUGCAUUGCACAGCCAUGCAGUCGCAUAAGCACGCGGAGUGGCUAGUGCAACCAAGCUAAACUUGCACAACUUUAGUAAAAUGGUCAUUACUUUGUUCAGGGAAGUCAAAAUAAUGAGCAAUUUGAAGCAUUUGCGACUAGACAUCAAGGUUGCAAUUUUACGAAUAUCAUGGCUUAACUUGAGAUCUAGAAUAAUCCAGAUUACUUUUUGAAGUUUUGUCAAAAUCUGACACGUUCAUUUCACAUUUUGGGUCUAUACAGUUCUUUCCCUAGUAUGCAAAAAUAUUUCAUAUCAAGUGAGAUAUCCACAGUAUGCUUCAAAAACUUUCCAAAUCUUUUGCUAAAAAUACUUAUUACUCUCUCUGUCCCAAUUGAUAUGAGACACUUCCCUUUUUAGUCAGUCCCCAAAAGAAUAACACAUUUCAUUAUUUGGCAAAUAUUUAGUGACACGAUCAACAUUUUACCCAUGUUGGGUCCCAUUUAUUUGUCAAAAAGUCCUUAAAGGUGUACUUUUCUAUUUAAAAGUAAUUUAUUUUAAGGGUAGUUUUGAAACAUUGCAAAGUCUCCCAUAUAUUUUGAACAUGUGCCCAAUCAAACUACAUCGCAUAAAUUGGGACGGAGAGAGUAAUUCUUUUAAUUCUUGUUUGUUAUUGUUCAACAGAACCAACAACAUACCCAGGGUAAUCCCAUAGGUGGGGUCUGAGAAUGGUAGGAUGUAUGUAGACCUUACCCCUAAGAGUACUUAAUUUUAUCUUGAUAAAUUCAUCUUAUUACUUAUAAAUAUAUAUCUUGCAUGUCUGAGUUCAAUAAAAUGUUCUUUCACUAGAAAUAAGCACCACAUAUUAUCUUAAAGACAACUCAACCAAGGAAUGAAUGUUAAUUGGUAACUUUGUAUUGCAGAUGGAACAACAAACUUUGCGCAUGGCUAUCCCAGCUUUGCAGUCUCUGUGGGUGUUCUUUUUAGAGGGAAGCCAGCUGCAGCUGCUGUGGUAUAUGCUGGGAUAGUUUCCGAUGUGCCUUUUAGAUUUCUUACCAUGGCUCAGUGGAAGAGCACUGUCUCUUAUACAGCGAGCUUGGUCUCUGAUAAUUUUAUGAUAGCUGAUUCCAACUUAAUGUGCAAGAAGAGAACCAAAAGCUUGAACCAUCACUAGCAACUUAAAUCAUGUAGUGCUAGAGAUUGAUUAUUGAUAUGUUAUAUACUGUAUUGGACAAAUUAUAUUAUUAAAACUAUGAACAUAAAUGAGAAUUCUUAUACUCUUAAGGGACCUGAACUGAGAGAUAAAAAAGAGGAAGGAAUUUUCAGCAAACCUUACAAAUGUUAUAUAGUUGAAAAGUGACUAGCUUUAACAUUGCUAUAAGAUUUUAUUUCUGAGGCUAUCCAUAAUUUAUGUAGGAUGUGUUAGUUGAACUAUAAUAGAUGCCGCCGAAUUCAACCCUGGCAACUCUGCAUUUCUUAAUUCACUGAAGAUUUGAAUUAGCUGACCAACCAAAAUUAUGUGACGUUUAUCUAAUAGUAACUUUUAUGUAGUAUACAGACUCUCAGAGGAAGACUGAGAGAAUGAAAUUGGAAACCAUAAAGCGGGAAGACUAUCAAUGACACCAAAUCUCUUGUUCUGAUAUCUGGUCAGAUAUGACAUCUGAAUUCCAUGUCCUGAACAUAAUAUUGUUAAGGUCUUUUUCUGUACAGGUUGAGUUUGUUGGUGGCCCUAUGUGUUGGAAUACUCGAAUAUUUUCUGCAGCUGCAGGUAAAGAAGUUUAUCUAUAACAAGUCAUUUAUUCAAUUGCAAACUCCAAAGAUCUACUAAUGACGUUAUGCAAUUUUCUUCUCCUAGGCAAAGGAGCCUUUGCUAAUGGUGAAAAGAUUCAUGUCAGUCGAACUGACAAGGUGAGAAUUUAUACAUGCAAAUGAGUAAAACUAGCUUAAUUCCCAUUUUCCACAGACCCAUGACUAGGAGUGAGAGUUUGAUGAUAACUUUCAGUACAUCUGAUAAACAUAGUUCUAGCUUGUCCUAUUGCAUUAGAGAGUCAGGUAAGUGUGGGCCUCUACCUGUUCUGUGUGACCUGUUAUGCGUCUAUACCCAUUUACAUGCAUGUGUAUUUAUUACUAUUUGAAAGUUGUGCUAGUUUUGCACCUUGUUUUUGGGCAAAGACAUUAUACAUGGCUUGGCUUUCAAGUUUUAAAUUGACAAUAGUGUUACACAUAAAGCUCACUAAAUGAAAGGUACACUUACUGUCAAUCUUCUUUCACCAAUUCUUUUGACUUAUUCGUUACUGUUCUUUAUUGUUUGGUGUUUGUUUAGGUGGAACAAUCUCUUCUAGUGACUGGAUUUGGAUAUGAGCAUGAUGAUCCAUGGGCAACCAAUAUGGAAUUGUUCAAAGAAUUUACUGAUGUCAGCAGGGUAGCAACUUUAUCCCUUAUCUUUAUCUGAAAUUUUGCACAUUCCCCACCAAAAAAAAAAUUCUUCCUGCCAUGUUCUGCAUAGGGUGUGAGAAGGCUUGGUGCUGCUGCAGUGGAUAUGUGUCAUGUUGCUUUGGGGAUUGCUGAAGCAUAUUGGGAAUAUCGUCUAAAGCCAUGGGACAUGGCUGCAGGAGUUCUGGUAUUCUUGCUUUCAUUAUUAUCGAUAUUUCCAGACACUCUUCUUCUCAUGUUUGAAGAAAAUUCUAGAGAGCUGAGUAGGCAGAAUUUGAUGCAUAAUAGGUCCAAUCAACAAAUUGUAGUUUCAAUAUAAUAUUUUGUUUUCCUCUCCUUACUAUUAAAUAGGAAAAACGGUUAAAAUGUAUUCUUUGCCACAAGUUUUCUUUUCUUUUUCUUUAUAGAUUUGUGAAAAGUGAUUUAGUCGGUGAAAGAAAGCAACAUAUUAUGUACUUAUCCAAAAAGGAAAAACAAUCAGCACUUACCAUUGUGUAUGUGUGUGUGUUAUUUUAUGUGGAUAAGUAGAACUAACCAUUGUGCAAUAAACAAGUAAUGCAGCGGGGCCAAGUGUGCAGGAGGAGUUAAGGUCCUAUAACAGGAACGCCUUUGUUAGAAUGAAACCUAAGUAGCAGUAUAUAAACUUAUCUCAUUUCUAAGUUCCGUAUGAUCCUAUUUGAUGCAAAUUUUUCAAGAUCAGUGAGUUGGUUUUUGAAUCGAAGAAGUGAAUGGUUCUCAUCUUUUUAACUUGAAGUAUCAGAUGUUGGUAACGUUGUAGUAAUGAAAUACCUCCAGGAUAUCCACUCAUGAAAGUGAGUUUGGCUCAAAUGUUGUCCUUCUCAAGUUUCUCUUAAGGGGGUUACUUCUAGUUUACGAACUAAUGACAAGUUAUUCAAGUGAUCAAAUCUAUAUUUAACACUGUGGUGUAUGUUUCAUGCAGAUAGUUGAAGAGGCUGGAGGGACAGUUUCGUGUAUGGAUGGAGGAAGUUUUUCAGUAUUUGAUAGAUCUGUCUUGGUAUCCAAUGGUUUGCUCCAUGCAAAGGUCAGCAUUUACCUAUGUUGAACUGAAAUUAACUUGCCAGCUGUUUUUAAUCUGCAUAUGGUUGCAGACUUGCAGUUGAUUUAACACAUAGUACGUCAAAUCUACUGGAUCAAUUUUGUUUUUAAUAUUUAUGAUAAGUAUCUAGAAGACGGAGUAUUCUUAUUCCUUUAAAUUCUGGUUAAAAUUUAGAGCAUGCAACUUUCUAAUGGAAAUGUGUUGCUACUCAUUGUCGUUUCCAUUAACAUGCGCAGCUCCUUGAGAAAAUUGGUCCAGCAACGGAAAAUUUGAAGAGCAAAGGGAUUGAUUUCUCAGUGUGGUUCAAGCCAGAAAAUUACCAUACAGAAGUUUGAUAUGUCCCUGCGUUUUGUUCUUUAGAUGUGCUGCUUGAAAGAAUCUUCUACAAUCAGAUUUUGAUUAGGUCGGUAUUUGCAUUUGUAUUUUCUAUUUUACAUAUCAUUGUAUGGAACUGAUCAAAUAUUCGUCGGUAUCAGGUAAAUAUUAAUAUAACAUGUCUUUUAGGUAAAAGGAUAUUGGCAGCGGAAAUAAAUUGUAUUAAAUUCUUACUGGAAACAACAUUGAGUAGAAAGACAUUUCCAUUAGUAGAACUGACUUUAUGACAUCUGGUCAAUCAAAUUAUACGAUUUUAUCUAUUAACAUUAUGUUAUGAUUCCCAUUUUUUUCCAUGUUAUUGUACAAGUGUACAACCGGCAAACAAAUCCAUUAAAUGUUCGUCUGUAACUGAGUAAGUGCAAUACUGGGCCUUAAAAUGUAUUCCCAGAUUGUACAAAUUUUAGUUCUUCUGGCAAAUGCUCUGAACCUGAAUUUGAUGUUUUAAUCGAGAGUUUUACUUUUUUAUUCUGGAGGUUUACAGACCCAUAGGUUUCUAUCUCUGCUAGUGGGGAAGAAGUUAUAUUUUUGAUCUAUUUGCUUUAUUAGUUUAACACAUGGUAUGCAAGAUUUUCCUAGAUAGGUCAACUCUUGUCUAUACACAUUUAUCACUUGAUACUAUUGAGUUCUGGGCUUAACGCCAAAUGUCUGAGGGUUCGAACAUAUCUGCAUAGCACAUGCAUCUUAAUUUACAUAUACAAAAGAAAGAACACAAUCUCAUGCUUUUUGCUGCUAGUUCAGUGCUCAUCAUUGUAAACAUUAGGGUGAAAAAGCUAAAAUGAAACUGCAGUUGCAUGCUAAAUUCGUAUCAUAUGCCAUAGAACUCAGGCUUUUGGACGGAGGACAGCACCUUUAAUGACAAGCCCCUUCUUCCAGUUCCCACCUUCAUAUUCAUAUAGAGAGAACUCUAUUUCUCCAUUCUUUUGAUCUGCUGAUGUCAUGAACUCCCCUGCUGGGAUUUCUAUCCAUUUUUCUCGUGGUUUUUCCACCAUAUUCUCGGUAUGUCCUUGUCUGCUACCAUCUGGGAGUAUGAGUCGAAGAUUCACUGGAUUUUCCCAUCCAUAAGCAGGAUCCUUCAACAUGACAAUAAACACAACCUCAUAAAUGAGCCCUGGUGAUAGCAUAGUUGUAUUGAAUCUUCCAUGGAUUUCUAGCCAGCAAACAUCUAGUAGUUCUGCUGCUGGAAGGAGGACAUCACUGCAUAAACAAUAAAAAGUGUCAUUUCAGGCCUUUUUACUUUGUUAGUCUUCAACUUCAAAAACCUUUUAGUAUGCAGUACAUGUUGGUUUAGAAUAGCUUCUAAUAGGAAAUGUGAAAGUUUUAGUUAGUUUUAACUCCUGAAUGCUGGUUAUCAUUUCAUGGCCUGACAGCUAACACAUGUUUACUAAUUUUUAAUCUCUUUUAGCACAUUACUUCCCCUGUUCUGCUUUAGAUGUCACUCCUAUUUUAGGUUUAUUCCAAAAAAAAAAAAAGAAUGACUUUUUCUAUAUUCAAUUUUUUUAACUUUAAACUUCUCAUUUUAUUCUUAUAGCCACAGUAUCAUGUAAUGCUUAUGACCACAAGUUCUAAGGAUAUUUUUGGUAUGUGCCAAAAGUCUUUCUUUCUAAAACUCCAUAACCUAUCAAAUACCACCAUAUGAAGUGAAACGGAGGGAUUAUUAUUUUUCUAUUCCAGCCCUAUGUGUGAUAAAGAUGCUUUGGAUCUACACUGAAGUUCAACUUGAAUGAGUAUGGUUUUCUUUGUCAAAUGAAACGUUUUCAUAUUACCUUGACUCUUGUACCAAGGGCCAGUGCCAGAAACGGUUGUUUUCUGCCCAAGUGAUUAAGAGAUCUCUUGCAUACAGCAUGAAGCAGUUGCCAUUUGACUUCUUAUCGACCCAGUAUUUCUGCAUGAAGUGCAAAUUAAGUAUAGCCAUAGCAGUAGAUAAGGCUACAGAAUAAAACUGUAAUUUCAAGUGAUUGGGCUUAAUUGACUAGUUGAACUUGCACAUCAGAAUUGGUCCAACAAGUCACAAGAGGACAUGCUUCUCUUGGGGUUAAGUUGAAGGCAGAAUUCUAAGCUUUAACAAAAUAUACACAAAGAACUCGACAUGAACUCAUAAAGUAGAUAUAAGCUUCCAAAUAGCAUGUAGGGACUGUAGAACCUGUAUAUACAAACAACAACAUACUCAAUGUAAUCACACACUGAAACCUGUAUAUCAACAUCAAAAAUAACAAACUUCUCAAGGAUGAACACUAGCAAUAUAUCUAUUACUCUGGACGAAUUUAGGUGCCUCAUUUGGUUUGGACAUGACUUUUAAGGUAAAAGUUGGAGUCUUGUUAAUCUUUUAUAUGAAAGAAGGUUCAGAAAUGGAGAUAAAGUUGACUUCUUGAAGAACAUGAAUGUUGUUAAGUGAGAGAGUAGGUUAAAAAAUCUUUUUGAAAAUUGGAUAAUAAAGAAGUUUUGAUAAAGGAAAAAUUUCCUUUUCAGAAGGGUGGCCAGUGUUUCAAAUUGAGCCUUAGACAAAUUUUUCUUACCUUGCGCUUUUGGUUCAGAUAUACUCCAGUAUAUAGCUGGUCAUAUAGUUUGUUCAUGGAGGAUCUGUCAACUGAAGAAUCUGCCUCUUUUAGGAUUUCUUCAUAAUUAUGUGGAAAUCUGAGUACUCUAGCGGCUUCCAUUGUCUUGUUAGUCUCAGUACUCUUGCUGCUCUGUGGCAUAAUCUUUCUUGGUUCUUCAUUGAGUACGGCAGCAUCACUAUGGUGGCCUUGAGGAGAAGUAUUGCUUAGUUCUUGAUUUUGUUUUAAAUCCUGAUCUUGUGACAAUCCUGACCCCAUUUCUCUGAAGAAGAACUCUUUGUGGAUGUUGGUGUAUGUAUUCUGGGAGGCCUAGUCAGUAGUCAUUCUCAUGAAUAAAGGGAGUUUUUAUUUUGAAACUCUCUUAGUUGAGCAUCUUUUGAUUUUAUCUUUCCCGAGUGGAGUCAGAAUCUACUUUAAGAAUUUAUUCCUGCCGUCCACUUUGCACUGUCUAUGAACAGAUUCAUGCCAGCAUGGAUAGGCCUUAAAAAGGUUAUUCCUUUACAAUAAGUUAUGACAUUGUAGAUAUCCAAUAUCUAUGCUGGUGGGAGGUAGAAGGUACCCCAUGGAAUUAGUCGAGUUGAACCCAGCUGGUCCAUACAUCAUGGUCAUCAAAAAAAAAGUAAUAUGACUCUAGAUUUUUCCUUUUCGGUGAUAAAUUCACUGAUGUUACUGGAUUUGGAGAAUGUCUAAACUUUGAAAAUUGCAUUACUCUAGCUAUUUGGCUACACCUCAUUGGAAAAACACCCUCCUAUCUGAAAAAUAGCUUGUACUUAGCACCUUCAAAAAAUUCCAAACUCCUGCAAUACCUUAUUAGACCUCCUGCACUUUCUGUUCCUGAUUAUACUUGGUCAUUUCACCCCUAGUCACUUGCUGCCUUCUUUUCAUAAUAUCAAUUUAUAUAGAGUUUUAACUUCUAUAUAGUGGUACUGUGGUAGUGUAAAAGAAUUUUUGCAUUACCGGGUCAAGUACAAGAUAACUACAUGUCUGCCCAUAAUAAGUGGAAUUAUUAUCUUGAAAAAUAAGGUGGACAACAUGCUAGAACAUGUUAAAUUGCAAGGUUUCAAAAUAUUGUUACUUUGAUAUAACAAUUGUGUGCCUUCUUUCAGAUGGUUGGUUUUUGUUUAUUCGUGGCCGUAUGUUGAACAUAUUGCAGCUAGAAUUGUGUAUUGCUUGCCAUUUGAUCUUCUUCUGAUAUGUAGUUAAAAUUAAAAAAUCUAGCUUUAUAGCAUUAAUUCUAGGACAUAGACCUGAGAGAUAAGAUUCAUGUUUAUUGAUCUAAUAAUAGUGCUUUUUAUUUUACUUAUUAAUUGCACUGUUGGUUAUCACUUUGUAUGGUCAAUACUUUCAGAAUCAGAUGCUUGUCCUGAGAUCCUGAUAGAAGAAGUCUUAUCAUACGGCAAGCUGCUGCUGCUGAGGAAUAUGGUGAUUUUAUUUAGUUAUGUCCAGAUCAGUCCUUAUCAAAUAUAUAUAUAUUCUCCCAUUUGCUAUUCAUAUUUCCAUAUUCCUUCUCAUCUUACAGAUUUCCUUGAGAUCAUAGCAUCAUAACCAAUGCAUGUGUUUUUCAUACUAAGUUAAAUAUUAUUUCAUAUUAAGCUUCUAGCAGGAAUGCAUAAUUAUGUGCUCAUCGCACAAAGAUCUUUGGACAAUUCAACAGAACUAUCUUUUUUUUAGCAUGAAUUGGUUUAAAGAAAGAGUGAGCAGAUAAUCUUGGAUAGAACGAAGGUAUAAUCCUUGUUUAUUCCAGUUACCGCAAUAUCAAGCCAUCAUCAACAUAAUGAUGUUUUCAAGACUAUUCUUAUAAGCUGAUGAUGUGUCACGCCCCCCAAACUGGAUGCAACGUGAUUGACACCCAGUCUAACUUACUUGCUGAGUGAACUCUGAAUUUAUCGUGUAUAAUUUAGUCCCAAAAGUUUCUGGGCUUUACGCUGUGGCAUGCAUUUGGUUUACAAGUUAAAAGAGUGUCCAACAAACCUUCAAAUCCUCAAAGGAGAUAAUUAUCCUUUAGUUAAGUCAUUCCAGUAAAGAUUCAAGCAUUGAGGAGAGACUUUGAGAUUUUUUUUCAGUGAAGAGUACAUAGGAGGUCAAGCCCAGGGGCUUUGGUGAAUACUAAGACUGCAACAUUUGAUGUGUGAGUUAGACGCAUAUUAUGGAUUACAAUUAAAUGUUGCCGCAAAACAAAGCUUGGUGGUAGUUAGUGGAAAAGGAUAGAGUGGCAGGUCAUUAGUCACUGAAUUUCGAACUGAACAACUUAUAUCUCCAAAAUAAAUUACAUAAGCUUCUUAUUCUUUAGGAAAUUAACACCUAAUGACCUUGGAAAUAGCUGGUCUUGAACUUUUGCCACAUGGGUAAACCUUCAAGGCCAAAAGUCGAAACUUGAUGUUCUGUUAAUGGGGCAAGCAAGAUUAUAAGUUCAAGAUCAUCCACCUCCAAAGUCAUUCUUGUAAAUCACCCAGACGGAAAAUCUCAGGACACUUUGGGACGAAUAACAAUACCUUUGAUGACUAAACCCUGUUUACAAUUCAGUUUCUCGGUUUCAUAUAGAAAAAUCUCAAUCUCCUCCCUCUUCUUCUUCCUCUUAAUCUCACUGAUCGUGAAGAACUCACCUACUGGCACUUCUAUCCAUUUUUCUCUUUCUGUUACAUUCAUCAGAUUUACUGUAACAUCGUUGCUUGACUUAUUUGGAAUGAUAAGCCUCAAUGUAAUUGAUUCCAGUCCAUCUGCAUUUUCUUUUAUCUUCACCAUGAACACUACCUCGUACAAUUUUUCUGGCGCAAGUGCUUCUGUAUCAAACCUCCCACAAACUUCCAGCCAACACACAGUUUUUAGUUCUGCUGCUAAAAAUUUUUCAUCACUGCAAAGUGGUAAAUUCAAAACCAUUAGCUAGGUUCUCGCAGCUUAUCAUGUCAUAAUAUUUGUGUGACUCCAGAACUUAUAAAACUUGUAGUUUCAAACAUGUCCCAACAGUUGUGUGAGUAUAAAACUUCAUCAUCAUGGGUAAAAUAUGAAGUUUAAGUUAAAACUAUUUCCAAAAUUUUAUUCUUUUUUGCAGGCCGAAAAGGAAACAGAAUCACAUAAAUUGAAACAGACAAUAUAUCUUUGAUUUGGUCACCUUGUCUCUUUUAUAUCUACCCAAUCCCAGUAACGAUUGUCUUCUCCCCAAGUGAUUGAGAGAUCUUUUGCAUAUAACAUAAAGCAGUUUGCGUUAUUCGUUCUGUCAAUCCAGUACUUCUGCAUAUCAUAUCACUAAUAUUAUCUGUAAGAUUGCAUAACACUGUAAACUUCAAAUAAAUGAAGAAUUAUUAGAAGAAUAUCAUAAAAACGGAGUAUAUAAUUACAACUGCUUAGCUAUUUUGAAAUAGGAUCAUACAUACUUCUGUAUAAGAUAAGGAUAAAAAGAAGUUCGCAGAGAAGAAGAAGAAGGGAAACUUAAGUUGCUCUACCUUCUUAUUUUGUUUGAGGUGGACUCCAUUAUAUAGCUGUUCAUAUAGUCGCUCUGUGGACAAUAUAUCAAUCUCCAACGGAGAGUCUGCUUCUUUCAAGAUCUCAUUCAGAUAAUAUGGAAGCUGAGGUCUUAUAUAUGGAGGCUGGACUCUUAUAUUUGUAGUUUCUGCAUUAUAAUUGACAUCAGUUUUGCUUCUUUCUGGUCUUAGCUUGCUUGGUUCUUCUGUCUUCACAGACGUUCGCUCUCUAUUUUUUGGAUUCUUAAUUGAUUGCUUUGCACCCAUCUUAAGAGAUUAUUAACAAUUUUCUCCUAGUCUAAUAUUAUAUUAACUAGAUAUGGAGAAAAACAAGCUUGAUGACCACUUGAUAUUUUGCCAUAAAGUUUGAUGCUAUGCUGUUUUUUUUUCUUUAUAUAAGUGACUCAAAAUCUUAGCUUAAAGCAUCUGAUUCUCUUCUUCCUUGACAAAUUCACCCUGUGUACAAGUUAUUCUUCUACAAAAGAAUUAUUCCUUCAAUGGUCGAUGAAAUUGCUUUGUGAAGUCACUUAUCUUUUCUUCUUCUUUGUGUAAAUUGACACUCUGAUUUGAAUCCUUGAUUAUGCUUGUUACGAUGAAUUAAAUUAACGAUAUGGAAAUUCAAUCAGUUACAAGAGGAUCAUGGAUUAAUACUUGGCAAGAACCCAAGUGAAAUCAUUUAAGUAGUAGAGAAAAAUGGGGUUCACUAUGGGUUUUUGCAUUGUUUGGCAUUUGUCAACAACACCAUACUUAUUGAAAUGAUAGUUUACGAUCAUUGGUGUAACUUAACAUGUUUUUUUUUUCUAGAUCGUCAGUCAAUACUAUUACCCUAUAAAUGUGACCUGAUUGUGUAACUAUUUUUACAUGGUCAGUGCAUAGAACUUUUUUGCACUUUUGGCAGCGAACACCCUAAUGGCAUUGAAAUGCUGUUUGAGGAAUAUGACAUCUCUAUUAUUGUAAGUUUUAUUUUGUUACUCAUAAUAUUUAGUAGAAGAAUUUAGACAGAAACUUCAACACCUUUAAUAACCAGUCCCAUCUUAAGUUUUCUACCUUUCCUUUCAUGCACAUAGAAUUCCAAAUUUGUGAUACUUUCCAUUUCUUGUGGAAUGAUGAAAGUCCCUAGUUGAAUUUUUAUCCAUUCUCUUUUUGGUUUUUCCAUAAGAUCUUCAAUACUUUGAUGUUCUUUGGUACCAUCAGGCUUAACAAGUAUUGUUUGCAGUGGAGAUUCCCAUCCUGAAAGAAAUUUCUUCAAUAACACCACAAGUGAAACCUUGUACUCUACUCCCCUUGAAAGCUUUUCUGCAUCAAAACUUCCACCAACAGCUAGUGAUAGAACUGUUUCCAUUUCGUAAACUUGAACAGGUUGAUCACUGCACACAUAAUCAAUUGAAAAUAAGUGCAUUAGUGUGUCUAUGAGUGGUUUUAACAUUCUAUAUCUAAGUGUAGAAAUGCCCCUUAAGUGCUUUAGUGGGAAUGCAGAGGAUUGAUUAAUACUUCCUAAACAUGUCACGAAUAUAUUUUUUUUCUUCAUACAUUAUCCUACACACAUCCUUAGCGACCUAUCCUUCUUUCCGACAUACAAAACAGGUGCGCCUCAUGGUGAGAAGGCUUGGCCUAAUAAAGCCCUUCUCAGGGAGAUCCUUCAACUGCUCAUUUGUACUCAAGAAGACAUUGGAAAUUGAUGAAAGUCUACUAAAAGGUAAGAGAUAUAUCUCAUAAUGCAGAUUAAUUACCUUGGAUGCUCUUUAUAUUGGGGCAGACUCCACUUGCUGCUUUCUUCUGACCAUAGGACAUGUAGAUUUUUGGCAUACAAGAAGAAGCAUUUUGCCUUUGUCCUUGUAUCAAUCCAAUACUGUAGCAUAUAUAAUACAUCAAUUAAUAUAGACGAACACGCGUAUAUAUAUACAGUAUAAAACAUGGAUAGUUUUGUAAUUGGGGAUAUACAUAUACCCUGAUUUGUCCAUCCAAAAGUACUUCCACACCAGGCUCUGCAUAUUGUAAGAUUUCUUCCAAUUUACGCGGAAGACGACUAAUAUUGUUGCUGCUACUGCUGUUGUUCUUUGGUUUUGCUCUUUUGGGAAGUAUUGCACAAUUCAUGUAGAAAUCAAUUGCCUUGAUAAGCUUACAAAUGAUGAUAUUUUUUGCAAAGAAAAUUCUCAAAGUCAAGAGUAAUCUAUCUUAAAACCAGAUAUAUGCUGCUGCUCUGAGUGGUAACCAAGUUAGAAUUUUUAAAAGAAAGCAUAUAUUCUUGUGUCUGUUUUUGGCUUAAGAACCUCCCAUCUGUGGCGUGGAAAUCCUAUUGCUAACAUCUUCUAUAAUACAAAAGUCACCAAAAAAAUAUAAAUCUCUAUUUGAAGUUGAGUAGAGACUCGUAUUGAUAACAUGUUAUCGAGAAACAUGAACCUCUACUUGAAGUUGACUAGAGACUCAUACUAGUAGCUUGUAAAACAAGAAAAAUUAGAGAUGCUUAGAUGGAAAAAAGAAGUGUGGAGAUUGUUACUAUUAGAUAAUUUCAUUCAAUUAUGUUUCUCGUAGGGUAGGAAUACAGUAAAAAUUUAACUGAUUAUACAUAUUAUCACCUUAAUAUAUGACUUGACCAUGUAAAUUAGUAUGGUUUGGUGUAAUAAACACUAGGUGUGGGUAAGCUUUUAACAUAAGGAACUCUAUAUGACACAAAAUUCCCCCAGAAUUCACAAGAAUUAAGUACAUCGUCCAUGUAAAAUUACAUGGUUCAUGGUAUAAAUAAUAUGUAAAAGUACUCAAAUGUUUCAAAAAAAGUACUCAAUGAACAUCCAUUAGCUCAAUUUAUUCAUAACAACAACAAAGUUUCAACACUACAAAAGAUACCAUAUCCUAAGACCAACUGGUAUGAUGCUCUUCUUCACAUGAUAUGUUACAUUCCUAAACUUUAGUAAUAUAUCGAUUCGAGCCUAGCCAUAUUACUAGCUUGAUUUUCCUCAUCAGAAUCUUCAAAAAAUGAAAACUGAGCCAUGGAUCCACAGUUAGCACCCAACAACCAGAUUAAGGAUAAAAUUUCACCACCUCUCACAAGAUAUUGUGCAUGAGCACGCGGUGCAGAGCAUUUGGCAGCAUCAAAUAAUAUCGCGAUCCAAGUUUUAUGAAUAAUCUCCCAACAUUUAACUCUGUCUUGACACCAAGGAGAUUCAGUUUGCAAACAGUUGACAACCUUAAAAGCUUCAUACAAGAACGAUUCCUGAGGAAUUCUCCCCUCAGCAGCUUUUUUCAUGAUCUCUUGGCAAGCUUCUUGUUGGCUUGAAUUUUUCUUUUCAUGAAGCAAUUCUUUUAUCUUGUUGUUGGUCUCUUCUAUCUUCUUCUUGUUAGGAACAGGCAUGAAGAAAGGGCGAAAAAUAAGAAUGUAAAUCAUGUAGUCUGAUAGAGACUUUGAACAUUCUCUAAACUUGUUCAACUCUCUUGAAUCAGGUCCAAUAUUUUCCUCAGGUACAUCCACAACAUUAUAGAAAAUCUCCGUCACAAUGUGCCAUACUAUGAGGAACUCGUUCUUGUCAAGCUCCUUCGACACAGGGAACUUGCUGGUGCAUUUAGUGAAUGUAGAAGCAUACGAGUUACAAUCCCAAUCAUGCCUAUUUAGACGUAUUUCUACUUGUCUUAGAAUUUCAGCUUCCAAUAUAGGAGAAAGACUCUUGUUUUUCACAUAUAUCAUCUCAUCAAGAUAAUUUGUAAGGUGUAGGGAAUCAAUUAUGCAUUCCCAUGCUUUUGGAGGUCGAUUUAAACCAUAGGUUAUGAGGUUGAAUUGUUGGAGAGAUGGUCUCCAACACCAUAGAGCACGUGGCCGUGGCCACUUUAAAGCUUUGAGGAAUUUGACCACCCAAGUGAUUGGCCUCGACGUUGCCCUUGACAUUGUGGCAAUUGUGAAAGUUGAGGAAUAAAGCAAGAUAACAAAAGCAAUGGCAUCCAAAAACAUACCUCCAAUGAGUAAGCUAUAGGUUAGUCCUACAUCGAACGGAUCAAAUUGCUUUUGCUUGUUGUUCCUCACCAACAAAGAGAAAGAGGCCAAUGCUGCAGGAAGCAGAACCCAAUAGACAGAUCGAGCUGAGUUCCCAAAACUUUCAUGGAAAAUUUGGGCCUUAGUGUAUAGAACAUCAUGUAGAAUCUCGAGUUCAGCCUGCGCGAUUCUAAAAGCAAACAGAUCAGUUCUGUUUUGCAAGAGUUGUUGAAUUCUACCAUACUCCUCAAAAGUGAACUUGUGCUCCACCAGAACACCUUUAUAGGCCCUGAAUAUUGUAUAUGCAAGUUGUAUAACCUCCACAUCAUCCAGCUCUCCUGCUCGGAAAUUGUGAGGUUCUUCUGACGACUUCCUCUUCACAACAUCUUCGUACUUAGGAUUACUCAAUGUUAUGGACUUAUCCAUACUCCCAAUGAACCUAGCACGUGCCCUCUCGUAACAUUUGAUGAUUCCAGCCAGGAACACUAGGACAUUUGGGAUCCAAAGAUAGUUUACUUGGGAGAACGAUAAGUAGAACACGUAGGCAGAGGACAGGAACAUGAAAACAAACGUGAAAGCAUACCUAAACCACAGGUCAUUGUCCUCGAGGGAAAAUGCUAUUGCAUGAUCAGAACCUCCUAAAUGCAACAACAUACAAGAAGCCCAAAAUGACAUAAGUUCUGUCUUGUCAUGUCUUGUUUUGCUGUAAUUUACAAUGAGAUUGAGAAUGAAAGCAGGGGCCCAAUCAGCAGCCAUGUAUGCUGACCAAACAAACACCAUCAGGAUUUUACUGCCUGUUCUCUUCCUGAAUGGUGCUAAAAGAAGCAAUAGAGCUUGGAUUAAGAGGCUUAGAAUGCAAAAAGAUUGCACAUUAUAGGCAAUCCAGGCAGCCUUGAUAUGAUUUAUAGACAUCAUUCCUGCCUAGCAAAUGUUUCAAGUAUUUGAUCAAUGAAGAAUUGGUGAAAUGAUAUUUAUUCUCGAUCGUGUUUUGCAUGUAGAAAUUAUAUGUAUCGAGUAAUCGGAGAUGAAAAAGGAAGACCUGAAAUUUUGUGAACAAUGUUUAAGGAUGUACCUUCCUCUGAUGUCAAGUGUCCCUUACUUGAAUAUGAUCCUUUUCUUGUGUUUCUUCUAUCAUUAUUAUGGGAUCCUUUACUCCAACUUCCUCUCUUUCUUUUAAACCUUUUUGAUGAACUUCAAUACAAGAAUAUGCAAAAGAAUAGCACAGAUUCAGAUACUCUCUCCGAUCACUUUUACUUGUCCACUAUUUCAAAAUUAGAUUUUCACUUUUGUUUGUCAAUUUUAACAUAUCAAGAAAAGACAGUUAUUUUUUUUUCUAGUGUUUUGUCCUUAACAUUAAUUACUUAUUUUUUGACUUAAACUAAACAUCAAUUAAUAGGGGUAGUAUGGCAAGAUAGUCAUAUCGAUCAUUAUUUUUUUAAUGAGCAUAAUGUGAUAAGUAAAAGUGAAUGAGUAUAUACAAAGUUAUAAGUAAAUCAACCAUGGAUGAAGGCAUUGGUUUCUAGUGAGGAACAUUAUAGAUAUUUCCCAUAAUGUUAGUUGAUUAGUGUCUGUCAAUUUUGUCACUACAACAGUUGCUAUCGUAGUUGAAAAGGUGCAAUGAUAUCACACUCACUGUGACAAGGCUAAUUUGGGGAAUCAUUUUUCACUUACUGCUAUGAAUAAUUUGAGGCGAAUCAAAACAGUUCUCAUGUGAAUCGACCCUCAUAUUAUAUAUAUAUUCUCCCUCCCAUCUCAUAUUACGUGAAAGUAGGGGUGUCAAAAAUGAACCCAAACAUAGGUAAUCCUUCCAUAAUUUUAAGGGUUGGGCUCAAGAUAAUUUGAAUUGGGUCCAAUCUCAAGCCUAAUCCAUUUUAAGGGAAUCCUUAAUUGAGUCCAAUUCAAUUUCUAAUUUCAACCCGUUUUAAAACUCUUUACUAAGAUAUGUUCCUAUAUUAAAGGUAUGAAUUAUUAUCUAUUUAACAUCUUUUAGGAUUUAUCUAUCCAUUUGUUACUUUUUUGGGAAAAAAUCUUGAGCUGAUAUUCGAAUUGUGAUUAUAAAAGUUAAAUAUCACUAUGUUUAAAUUAUUGAGAUUAAUCGGGUCAAAUUGGGAGGAUCAAGACCCAACCCCUUUUUUAGCCCAUUUGAACCCAACCCAUUUGAGCCCAAAGUAAACUUGGGUGGGUCAAGAUCCAACCCAAUUUCUAUUUUAACCCAUUUUAAUAUCUCCAAUUUCAAUUCAAUCCGCCUAUUUGACACCCCUACGUGAAAGUAUUCUUUAAGUAGGGGUGUACAUGACCGGGUUGGUUCGGUUUUUCAAUUAUCAAACCAAACCAUUUGUAUCGGAUUUUUAAAUCUAUAAACCAAACCAAACCAAACCAAUAAAACUCGGGUUUUUUCGGGGUUUUCAGAUUUUUGGGUUUUUCCGGUAAAGUAUUCAUACAAACAUAUAAUUUACUUGUACUUCAAAUAUUUCUUUAGUCCUACCAAAAUACAACUAUCUAAGGUGUUUCUUAAGAAAAUAACACAAAAUAUGAUAUGAGUAAUGACACUAAAAUAUCCAAACAAAAAAAUAAUAAUAAUGAAAUCACGUAAAACAAUUAUUGCAAAUUAACAAGUCAUAAUGAAAAUGAUCAUAAUUUAAAAGUACUAAAAUCAUGCUAAAAUAAGUUUAAUACGUAUUAGUUACAUGACUAAAUAUUAAAGGAAAUUAAAAUUAGAUUAUGUAUUUGAAUUGUCUAAACCAAUGUAAAAUCAAAGAAUAAAUAUUCAAUAUUAUUGUCAUUCUUAGUGUUGAAUUGAUUUUCUUUUUGCAUUAGUAUUAAUUUGAUUUUGAUUUAAGCUUUAUUAUAAAUAUCAACAUAUGUAGACUAUAAUUUUUAUUGAACAAUUCAGAAUUCUAAGUUUCAAACUUGAAAUAAUAUAUUAAAAAGAUAAAAACUAUGAAAAAGUAUAAGAAAUAUUUAAAAAUUAUAUCAAAGUAAAUAUUUUUAUGUAUAAAAUAAAAUUUUAAAAUUAUAUAUAUAAUGUCGAGUUGGUUUGGUCUCGGGUUGGUUUUUUUCAAUUAAAACCAAACCAACCCAAAUAUAUAUAGUCGGGUUUUUUUUUCAAUAUCAAACCAAGUCAAACCAACCACUAGUUGGGUUUUUUUUCUCGGUUUGACUCGGCUGCGAUUUGGUUCGGUUUUGUACACCCUUAUCUUUAAGUAUAAUUUUCUCAACUUUUUAAAAAUAUUUUUAAUCAUUAUUUAUGUUGUCUUGUAAUAAUUUCAUAUUGUUUUCUAAUGAAUAAAUUUUAUCUUAAAGAAUUAUAAUCAAAAUCAAAUAUUUAACUCUUACAUUAAACCCAUGAGAGGAAGGGAAUAUAAAAAAGAGUGAAAGGAAAAAUAUUCUUAAUUUUCUCAUCUUACCCCGAAUAAUCAAUAAUGUUUCUACUUAUUUUCAGUAUCUAUUCCGUAAGGUAUUUGUGGUGCAUGUAAUGCACUUCAACACACGCAAGAGAGCACUGAUAAAAUUAAAAUAUGUGAGUGCCUUUUCCAGAAAAAGUUGAAGGGUAAUUUGCGUAUUUUCACUUCUUAGAGUUAAACUUGAUAUAAUAUAGUUUUAACAAAAAGGACAAACUUGAAAAAGUAUGAAAGAACAAACGUAGUUUCAUUCAUAAUGUGAGCAAUACAAAUACAAAUACCAUCACAAAUUUUAUUUAAGAAAAACACGCUCUAAAAAAAGUGAACAAAAAUAAGACUUUUAACUUAAGCUUAUCCUAUUUUAAACUCUGAUUUACGGAAUGACAACAUUCGAUUUAUUCAUAUAACUUUCUUGUAGUGCUGCUCUUUCACACAACUAAAUUAGCUUCUAGAUUUCUGUUAAGUUUACGGAAUGAAUUUUGAGACCUCCUUUCCACUUUUUGUUCCAAACUUCAUACAAUCCAAAAUAAAUCUUAUCAACAUUGUUUCCCUUCCCUUUUGUUAUCGUAAUAUUUUUUGGUGUCAUCUUUUUGCUGUUAAUCUCACUUGUCAAAUUCAUCUUUCUCCAUUGAGUGUUAUCUCCCCAUUUCGCCAUAAGAUAAACUGGUGAAUCUCUCCAACCAAAUGCAUCAGUCAUCAAUGACACGGUAAAUUCAAUAUCGUACGAUGCUUUCUUCACUACAUUAAUAUUGUUAAUGCAACCAGUUACCUCCAACCAAUUUACUUGUACAAGUUCUAUACCAUCUUUUCUGUAAUUCAAAAUACAUUUAACAACAUGUUAGUUGAGAUAUUACAAAAUAUAGCAUAUGUUAGCCAAUUAAAUUAAUUUAUAUAACUUAUUAAUUAGCACCCUUUAGUUCUUACUCAUAUUUGGGUAACUUCCAAAAGCGUUUAUCAUUUCCCCAAACAAUGUCAAGUGCUUUCGGAUAAACUAUAUAACCCUACAAGCAACAAAAAAAACAUAAUUCAAUUUUUAAAAAAAAUAGAAACUCGAGCACAACUUAAUAUAUAUUGGAAGAAAUCAAAUACAUGAAAUUUCAUGCACCUUUUGUGUUUUAGAGAAUGUGUGAUUGCCUUGAUAGUGAAGAGCUUUUGAAGCCAUUUGCUAUAUUAAGUUGAAUUACUCAAAAUUACUAAGAAUUAAUGUGGAGAUUUGAGUGAUGCCUUGUGAUAUAUGCUAUUUGCCCUAUAUAAUUAAUAAUCAGAUAUAUAUAGAGAUAGGAAUUAAUUUCAUGCAUGCAUGGGAAUCAACUACGUCGUAUGAAAGAGGCAUUUAGCUAAGCAUACUACCGACCAAAGUAGAAAUGUCAGACUUCAGUCGUAUGAAACUUAAUUUAAAUAUCGCAUAUUUGAUGUUUGUCAAACAAUUAGGUGCAAAUUAAAUAAUUUUAAGAAAAAAAUAGUACAAGUUGAACAGUGACGUUCAAAUAAGAUACACCAUGGUUAUUUUUUUUCAAAAAAAAUGUUGUAGUUAUCCCUUAUAGGGUUUACUACAUGCAAAUCUGAAUUAAUCGGAGUAAUUAGCUUAACAACGUCGGAGACGAUUGGACGUAAAAAAAAAGUUAUACUAUAAGUUGACAAAAUUGAACGCAUUAAACUAGAACCGUCCUUUGUUUUGUAGUACUACUAAAGAUUAAUGACGCCAAAUUGCAAAAGAUAGGAUAACACACCCACUACAAAAUGACUUUGUAUUAUAUUCUCACACGUUUAGUACAUUACGACAUUAUUCUCUCCGUUCACUUUUAUUUAUGGGAAAAUUACAUAAAUCACAUACUUUUAUUUGAGGAAUAAGUAAUUAACAUUGGUGAUAAAAUAAAAGAUUUUUUUUUUGUCUUUUCUUGCAUAUGUAAAAAAUAACAAAAAAAAAAUGAGAAUUUAAUAGUAGACAAGUAAAAGUUAACGGUAGGCGUAUAUAUCUUUUUCAUUGCUUUUGUUCACAUCUUCCACUUUUAGACCUUUGUUUUCAUUGCCUUUUUAUUACUUAGUUAUCAAAUACCUAGUGCGAGUUCUAGAAAAAAAAUUGCAAAGUUGUAGUCUAAUUGACUCUUUUUUUUCUAUUUUCUUAAAAAUAUAUAAUAAAUAAAAGAAACAUGUACAUUAGGGGUGGGGGAAGGGAAAAUGGCCGGAAGGGAGAGGGGGAUUACAAGAUAGAAAAUAGAAUUUUCACAAAUAUGAUAAAAGUUUGGAAAGUCAACAAGUUACUAAGAUUUUUCUUAUUGAAUUUUUAAUAUUAAUUAUAGUUGUUUUCUUAAAAAUUAAUGAAGCACUUAAUAUUUGGUGAUAAGGAGGCCACAUCAGUUUAUGCUUAAGCCGACAUAAAGAAUAAUAAGUGAAAGGACUAAAGUUGGACUAAAAGAGUCAAAAUUCCUCGGUGUUAAAUACUUGUUCCGUUCACUUUUAUUUAUUCACUAUAUUAAAUAAAUUAUUAAAUUUUUAUCUUUCACUUUUAGUAUAUCAAUUUUUUUUUUAAAAUAUUUUAUCUUCAAUACUAGUUACUUAUUUUUCAAAAUUUAAUAUUAUACAUCGAUUAAUAUAAAAAUUGUGAUGAAAUAGGCAUAUUAAUCACAAAUUUAAAUAAUAUAUAAAAUGGAAAAAUGAACGAAUAAAAAUAAACAAAAUAAAUACAAAAUACAAAUGGAGCUAAGAUUAAUGAACCCAAGCAAAAAGUUUUCAAACUUGAAACUUCAUAAAUAGAUUCACAUUCUCAUUGAAGCAGCCAAGGGGAAUAAGCAGGCAACAUUUAGAAGACGUGUUGACGGUUUGGCGCUCGUUUAUUUCUUUCUUUCUUUCAUAUUAGUUAUUAAUAGUCUAUGCUGUGUAGUGUGUAGUACAAGCUAACAAUAUUAAUUUUAUAUUUUUAAAAUAUAUUUUAAACAUGUCAAUUAUUAUGACUUAUUACAUUUUUUACAUAAUUUUUAAAUCUGUAUAUUUCAAAUUUAAAAAUUAAUUAAAUUAAAUAAUAUUGCUGAUUUUUAAAAAUUAGUGGUACAACUCAUAUUUAAGAAAAGUACAUUCAAACUAUAUAUAUUUUUUGUGAAAUGUAUGGCUAAACACAAGUUCAACACUAAUUCAAACUUUUUUUUAAAUAAUUAAUUAUAUAAAAAUAAAAAACAUAGUUCUAAAUAUUUAUAUUUUUAAAUAUAAAAAUUAAUCAAAUUAAAUAAUUUUGAUAAUUUUUUUAAAUUAGCAGUACAAAUCAUAUCUAAGAAAAGUACAUUCAAACCUAUAUUUUUUUGCAAAAUGUAUGGCUAAACAGAAGGUCAACUUUAAUUCAAACUUUUAGAAAAACAAUUAAUUAUAUAAAAAUAUAGAAGAAAAAUGUUAGUAUAUAAUAUAAAAAGAUAGAAGCAAAAUGAGCAGUGGAAUAAAAUAAUGCUGCUAAGUAAUUCAAGUUUAAGAACCGGAGACCAGCAUGCCAAACAGCUGAAUCAUUAAAUUAAAACAAAUAAUUAAAAUAGAUGGAGCAAUAAUAACAUUCUUUCUUUUUUUUUGGUAAAAGAUAAUAACAUUCAAUAUCGCUAAGAUAUUACCUUUGUUUUUUUUAAUUAUGCCUAGUAUUAAUACUCUCUCUAUCCCUAAUUACCUGUCAACUUUUAAAUUGACACACCUAUUAAUAAAAUAAUUAAUGACAUGGUGAGAUUACUAUUUUACCCCUAUUAAUUAUGAAGUAGAUGAAUUAAAAAUUUAAGAUUUUUAAGAAGUUCUAUCUUUUUCAAAGUAAUUAAUUGAGGAUAUAAUAGAUUAAAAAAAAAUUGUCCUUUCUUGAUUUGUCAAAAUGGAUGAGUAAUUAGGGACAACAAAAAAAAAAAAAGUGGAUAAAUAAUUAGGAACAGAGGGAGUAUAUUGUACACUUAGAUUUAGAUAAGUGAAUUUUAAAAUGUUAUUGAUCUCAUAUACCUUAAUGUAUUCACAUUUUUUUGCACGACUCUUAAAUAACUUUUGGCAUGGGAGAGAUAGAAGCCACCUUGAAAGGUUCAGCAAUGAUUUUUUUUUUCUUUUUUCUUAAUUAUGGAUUAAUUUUAUUAUUAUACUUUUAUAUAUUUUUAUGAAUAGCCAAUUUUCUAUUUUGGAUUUUGAUGAAACCUUUUAUAGGAUGAAUUCAUUUUAUUUAUAUAAUUGAGCCAUUAUAUUUUUCUACUUGUUGACUAUGUAUGUGCUUAUUUUUGUUGAUCGAAUAGAAUUGUCAUCGAUAUUAUGAGUUGCUAGAGAAAAAAAAUGCAUAUUUAGAUUGUUAUUGAACAAUGUCAUUCUUAGGUAUAUGAGAGAUCACUUAUAAAAGUGGGUUUAGAGAUAACAAAGUUUUGAUGUUGUCAUAAUGAGUGACGAGAAAUUGCUAGCUAGAGAGUAGUUUGAAAGAAUAUAUCUAGUACUAAAUGACGGUGAUUGAUCGAGAGAUAAUCGUGAUAAGUUAAAGUAUUCACAACAUGAAUCGAUCAACAUAACUAAAUUAAACAUAAUUGUCAGGAUACUCCUCCUAUUGUCCUAUAUUAUGUGAAACUGUUACCGUUUAGGAAAUUAAUAAUUUUUUCUUCAUAGUUUCAUUUAUGAUCUGAGCAAUACAAAUACAAAGUUACAAACGCGAAUUCAUUUAAGAAAACCCACUCUAAAAUACAUGAAUAAAAAUAAGACUCUUAACAAUUGAGUUUCCCCUAUUUUAAACUCUCAUUUACGAAUGACAAUAAUCGAUGUAUUUCUAUUUUUACAACUUUUUUGUAAGACUAUUUUUUUCACUCGGCUAAAUUAGUUUUUAGGUCUCUAUUAAGGUUACAGAAUGAAUUUUGAGACCUCCUUUCCACUUUUUAUUCCAAACUUCAUACAAUCCAAAAUAAAUCUUAUCAGUAUUGUUCCCUUUUCCUUUUGUUAUCGUAAUAGUUUUUGAUAUCAUCUUUUUGCCAUUAGUCUCAGUAGUCAAAUUGAUCUUUCUCCAUUGAGUAUUAUCUCCCCAUUUAGCCAUAAGAUAAAGUGGCGAAUCGCUCCAACCGAACGCAUCAGUCAUCAAUGACAUUGUAAAUCCAAUGUUGUAUGAUGUUUUCUUCGUUAUAUUAAUAUUAUCGAUGCAACCAGUUACCUCCAACCAAUUUACUUGCAUAAGUUCUGCAUCAUCCUUUCUGUAAUUCAAAUAUAUUUAAUAAAAACGUCAGCAUGCUAAAAACAACAAGAGAUUUAUGUAGUCCUAUAUUGUCUUCAUUAUGCAAAAUGUAGUCCUUUUAGAAAAUUUUAUGUUGAUAAAAAUAAAAUUAAAAAAAUAGUAUUCUUACUCGUUUUUGGGUAGCUUCCAAUAACGCUUAUCAUUUCCCCAAACAAUAUUAAGAGAUUUUGGAUAAAUUAUAUAACCCUGCAAGCAACAAAAAUAACACUAUUAAAUAAAUAACAUAACAUAACAUAAACUCGAUGGAUCGAUGGAUUAAGCAUAAGUAAUAAGAGAAACAAGAAUUGCAAUAUAGGAAGAAACUAAUCUAUGAAAUGUCCUGCACCUUUUCUGUUACAGAGAAUGUUUGAUUGCCUUGAUAGUGAAGAGAUUUUAAAGCCAUUUAACUUGCUAUAUAAGUUGAAUUGUAAAGAAUGUGGAGAUUUGAGUGCCUUAUAAUAAUUUUGGCUACAAAAAUCAGAUAUAUAUAGAGAGAUAGAAAUGGAAUCAAAUCACACGUAAUAAGAGACAUGCAUUUAGCAUGGAAUAUCAACCAAUCAAAUGGAAUAAAAUAUCAUGUCUUAUAUUCUAAUAUACGUUGGCAUGCAUUUUUCUACAAGAUUUUUUUGAAGGAAACGUUUUAUUCCAUAUGGGCUUACUUAGUGCGAAUAAAUCAAGAGUGUCACGCGCGGAAUUAGUGAUCAUGGUCGAUUAAAUUCAAUAGUUUUUAUUCAAUCAAUAUAUUCUUAUUUAAAAUAAUUAUUAAAUAUAUAUUAAGUUUAAAACUUAAUUAUAUUUAAUAGAAAGUCGUCAUUUUAAAAUUUUAAAAUUUAUAAAAUUAAAAUUAUGACUCUGCCUAUAUAAAUCAGAGCAAUUAUUUUGAACACGAAAAAUAAUCGAACCGACAACAAAAAAAGUUAGAGAAUAUACUCCUCACUAUAGUGAGUUGUCAAAAUUGAAUGCAUGAGGAUAGAGAUUGAGCCCAAGUUGAUUAAGGUUGAAUAAUAUAAUAUAUUACCCACAAAAAAAUUGGCAUUGUAUUAUUCUCACACGGUGAAUAUUAUUAGUUCACAUAUUCCACUUUUAGACGUUUUCUUCAUUGCCUUAUUAAAAAAAAAUGAACUAUCACUUGAUUCUAGUCGGCCCAAAUUACCUCGAGCUAAUUAAAGCCACAAGUUUCAGAAUAUUUUUUUUGCAAAGUUAUAGUUUAAUUUGACUUUUCUACUUAAUCUUAUAGUAUUUCCCUAAUUACUUGUCCACUUUUAAAUUGACACAUCUAUUAAGAAAACAAUAAUUGAGAGUUUACCAUUUUACCCCUAUUAAUUAUGAAGUUGAUGAAUUAAAAAUGUAAGAUCUUCAAGAAGUUAUAUUUUUUUUUUCAAAGUAAUUAAUUAAGGGUAUAAUAGGUAAAAAAAAUUGUUCUUUCUUGAUUUGUCAAAAUAAACAAGUAAUUAGGGAUAACUAAAAAAGGAAAAGUGGACAAGUAAUUAGGGAUAGAGGAAGUACUAAUGGUUUUUAAAAUUCACUUUUUUGCUUUGAUUUCUAAGUUCCAUCACUUGAUUAGUCUUAAUUUCAUUAUGUGAAAGCGGUAUCUGAAAAUCAUAAAUAUUUGAAUUUCAAAAUAUCAAGAAAUUUAAUAGACCUUAGUAACAUGUAUUCACAUCUUUUGCAUGUCUUUUAAAUAACUUUUGAUUUGGGGAAAGCUAGAAGCCGUUGUGGAGUAAGGAAAAUAAAUUUGGCAACAAUAUUUUUCCUUUCUUCUUGCUAUAUUUCGCUAUUGGUUAUGCAUUGUACUAUUGUGUUACCACAUACUUUAAUAAAUCAAGUAUUCAUGAUCCGUAAAAAAUAAAUUAGUGAGGCUAUAAUUAUUGUAGAAAAAAAAAUCGAUCAUUAGAAAAGUUACAACUCUAGCUCUCCUCAAUCAUAUAAUAUAAUUGAGAAAAUGCAAUUGUGUCACACUCACUCUAACAUGCUAAUUUGGGGAGUCAUUUUUCACUAAUAAUGAACAAGUUAGUGGCAAAUCAGAACAAUUCUAUAUAAAUCAUUCAUCAUAAGUAACUACAUCAAACAUAAUUGUUCCAAGAUACUCCUCUAACCGUCCCAUAUUUUGUGAACCAAACUAUUUUUUCUUUAAUUAUAAUUUUUUUCAAAGUUCAUUUUAAUGUUUUGAAUCAUUCACUGUAUUAGCUUGUAAUGAUUUUCGUAUAGCCAGCUAUCAUAAAGUUAUAAAUUUAUUUGUUUUAGCUGAUAUAGAAGAGAAGAGUGUACGCAGAGAAGUGGGAGGAAAAUCAUAAUUUCAUUCAUAACGUGAGCAAUACUAAUUAAAAUACAAAGUUACAAACCCAAAUUUAUUUAAGUAAACACUCCAAAAUACAUGAACAAAAAUAAGACUUCUAACAAUUGAGCUUUCGCUAUUCUAAAUUCUGAUUUACGGGAUGACAAGGAUCGACGUGUUUCUAUCUUACAAUUGGCUAAACUAGCUUCUAGGUCUCUGUUAAGUUUACAGAAUGAAUUUUGAGACCUCCUUUCCACUUUUUGUUCCAAACUUCAUACAAUCCAAAAUAAAUCUUAUCACUAUUGUUCCCCUUCCCUUUUGUUAUCGUAAUAGCUUUUGAUAUUAUCUUUUUACCAUUAAUCUCAGUUGUCAAAUUCACCUUUCUCCAUUGAGUGUUAUCUCCCCAUUUAGCCAUAAGAUAAAGUGGCGAACCACUCCAACCGAACGCAUCAGUCAUCAAUGACAUUGUAAAUCCAAUCUCGUAUGAUGUUUUCUUCGCUAUAUUAAUAUUGUCAAUGCAACCAGUUACCUCCAACCAAUUUACUUGCAUAAGUUCUGCAUCAUCCUUUCUGUAAUUCAAAUAUAUUUAAUGAAAACGUUAGCAUGCUUAAAUUCCAAAUUAUAAGGUAGUAUGUAGUAUAACCCAUUUAAUUUCUAUAACUUAGAUAAUUUGUUUUGAAAGUCUCUUUCAGCCAUUUUAAUUUAACGCUUUUGUAUAUACAACAAGAGAUUAGUAUAAUUAAAUUGACCUCAAGAUGAUUUAUGUACUCCUUAUAGAAAAUUGUAUGUUCAACUUCUUUAUGAAAUCGAAAUAUAUCUCAAAGUUCAAUUAUAACUUACAAGUAUCUAACAUAUUAUAGUCGGCAAAAAUAAAAAAUAAAAAGCAGUAUUCUUACUCGUAUUUGGGUAACUUCCAAUAACGUUUAUCAUUUCCCCAAAUAAUAUUAAGAGAUUUCGGAUAAACUAUAUAACCCUGCAAGCAACGAAAAUAACAUUAUUAAAUUAAUACAUAACAUAUCAUAAACUCGAUGGAUCGAGCAUAAGUAAUAAUGCAAGAAGGAAACAAAAAUUGCAAUAUUGGAAGAAAUUAAUGCAUGAAUUUCAUGCACCUUUUCUGAUUUAGAGAAUGUGUAAUUGCCUUGAUAGUGAAGAGAUUUUAAAGCCAUUUUUUGCUAUAUAAGAAUUUUUUUUAACAAAGAAUAUGUAGAAAGGACUGUUUCAACAUGUCAGCUUUCUGGUAUUAAAUUAAACUUUAAGGGUAUUAAAAUCUUUUAAAAAAAUUUGCAAGAUAAACUUGCUUUAAAAAGUUCUAUAUCUUGCAUUGUUAUUUGAUCCUAAGUAAAAACUCUUAAAAAGGUCCUCCUUUUUCAAUUCAACUACAAACUAUACCAUGCCAUUCAAGAAUAUGAUCGGUCCCACUUUCUUAAUAUGUCAUCGAAGAAUAUGACAGGUCCCACUUUCAUCUCUUUUUUUUUUUUUUACUUAAUUCAUUAUUCAAAAAUAAAUUUCAUUUUGAUUGUCAUUUUUCAUAUUAAUAUUUUUUUUUAAAUCACAUUUUAUCUAUCGUAUUAAUUAAUUAUUAAACAUCAAUUAAUAGAAAUAGUGUAAUAAAAUAACUAUAUCAAUUAUUUUUUAAUAAAUAGGUCAAACUUAAAUAUGACAAGUAAAAAUGAACAGAUAUACUAUAUAAUAAGAAGAGAUUGUAGAAAGGAUAAAUAAUGACAGAAUUAAGGAAAAUGUUAUCAUCUUAUUGACUGAGAUUUUUAUGGGAAAUUAAUUCACAUGCUCUAAUUAUAAUUAAUAAAGUAAAUAAAUGGUAUCAUUUAUUUUACUCUUAUAUUAAAAAUAAAAUAAAAUUGUUUUACUUUUUUAUUUUAAUAAAUUAAGAAAAUUAAUUAUUUUUGACUGACUUUAUCAUUAUCGUUAAGUAAUUAUAUAAAAUACUAAUAGUCAAAUUAAAAUUUUCAAAAUAUAAUUAAUAAAAUAAAUAAGGCAUCUUCCCCUAUGCUUAAUAUAUAUACUCUUAUUAUAUAAGAGAGAGUUCACACUGAAGCAAGCACGUCUCUGUCAACGUGCCCUGCUUCAGCAUGUUUCGAAAAAAAAAUUAAAAAAUGAUUUCUUUUGUUCUAUUAUAAUUUAACUAGUGUAUAAUAUUUUUGAAAUUAUGAGAUCCGUUUUAGCUAUGACUUUUAGUUUUGAAUUCAUAUUAUUUAGUUAUAGCUUUAUUAUUUUUAAUGUCGGUAAUAUUUGUUUAUAUCUUGUAUCUACUUUGAGUAAAAAAUUAACGAUUGAUGACGAAAAAUACUUUAAUUAUGGGGAUCUUAAUGGACCUCUUCACAUUAAAUUUGCACAAACCAAAAGUAAUUAACAAAUUAAGGACCUCUUCACAUUAAAUUUGAGCAAACAAAAAAUAAUUAACAACUUAAAAAAUAAUUUUAAAUUUUAUCUAUAUAACAUUAAUUAAAAUUAAAAAAUAAUAGAUAUUGGGCCCGUACUAGCACGGGCACCUGUGUCUAGUAUAAAUAGAAAUGGAAUCAAGUUAAGAUCAAUAUCACCAACCAAAUGGAAUAACACAGUCUUAUAUUUUCUAAUAUAAGUUGAUAGGCAUUUUUGUAAAAGUUUUUUUUUAAGGAAACGUUUAAAUUAUUCCUUCUGGGCUUACUCCGUACAAAUCUGAACUAAUCAGAGUGAUAAAGUGUCAUGGGCAAAGCUAGUAACUCGGAUAUUGAUUUGAUCUAACUCAAUAGUUUUAAUUUGCUCAAUCGUUAUAUUUGGUUGAAAACACUUAUUGGAUAUAUAUACAAUAUUAAAUUUAAAAUUCAGUUAUUAUUAUUUAAAGUCACCUUUUUAAAAUUCAGAACUUAUAAAAUUGAAAUUGUAACUCUACGGAUAAAUCAUACUAAUUAAUUUCGAACGUGGAAAAUGAUCGCACAUACAAAAAAAGUUAAGAAAAUAUACUCCACUUAAUAAUUAGUUGUCAAAAUUGAAUGCAAUGAAGGUAGAGAUUGAUUCCAAAUUGAUAAAGCUCGAAUAAUUAUAUGUCAACUGCAAAACUGGCUUUAUACUACUCAUAAAUAUUCUCACACGGUAAUUGGAAUAUUACAGUAGUAGUUUAUUAAAAUAUCGUUUUCAUUGCUUAUUUAUUAUUAGUUCACAUAUUCUACUUUUAUUAAAACCUUCUUUGAAUGAAAUAUAUAUCACUUGAUUCUAGUCAGCAUAUAUUUAUUCCAAAGUAAGUGUAAUUGUUCAAUGAAUACUUGUCUUAAUUUUAUUAUGUGCAUGAAAGCUGUAUUUGAAAAUCAUAAAUAUUUAAAUCAUAUUCUUGUAAAGAGUGAUGAUCAAACCAAAUAUCAGUCGAUGAAAUAACUUCGAAAUGUUGAAAAAACAUAAUGAAUUGUACAUAUAGCAAUUGUAUGAUUAAGUAAAUCAAAUAGAUACACAAGUAAUCUCGAUUAAAUUAAUUGUAUGAUAAUAAAAUGAAUUUUGGGGUAAUUGAAAUAUAUAGAAGAUCAAUUAUGCUUUGCCCGACCAUGAGUAUGUCAUGGUUAUUGUGGGAUGUUGUGAUGAAAAUUAAAUAAUCAGAUCGACUGAAAAAUAAUUCACAAGUGAUUAUACGUUUUUAUUAUUAGUGGAAAAGCAGUACUAUGGAAGUCAUCCAAGUAGAUGUGUAUCCCUCACUUUACAAUGGACUUAUGUACUCAGAGCUUUAGACAAAGUCCAUGAAGAAUCUUAAGAGAUAUGAUGUCAUGAUCCAGACCGUUGUGAGUGACACACACUAACAAUAACAACCUAGUGGGAGAACCAUGUACGAACCCAACAUCGUUCAAAAACCAAGUUUAUCAUAUAAAGAGUAAAACAAUUUAACAACCAAAGGAUUGAGUCCUCAUAAACUCAACUAAAUAGUUUUAAAAUGUUUAAUGCGGAAAAACCUCUAAGAACUAAAAGUCAUCAUAACCAAAAUUCUAAAAUAGUCAAACUGGGGAUGCAACCCCCGAAUCAAUCAAUAAACUAAAGACUAGUGUCUAUCUCCGAAAAGAUGGACAAGAAAAGCAGAAGACCCCAUGGCAACUCGAAAGAUGUAGCACACCCUUGUAUUCAAGACAUCUCUCAACUGAGGUCUUGGAUUAGCUGGUAGAAGAUGUGAAGUACUCAACAAAGAAAAGAACAAGUACAACAUCACUACACAAACCACAGUGUACUACUAGGAGCACACAAUCAAUCCAACAUAGGAAUGUAAACAACUCACCACAAGUAGUAACACAAAACAAUGCACAUGACAACAAUUAUCAACCACAUAAACUCUCAGUCACAUGUCAUGGAACAACAAUACCUAAGUCAACCAAUGCAUGACAACAUGUCCCAUAUGAUCACAAUGCAAAUGAUCAGUCCUUUCAUGGAACCACAAUCACUUACCUGGUUCUCUCACAUAACCCAAACCCAAAUUGUUAGUGUAUGACAUGGUAUCCGAUCGAGUCAUCCAUAGUUAGUAUAUCAGCAUGGUACCCAAGUCAACCAACAAUCACAAACAACAUGCACAAUCACAUAGAACAAUAAACAAUACCACUUGAAAACCACAAGUCGCAAUAACAAGUUCGUGGCAUGAGAUUACCUAUAUGAUGUCAUUUCAUAUGUCUUUCUGCUUUGCAUUGCACAAAUGAUACUACAAAGCAGCAGACAUGCAUACAUACAUUAUAAACUGGAAACAUACGACUAUAACCUACCUUGAAUCAAGCCUCUUCGAAACUAAAUAACACGAAUUUUCCCCCUUGCGAAGUGCAUCAACUUAUUCUUGGUCUAAAACAACAAUCAACCACUAAUGACUUCGAUUAUUAACAAAUCCUAACCCUUGGCCAAAACAUGAUCAUCUUCCCUAACUUAAGGUUCUUUCCCACCAUGGAAUUAUGGCAAACCUUCCCCUAAUAGCAAUAACGUAGAUUCUAAGGCUUAAGAAGCAAUGCAUAAGGUUGAGGAGUCGAAUUCUUACCUUUAUCGAAUAAUUUCGUGGGAAAACAUGUGCAAACUAUCCGAAAUUGCUCCUCUCAAGUCCCAGAACUCAAAGUGCAGGAAAUAAGAGUUUUGGGAUUGUUUCUGCACUAAAACUCGAUUGGGUCCAUUAUAGCGGCGUCGUUAUAGCGUACUAACCCAAUUAUAGCGGUCUGCACACUCUGUUGUAGCAGGAUGCCUUCCGCUAUAGCGGCCUCAACGAAACCUCCGAAACUCAAACUCUAGAAAAACGUCAGUUUUACAACACAAACUGCGCUCCCUUGAUGUCCCGACACAUACCUUUCACUCCAAAAUCAAUUUCGAGAGUUAAACUUAUCCGAAUUUGAUUUCGAAAGGCCCUAUGGACUCUUCGAUGUCUUGUCUACAAGAAUACAUCAACCAAACCUCAAAAAUCACAUCCCACCUAUCCCUGGAUGACCCUAGACCUCACCUAGCCCAGAUUUUAUCUAAGGCUAGUCUAGCCACAAAAAAAAAAGUCACUACCAGAAAAGUUUUCUAGCCCAAAUUAUUUCACUAUUGGCUUUGUAACAUAUCGCACUUAUAAAUGACUAUAAAGAAUUUAAAAAUAUGAAAUAUUGAUUUUUGGAAAGAAUAAGGAAAAUCUGGAAAUUUUUGUCUAAGUUAAGAAAAUGAGUUUUGGCCAUUUUCAAAAGGCCAUAACUCCUAGCUCAGGAUGAGUUAGGAUCAGCUCUUGAUAUGGUUGGAAAUCCCUUGGAGAUAUCUUUCCAACGCCGCAAAGUUUGCGCUAUUUUGACAUCAUAUGAGUGAGCUAUGCCUUUCGGAAGUUGGGUCUUCGAGUGCCAGUUCCGUCGAGGGUGUAGGCUCGGAGAGUGACAGGCUUACUCAUAACGACCGGGUUAGGUCGUUGCAUAUGAUCGUUUUAAAUUGACCCUUGCAUAAUCUCAUGUAAAAAAAUUAUCGGUAGGAAAACUUUGAACUCGACUUGGUGUUAGAGGUUCAUUAUGACCCUAAUUCACAUUUAAUACACUUCCAAUACUUAGAAAUUAGUUUAACACAGAUACAAAAUUAGAAAUCAUCGGAUUGGAAUAUAUACAUAUAUAUAUAUAUAUAUAUAUAUAUAUAUUAUAUAUUCAAAAAAUAGUUUGAAUCGUAGCUUAUAAUUUGUGGGUGAAUCUAGUACUAAUUUAUACUUCUUACACUUGGAUAAGUGAGUUUUAAAAUGCCACUAAGCUCAUAUAUAGACCUUAGUAACAUAUAUUCACAUCUUUUGCAUGACUUUUAAAUAACUAUUGAUAUGGGAAGAACUAGAAGCUAGCCGUCGUCGUGAAGACUUAUUGUUUGGAAAGUCAAUAAUUUUUCUUCAAAUAUGAUUUUCUCGUUUUUUUUUAAAUAUCAAUUUUGUUUUUAAACUUUUGAAAUUUUUCAUAUUCAAAAUAUAGUAUUUUAACCCUCAUAGAUCCCUACUACUUAUCCAAUAAAAUACGACAAAGGGAAAGGGUGUGAAGUCCCGAAGGAGAGAAUAUGAGAGGAAAAUCAAAUUUCAUUUAUUAUACGAACAAUAUUAAAUACAAAUACAAAUUUAAUUAAAAGAACACAUGACUCUAAAAUACAUGAAUAAGAUUUUUAACUUAAGUUUUUCCUAUAUUAAAUUAUGAUUUAUGAAUGAUAAUAAUCGAUGUAUUUCUAUCAUAUAAUUUUCUUGUAAUAUUGUUUUUUCACUCGACUAAAUUAGUUUUUAGGUCUCUGUCAAAUUUACAGAAUGAAUUUUGAGACCUCCUUUCCACUUUUUGUUCCAAACUUCAUACAAUCCAAAAUAAAUCUUAUCAGUAUUGUUCCCUUUUCCUUUUGUUAUCGUAAUAGUUUUUGAUAUCAUCUUUUUGCCAUUAAUCUCAGUUGUCAAAUUCACCUUUCUCCAUUGAGUGUUAUCUCCCCAUUUAGCCAUAAGAUAAACUGGUGAAUCUCUCAAACCGAACGCAUCAGUCAUCAAAGACAUUGUAAAUCCAAUCUCGUAAGAUAUUUUCUUCGUUAUAUUAAUACUGUCGAUGCAACCAGUUACUUCCAACCAAUUUACUUGAAUAAGUUCCGCAUCAUCCUUUCUGUAAUUCAAAUAUAUUUAAUAAAAACGUUAGCGUGCUGAAAUACCAAAUUAUGACAUGUAGUUUUACAAUCUAAUUAAUGUACAGAUUUAAUUUCUAUAUAUAAUUUAGAUUUGGUGCGCCCAUAAUUUGUUCUGAAAGUCUCUUUGCGCUAAUUUAUUGCCUACUUCACAUUUUUGCAUAUAUAUACCAUAAGAGAUUAUUAUAAUUAAAUUUAUCUCAACAUGAUUUAUGCACUCUUAUAUUGUCUUCAUUAUGCAAAAUGUAUUCCAUAUAGAAAAGUUUAUGUUCAACUUCUUUAUGAAAUCAAAAUAUAUCUCAAAGUUCAGCUAUAAGUUACAAGUACGUAACAUUAAAUAAUUGGCAAACAUUUUUAAAAAAAGAAAGAAAAAAAAGUUGUAUACUUACUCGUAGUUAGGUAACUUCCAAUAACUCUUAUCAUUUCCCCAAACAAUAUUAAGAGAUUUCGGAUAAACUAUAUAACCCUGCAAGCAACAAAAAUAACACUAUAUUAAAUAAAUAACAUAAACAUGAUGGAUCGAGCAUAAAGGAAAGUAAUAAUGGGAGAAACAAGAAUUGCAAUAUUGGAAGAAAUUAAUGAAUGAAAUUUCCUGUACUUUUCUGUUUUAGAGAAUGUUUGAUUGCCUUGGUAAUGAAGAGAUUUAGAAGCCAUUUAAUUUGCUAUAUAAGUUUGAAUUAUUAAAGAAUGUAGAGAUUUGAGUGCCUUAUAAUAAUUUUCGCUACAAAAAUCAGAUAUAUAUAGAGAUAGAAAUGGAAUCAAAUCACACGUAUUAAGAGACAUUUAGCAUAGAAUAUCAACCAAUCAAAUGGAAUAAAAUAUCAUGUCUUAUAUUCUAAUAUAUAUGUUGGCAUGCAUUUUUCUACAAGUUGUUUUAAGGAAACGUUUUACUCCUUAUGGGAUUUGGCUUACCUUACUCAGUGGAGUAGCCUGGAUACGGGUUCGACUGAACUCAAUAGUUUUAUUUAAGUAGUAUAUUUAUGUUUAAAAUAAUCAUCAAAUAUAUGUAUAGUAAAUUUAAAACUCAAUUAUUAUUAAUGAAAGAUCGUCAUUUUAGAAUUCAGAAUCCAUCAAAUUAAAAUUGUGACUCACUCAAAUUUACCAGUUAUUUUAAACGCGGGAAAUGAUAAAACCGACAAAAACAAAGUUAAAAAUAUACUCCUUACUAUAAUGAAUUGUCAAAAUUGAAUGCAUGAAGGUAGAGAUUGAGGCCAAUUGAAUAAUAUAAUAUACCCACAACAAAUUUGGCACUGUAUAUUAUUCUCACACGUUGAAUAUUUACAGUACUAUAUAUAGUUCACAUAUUCUACUUUUACAACUUUUUUUCAUUUAUUUUUUUAAUCAACUAUCACUUGAUUCUAGUCAGCCCAAAUUACCUCGAUUUAAUUGUAGUUAAAUUUGACUUCUCUACUUAAUCUUGGUUUUUAAAAUUCACUUUUUUUGCUUUAAUUAAACUUUGACAUGGAAGAUAUUAAUUAAUAUAAGAUAUUUGGUGAUAAUCAAUUUAUACCUAAACCGAAAAAAAGCAUAAUAAGUGAGGGGCCUAAUUAAGUUGGACAAAACAUGGUCAAAAUUCCUAUUAUUAAAUUAACCAGUAUACAUUCCCGCGCGUUGCACGGAUAAUAUAAAAAAUUAUUAUAUAUAUAUGAAAUGAAAGAACAAAUCACAUGAUCAUUUAAUAACUUGUACAAUAUACUUUGCGUUUGUUCGUUACUACAUUAUUAUUAACUACUUAAAAUCAUAACAUUAUCGACUAAAUUUUGAUUAACUUAUCACUUACUUUAAUAUUCUUUUUCGUUAAUCUUCUAUUUAUAUAAUACAAAUAAAUAUAUAUAUUUUCAUUAUAAAAUAUUAUUUAAUUUUAAUAAUAUUUUAAAUAUUAUAAGUUUAUUGUUAUUAUUGACACUCUUUAUUGUUUUUUUUUUUUUACUUGAAUUCAAGUAAAAACAUUUGCAAAUUAUUUGUAUUCUUUUGAACAUUUUUUGCACUAAGAUAUUUUAUAAGUUUUAUAUUUUUGUAUGUUAACGUAUUAAUAUCUUACUUAAUACUAAAUUAUGAUUUUAAAUUUGUCCCAAAGUACGAAUAGAGAUGUUUUUAAUAUUAUCAAAAUUGCAAGUGGUAUUUUCUCAUGGAUAAUGCUAAAGAAGUUAAAUUUUUUGAUGAAGGCAUUAGAUUAUUCCGAUCAUUGUAUUACUUAACAACACUAAUGACAUUCCUUCAAAUAUAAAUACUACCUUAUACAAUAAGAAAAGUAUAUAAUAUUUGAAGCUUUAAGUAAUAUAAAAAUUGAAUUAUUCUUUGUUAUGAUAUUUUAUUUUUAGAGAAAACGAAAAAGUAAGCGAAACUUGAUUUAUAUACGAAAGUUAUUUGUCUGCACAAUCAAGUGAAACUUAACUUAUAUACGAAAGUUAUUUGUCUGCACAAUAAUCACGUCAAAGUUGAUGUGUGACUUUAACACCUACAUAUCAAGAUCAUAAAACAUUAUAAUACAGCCAUGCAAACGAUUUAUACAAAGACAUAUUCACACACACCAUAUAUUUAAUUAGUAUCAUUUGAAUAUCACAUGCAUUUGAAUGAACUAUAUAUAUAUUGCCAGUAAGCUAGAGUUCAAGGAUCAUGCCCCAUUAAAUAUAGUAUUCAAUUAUAAGCAAACAGAAAAAAGAAAAAAGAAAAAAAAAAGAUAUGAAUUCAAUAUAACAAUAGAUAGUAUUUUGUGCUAGGAGUCAUCCUAGUAAAUUUGUCAAGUCAAUAUUUAAUACUCUUUCUAUUGCCAAAAUAAAUUAAAGUUAUCCAACAAUUACCAUCGCUAUAAUAUAUAAUGGAAAUUAAGAAUGUUUUGUUAAAUUUUUUAUUUCUUAUACAUUAAAAAAAUACACAUGUAGACUUGUAGUUGUUUAGUCUUCACCUUCAUAAAUUUUAAUAAAUUAACAAAUGUGACAUUUUUUCCAUAUCCAGUAUUACUCUUUAUUCUCUUUUUUAUUUGUACUAAGUUUGAAAUUACGCACAAAAAUUAAAGAAAUAAAUUAAUAAAGUGAACAAACUAUCUAAAUUUCAAAUAUAUGAAAUAUAAAUACAUACAUUGUCAUUAAUUCAAGUAGAUUUGGAGUUGCUCUUUUACUUCAAGAAUCCCCCAAACACGAAAAUCUCACUUUUUGUAUUCAACGGCAUAAGCAGAAAAGAUAUAGAAUUUAACACUUGAAUUCAAAAAUUGGAUCAAACGCAUUAUAUUAGAAUAUCUUAAGUUAAGAAAUAUCUAACUAUCAUCAUAUUUUUCAAUGCAUUAAAUAAUAUAUAUAUAUAUUCACUUUAAACUAUGAAUUAAUUAUGCGUCAGUAUGACUUACCAAAUAAAUUGAUGAAAAUAUAAUCAAUUACUAAAAUUUUGAGUGAUAUAUUCAAAUAUUUAUUGCAUUAAAAGAUCAUCAAAAAAGUAGCAAAAUAUUGCAAAAGAAAUAGAUUACCAAAAUUUUAGGAGAUACAAUUAGUUAUUAAUUUAUAUUACAAUAAAAGAUAGUCAAAAUCUGCAAAAGAAAUUUUAAACACUGCUUUAUAUAUAGCAUUGAUGCAAAAUUGGAGAAAUUUUUUCAGAAGUAUUAGAUUUGAUUAUGUUACUACUGAAAUAACAAUACAGUCACUCAUAUUUAUCUGUAUUAGAUAGAAAAUACAUGUGAUGCUUGGACAGAGAUUGAACAAAAUUAAUAAAUUACAUAAAGUUAUGUAUGAACAAUCAAGGCUCAAGAUAUUUCCUCACUAUCAAUAUUGAGAUUUGAAAACAUACAGUAAGUAAAGAGAAAAGAAGAGACAGAUAACGUAGUGGAUAGAAUUAAGGGUAAAUUUGAGAAGUUAUAACUGCUUUAAAUUUUAAAAUAUUUUAAAAUAGUUUAUCAAUUGUAGAAAAAUAUUAAAUCUUUUUUUAAGAUGCCGACAUUUGUCAUUAUGUGUGUAUGUUGAUGACAUGUGUCUAUUUUUAUUUUAAAUUUUGAAUUUGUAAUAUUUAAUUAGUAAUAUAAUAUUUAAUUAUUUAUAAUUUAAAAUUCUGAAAAUUUAUGAUAAUGACAUGUGGCGUUUUUUCUUCUCCUAUUAUAUAUAGAUAGAUUAGUUGGAUUCAUGAUAAUGUUUUAAAUGACGAAAGAAGUGAUUGUGUAUUUCCUUUAAUAUUUGCUUAUUGGCAUAUAUUUAUUCCAAAGCAAGUGUGAUUGUUCAAUGAAUACAACAACAGUAGAGUAGGUCUAGUUUUAUCUUAAUUUCAUUAUGUGAAAUCAGUAUUUGAAAAUCAUAAAUAUUUGAAUUUUAAAGCAGUAAGAACUUCAGUUGAUUUAAUUAAAUUAAAUUCUUGUAAAGAAUGAUGGUCAAACCAAGUAUAUAUCAAUUGAAAUAAGUUUAAAUGUUGGGAAAACAUAAUGAAUUGUAUACUACAUGGUAUAGGAAUUGGCCAAAAAGUAAAGUAAAUAAACAAAGUAAUCCGAUCAAAUUUAUUUGAGGAUAAUGAAAUGAGGCAUGAGCGUAAUUGAAAAUUGAAAUAUACAAGAUUAAUUUGCAUGACAACGUUUCAUAUUUUAGUAUCAUCACUCAUCUCAUAUUUUGUGUUAUUUUUUUAAGAAAUAACUUAGAUAGUUGUAUUUUGGUUGGACUUAUAAAGAAAUAUUUGGAGAACAAAUUAUUUAUAUGUUGUAUGAAUACUUUACCGAAAAAAUCCAAAAACCUGAAAAAACCCGAGGUUUAUUAGUUUGGUUUGAUUUAAAAAUUAAAAAAUUCGACACAAAUAAUUUGGUUUGGUAUUUGAAAAACCCGAACCAACUCGAGGUUGUAAAACUCGAAAAAAAAACCCCAGUUUUAUUAGUUUGAUUUGGUUUAUAAAUUUAAAAACUUUACACAAAUGGUUUGGUUUGAUAUUUGAAAAACGCGAACCAACCCGACCCUGCUAAUAAUAAACAAGUUGUGGCAAAUCAGAACAAUUCUAUAUAUUUCCAAACGAAAAGGAAGUUGUUGGGAAGGCUACAGGGAAUUCAAUCCUCUCCAAACUACCCUGGUAGCAACUUCUCCUAGACCUAGAAAAUAGACUUAUAAUCGAAUACAAUGAAAUCUUAAAAAGAGAGGAAGAAUAUUGGAAGCUCAGGUCCCGAAUAAAUUGGUUAGCAUAAGGUGAUGCUAAUACUAAGUUCUUCCACUCUACCACCCUAAAUCGUCGUAGAAGAAAUAAAAUCUUGUCCUUACAAAUAGACGACGGCAGUUGGUUAAGCAAUCAAAAUGACAUCCUAGAGUUCACCACCUCUUACUUUGCCAACUUGUUUAACUCUAACCACAACCAGUCCCCUAGAUGCUUCGUAACUCAAGAUCAUUCCUUAUCCAGAGAAGACCUUACCUCUAUGGGUGACACCUUAAGUGAAGGAGAAAUUGCACUUGCAGUCUUCUCCUUCAAGCCGCAUAAGGCGCCUGGGCCAGACGGUGUCCAUCCUUUCUUCUACCAAAAAUACUGGAAAACAGUAGGACAUUCAGUAAUAGAAUUCUGUAAAAAAAACUUGGGCAGAUGAAUGCAUCAACCCAGAAAUUAACAGCACAAAUGUGUGUCUUAUACCUAAAGAGAAAAAUGCUUCGAACCUAAAAGAUUUUAGACCCAUUAGCCUUUGUAAUACCACCUACAAGAUAAUUACUAAAAUCAUAGUAAACAGAAUUAAACCUAUUCUUAACAAAAUUAUUGGCCCCUGCCAGGCAAGUUUCUUUAAGAACAUGCAGGCUACCGAUAACGUUAUUAUUGUACAGGAGAUUCUAAACCACUUUAAAAAAAUGAAGGGUCAGUACGGAAAUAUGAUAUUAAAGAUAGACCUAGAGAAGGCCUUUGACAAGUUAGAAUGGUCUUUUGUGAAAUAUACCCUGCAUUUUUUCAAUUUUCCCCUAAAGAUCAUAAACCUCAUAAUGUCUUGCAUCUCUUCUAGUAAGAUUGCUAUCUUAAUUAACGGUACUACAACAAAAUAUAUUACACCCAACAGAGGAAUUAGGCAAGGGGACCCUAUGUCCCCUUACCUAUUCAUUAUGUGUAUGGAGGUACUUGCAAGAAAAUUAAUAGCCAAGUACUCCAGAAAGUGUGGAAACCCGUACGAAUCGCAGGAAAGGGACCUAAACUAUCCCAUCUAUUCUUUGCAGACGAUUUAGUACUUAUAGGAAAAGCGGAACUUGAAACUUGCUUAGCAAUAAAAAAAUACAUUGCAAGAUUUCUGCUGUAUGAGUGGACAGAGUGUAAACCAUGCUAAAUCAAAAAUUCUAUUCUCUAAUAAUUGUAGUAACUCACUCAAUCAAUCCCUAUCGGUAGCUAUAGGAAUCCAAGAAAGUAGUAACUUUGGGAAGUACCUUGGGUUCCCUAUUUUUCACCAAAAGCCCACAACUAGGGAUUUCCAAUUCAUUAUAGAUAAUAUGCAGUCAAAGUUAGCUAGUUGGAAAACGAAAUUCUUGAACAUAGCGGGUAGAACCACGCUAGCAAAAUUGUCCCUUAAUAGCAUCCCAACGUAUAUAAUGCAAUUAACUAAGCUGCCUGCUUGUAUCACGAAAAGGGUGGAUCAAAUCCAGCGUAAUUUUAUCUGGGGGUCCACGGAUAUUAAAAAAAAAGCUUCACCCUAUUAAUUGGAACUUAGUUACGACAAGCAAAAAAGAUGGUGGUCUAGGAAUCCAAAGAUGUAGCAUAAAAAAUAGAGUCAUGUUAGCAAGACUAGCCUGGAGGGUAUUUAAAAACCCAAAUGCCCUAUGGGCAAAAACGCUCCUAGACAUUUAUACAAAAUCAAAUGGUCUAAGGAAUAACUCAAAUCAUAAAAAACAAAAAAGUUCCUACUGGAAAAACAUAAUAAACGGAUGGGAAGAGUGCAAAGAAUGCAUUCACUGGCUAGUUAGGGACGGAAAACAAAUAAAUUUUUGGACGGACCAUAACUCCACGACGCUAAGAAACAUGCUUAGUGGGCCCCUUCCUAUGGAAGAUACGGAGAGGUUAGUUAAUUCAGUCAUUAUAAAGGGGCAGUGGAAGCUUGAGAAUAUUCCUUACCCUUUACUACAAAGUGUCAUUUAUCAAAUUAACAUCCCCCAUAUUCCAAAUCCAAAAGAUAAGCCUUAUUGGGCACUUACAGCUAAUGGGUCAUUCACCACAUCCUCAGUGUAUCAUCAUAUUAAGGGAAAAUUAAUCAAAACAUAAAGUUUCUUCCAAUAAGGAAUUUAACGGGAUCUGGAAACUCCAGUGCCCGAACAAAAUUAAAUUCUUCCUCUGGCUUAGCAAUCAUAGGUGUAACGACCCUAAAAACGAACUAGUGAAACUAGAGCCUCACAUGUGAGUUUGGAGUUGAGAACUUGAUGAAAUGAUGAGAAAUGACCAUGACGUUCGGAAACUAGUCAUUUGAACUAGUGAGUUGUAAGGGUCAACUUUAAAUGGUCAUAUCUUUUAGCUCAAAAUGAAUUAUGUGGACCUUUACCUAUCCAAUUAAAGGUCUCUGAGUCCUCUUUCCAACGCCAUUGAGUUUGCCCAAUUCCGACCUUGGAGUAAAACGUUAUGCCUGAAAUAGUGAAGCACUGUCCAAAGGACGAGUUUAGACGGGAAUGGGCACAAUUUUUAAGUCAAGACUUUAUGGGUCCUUAGUCCUUUUCCAAAAUUGACCCUAUGCUAUUCUUUUCCUUUCCUAGCAACUAUAAGACCUUUUUAUGACCCAAUUCCUUUCAUUUAAGUCACUCCUCUUAGAAUUUCCAAAAAAAAAUGAAGCUAUAUGUGAAGGUAUGAUGUGAAUGAGUUUUAUGUGAAGCUAUAUGUGAAGGAAUGAUGUGAAUGAGUUUUAUGUGAAGCUAUAUGUGAAGGAAUGAUGUGAAUGAGUUUUAUGUGAAGCUAUAUGUGAAGGAAUGAUGUGAAUGAGUUUUAUGUGAAGCUAUAUGUGAAGGAAUGAUGUGAAUGAGUUUUAUGUGAAGCUAUAUGUGAAGGAAUGAUGUGAAUGAGUUUUAUGUGAAGCUAUAUGUGAAGGAAUGAUGUGAAUGAGUUUUAUGUGAAGCUAUAUGUGAAGGAAUGAUGUGAAUGAGUUUUAUGUGAAGCUAUAUGUGAAGGAAUGAUGUGAAUGAGUUUUAUGUGAAGCUAUAUGUGAAGGAAUGAUGUGAAUGAGUUUUAUGUGAAGCUAUAUGUGAAGGAAUGAUGUGAAUGAGUUUUAUGUGAAGCUAUAUGUGAAGGAAUGAUGUGAAUGAGUUUUAUGUGAAGCUAUAUGUGAAGGAAUGAUGUGAAUGAGUUUUAUGUGAAGCUAUAUGUGAAGGAAUGAUGUGAAUGAGUUUUAUGUGAAGCUAUAUGUGAAGGAAUGAUGUGAAUGAGUUUUAUGUGAAGCUAUAUGUGAAGGAAUGGUGUGAAUGAGUUUUAUGUGAUCUUGUGAUGAUCCUAUGUAAAGUGGAUAGCAUUGUGAGUUAAAGUAUGAUUUCUCAUGAUGUAUAUAUGAAAUGAUGUUGGAUUAUGAAGUAUCCUUAAAUGAAAAUGUUGUGACUUGGUUGGUAGACUAAAGUGUCCCUCCUUGUUACUUAAAGUCUUGAAUGCAUGAAUGUGUGAAAUGGGCAAAACUAAGAAAUGGUGCCCUUUCAUAAGUCUAGCUUUCCUAAGUAAAUGUAAAACCAUGAAAUCGGUAGACCUAAUGGUGGUAGCCCUUCUCAUGUGUGAAAUGAUGAACCUUGGAUCGGUAGGCCUAAGGCACCCUUCUAGGGGGAUUUAAUGAGCUAUCCUUAUGAACCUUGAUUGGCCAUGACUAAGAAAUGGGGCCUUUCUUGGGAAGAGGUACUAUGAGUUGGUUGAACUAGAAAAGGAACCUUCUCUAAGUACAUAUGUGAUUGAAUACUCUAUGGGAAACAAGGCUAGCACCGAGUGGAUGUGGUUAGGAAGGUGGCCUAGUUGAGUAUGAGAUUAGGCACAAUGAACUUCCUUGGACAUCCCUUAACCAUGUGCCUACAUGGGUUGCUUACUAGUUCUACCUUUGGCAAGUAGAACAACCUCCACGGAGUAGGAUAGACUCCGGAUUCCAUACCUAGCUAGUAUGGUCUAUGUCGGUUAUGCCUAUUCCCAUCAUGUGGGAUGUGCACUCUAGUUAUUGGAUAGGUUCUACAACGUGUAGGUAGUAGUAUGGGAUGCUAUCUACACAUGGCACGAGUAGGCUUUGAAGAUACUAAAGUGAGUUCCCUAAGUCUAACGACUAUUAUGUGAAAGUCCCCUUAUGUGCUUGAAUGUCUCCAAAAUGGUUUCUUAAAGAAUGUUGGUCUAUUGAUGUUAUGUUGUAAAGGAAAUGUCCUUAUCUAAGGUAAUCUUGGGGAACACUUAAGUGUGCUUGAAGAGGUUGUAUGGGCGGUCACUUCUUGUCUUACUCAAGUGUGUCUUAAGGUUUAAUUAGGUAGAGGUCCUAUGGUAAUGAAAUGACAAUGUGUUCUUUUAUAGCUAAGCAUGGGUUGUAUAUGGACUUAUGUUAAGUAUGUGUGUGCUUGGCUAUGGUCUUAUAUGUUAAUGUUGACUUGUUUUAUGUCUUUUAUACUUGUGAAGUGAAGGUUUUUAUCAAAAUGAUAUGAAGGCAUACAUUCCUUGUAAAUGUCCGUUGUGCAUAUUUUCUUGCAUGGACUCCAUACUUAGUACUUAAUUUUGCUAAUCCCUUUCUUUCCCUUUUUGGACUAAAGUGUAGGGAUUUGGAGAUGGUGACAUGUCAUGGCUACUUGAUAGGUUUCUAAGUGUUGGAGAUGAAGACUUGGUGAGUCCUCAUAGAUUCGAGGACAAUACCCUACAUGUUCCUUUUGAUGUAUUUCUAGUAUUGUUUAAGUUGUGUACGAGAUUAGUCCCAAAUUUUGUACUCUAAAGUAUUAGAUGGUUUUGAGACAUCAUGUAUAAAGUCUAGAAAGUCUUCCGCUUGCUAUUAUUUUGAUUUUUUUUAUGAAAUGUUUUCUUGGUAAAGAAAGUUUUAAAUUCCUUAUAGUUUUAGUGUCUAUGCGAUGAAUGAAUGCUAAGAGGCUUGUAUUAGACCUCUUCGAGGUCGAGUACGCCGGUUACGAAUAGGGGGUGCUCCCGGGUCGUGACAAUAGGAGACUACCGACAAGCCAGCAUCUACACUCUAUUGGGAUCAACAUCAGUCCAAUUUGUCCUAUAUGUGGAGAUGUAGAAACCGAUACACAUAUCUUUGUAGAAUGCCCCAAAGCAUUAAAACUUUGGGAAAAAUUAGGCCUAGUCGAUCAGUUAAAACCUAUCCUAGAUAAGAGAGAAACAGACUAGCUUUUUACAAUUAGGAAAAUCAAGAAUUUUAACAUACAUUGACUCGAAUUACGCUUUUCCUUACUAUGUAUGGAGCAUAUGGUUGAACAGGAACCAUAAUUUCCAUAAUGAAAAGAAAGACGACAUCUUAACUUCCAUACCGCUAGACAGAGCAUUAGAGUUCUUCUACCUAGGUUUAAAGGAAAACGUUGGAAAUAAGACUAGAACUAAUCUAAAGUGGGUGGUGCCCGAAACGGGCUUUAAACUAAACACGGAUGGUUCUUUUAAUUAUCUCACGAGGAAGGGGGGAGCGGGAGGAGUUUUACGGGAUACUAGGGGUUCUUGGAUAACAGGGUUCUCAACAAAGACAAACGUUAUGAAUGCGCUCCACACUGAAAUAUUAGCUCUCCUAAUGGGAUUAAGAAUGGCAGAUAGACACAAGUUAACACCACUUCAAAUAGAAACAGACUCAUCAGACAUCCUUGUGCUGAUUUACGAAGGAAACGAUUCUUUUUCUAACAUAAUCCUUGAAUGCAGGGCAUUGCUCCAGAGGCAGGGGAACCCACAGAUCACCCUUAGACGCAGGGAGCAGAACCAGGUGGCGGAUAGAUUAGCUAAAGAAGCGGUUAAGCUAAAGGAAAACAUAGAUUUUGUGGAAUGGUCAGCCCCACCCAUGUUCAUCAUGAAGAAUAUCGAUGCGGACAAGGAGGGAGUAACCUUUAUUAGGCCUGACAUGCCACCUUCAUCACCGAAUAGUGUAACUCUAGUUGAUAAUGUAGUAGGUAUUCCUGUAUUUUGUAACAUGGAGCGGACAUCUACUUCUUUGUUCAGCACGAAUACUAUAGAUGCUGGAAAGAAGGGAGCAAAUUUUCAGACCUUUGACAUGCCUCCUCCAUCUUCGGAUAGUAUAGCCUUAGUAGCUAAUUUACCUAGUAUUCAAGCUGAUUGUAAUGCUUCUAGCCACCUGAAUUGUAUGGAUGCAUCAUAUCAUAUUAUACUAAAAGUGGAAAGUCACAAACUUAAAAGUUGAAAUACCAUUUUAUCCUUAUCCUAAUUUAAAAUAUCUAAUUAAAUAAUAAUAUUCUAAUUACCUAAAGAUUGAAAUAUUUAAUUAAAUAAUGAUAUUAAAAUCACAUAAAUGGUGAGUGAAUGAAAGUUCAGUAGUGUUUUUUUGUGUGUUUAAUUUUUUAGAAGUUCAACAGUCUCAUUUAAUGCUGCAUAUUCAGUUUUCCCUCAAUAUGCCCACAUAAUUUAUUUACUACAAUCUUAACCAAGCAUCCUUAUUAAUCUUUUUCCUCAAUUUUUGUUUUUUUUUUUCCUUUUUGAUGUAAAAUUUCUGCCCUUUAAUUUCUAAUUUCCAAAUAAUAUUAUUUUUUACUAUUCAUGUUAAACGUAAUACCUCUAUAGCUAAAAGUUGUCUGUUCAAUUCAUAUAACUGCAUCUUUAAAGGUAAUGUACAUUGUACUGACUUUUUCUUUUCCCAACCAUUAAUUUUUCCUCACAAUUUAAUAUAUUCUUAAUUGCUCUCUAUAAAGGUCCGCAAUAAGUUGUUUUCUUUUUAUUGUUCUAUUUGUCUUCUUCUCAUAUACAUUUUUUCCAGGUAUGAUCACAACUAUUAUUUCACUGUUAAUAUGUCAUUGCUUUUGUUUUGUUACUUUCGUUUCCUCUUGAAUUUCAUUGGAUGUCACUUAAUUUAUCGACAUGUUUUGUUUUUGAUUUCUUUCCACCUUUACCCUUUUGUUUGAGCAAUUCUCUAAUUGAGGCUUUCGACUUGGAAAAUGUUUGUUGUUGAGAUACUUUCAUACAUAUAUUUGUCAAAAUAUAAUCCCUAUCAAUUAUAUAGAUUUUGUUCGAUUAGAAAUUACAUUUAUCAUUGGUUAACUCAUUGUCUCUUUAUGUGUAAUUAUUAAUACUUUUACAGGUUUCUUGCUUAUUACUUCCACAUAAUUGGCAUGGUAACACUUUCUCACUUUGUAUUUACUUUUCAAAAACUAAUUUGGUAUUUAUAUUAUUGUUGGAUGAAGUAUACCAACUGCUUGAUUAGUAUCUCUCUAUCUUCAGAAACUCAAAGUAAUCAAAAUAAAAAAUUUAACUUUGAACAAAUAUAUUUAUAGAUUACUAAAACUUACUAAUUAUUUCUAGCGUUAUAUCCACAGCCUAAUCUUAUCCCACAACUUUUAAUUUUCUUCGGGCUAUCUGCUUCUUUUAUUUUCAGUUAAAUUUGUUCAUAUCCUUUAUUUAGAUGCAAUAAAAUUUUACAAUACUCCAAGUUUUAAAUGUAUCAUAUUAAUAUUCUUAUGUCGAUAGUUAUUAAGGAUCUCUAUAACCAGUAGUUAUUACUUUCUUCCCCAGGUGUACAUCAUAAAAUUGACAGUGAUCCCAUGCAUCCAAAUAAAGAUAUAUGUUAAUUGAAUUUCCGUACAACUUUAACAUAUGACUGUAAUAUGGUGGAGGUUACAAUUUUGUAAAGACAAGACACAAGCAUUAAGGCAUGAAGUAUUUGUAAUCAUAAGUGAUGUUGCUCAUAUUCAUAUUUGAACUAUGUAUUGUUGAACUAUCACAUAAAUUAAAUAAUUUGAUAAAUUAAGAAAACCUCAUAAGAAAACGUCAUAUAAUUUGUGGAUUGUGUACAACUACCGACUAUAGUAAUAGUGGCCGAAGUAAAAGAAUAACACUAAAGAAACUUUUUCUUUUUUUGUUUUGAAAAUAAACACCUCUUAAAGUGAAUAAAUCACUUUUUAUAUGGUAAUUUAUUUAUUGAAUUUGUACUUACCCAAAUUAAAGCCUCAUCUUUAUAAGUUUGUGUAUAAGAAUGCUAUUAUGUUGUUAUCAGAUGAUGUAAAGUUUGUUUUUUCAUGCUACACUAGCUAUGCCAAAAGGCACAUGGAUAGCUAUAGAUAAUAAGAAUUUAUUUUAAUUUGAAUGAGACUAUAACAAAUUUAAUAUCACGAUACAUAUGUAUCAUCUAAAGUCUUGAGAACAAAUACUUACUCUAUUUAUGUUAAAUUAAUAUCUAAUAUAAUGUUAAUAUACAUUAUUUAAGAUUUUUAUUUGUACGUUGUUGUGCCGGAGAGAUUCUUAGAAAGAGUUUGAGUCAAUUUUUUUAACUUUAAUAAUUAGUUUUAAAAUAUAAUUGUUCUACUCAUUCAUCUCAAGUUCAACUAUGAUAUUGUUUUGACAUAUAUGAACACCAAUUAUCAAUUUGAGUUUUUUCCUCUUUUAAUUUAAUUUUGAAUCUCACACUAAUAUUUUAAUAGUAUUUAUUAAUUGUUAGGAAUACACGUGCAACGCACGUGUCCAGGACUAGUAUUAUAUAUAAAUAAAUUAACUCCUUCUCAACCAAAAAAAAAAAAAGAACAAUUCUAUAUAAAUCAGUCAUCGUAACUACAUUAAACAUAAUUCCACGAUACUACUCUAACCGUCCCAUAUUGUGUGAAAAUGUAAUACUAUGUUGUGAACCAAACUAUUUUUUCUUUAAUUAUAAUUUUUUCCAAACUUCAUUUUAAUGUUUUGAAUCAUUCACUGUAUUAGCUUGUAAUGAUUUUCGUAUAUAUAUAGUAUAUCCAGCUAUCAUAAAGUUAUGAAUUUCAUGAACCUUUUCUGUUUUAGAGAAUGUGUAAUUGCCUUGAUAGUGAAGAGAUUUUGAAGCCAUUUUUUGCUAUAUAAGAAUUUUUUUUUACAAAGAAUAUGUAGAAAGGACAGUUUCAACAUGUCAGCUUUCUGGUAUUAAAUUAAACUUUAAGGGUAUUAAAAUCUUUUAAAAAAAUUUGUUGCUUAAAAAAUUAGUUCUAUAUUUUGCAUUGUUAUUUGAUCCUAAGUAAAAACUCUUAAAAAGGUCCUCCUUUUUCUAUUCAACUACAAACUAUACCCAUUCAAGAAUAUGAUCGGUCCCACUUUCUUAAUAUGUCAUCGAAGAAUAUGACAGGUCCCACUUUCAUCUCUUUUUUUUUACUUAUUCAUUAUUCAAAAAUAAAUUUCAUUUUGAUUGUCAUUUUUCAUAUUAAUAAUUUUUUUAAAUCACAUUUUAUCUAUCGUAUUAAUUAAAUAUUAAACAUUAAUUAAUAGAAAUAGUGUAAUAAAAUAACUAUAUCAAUUAUUUUUUUAAUAAAUAGGUGAAAUUUAAAUAUGACAAGUAAAAAUGAACGGAUAUACUAUAUAAUAAGAAGAGAUUGAAGAAAGGAUAAAUAAUGACAGAAUUAAGGAAAAUGUUAUCAUCUUAUUGACUGAGAUUUUUAUGGGAAAUUAAUUCACAUGCUCUAAUUAUAAUUAAUAAAGUAAAUAAAUGGAAUCAUUUAGUUUACUCUUAUAUUAAAUAUAAAAAAAAAAUUGUUUUACUUUUUUAUUUUAAUAAAUUAAGAAAUUAAUUAUUUUUGCCUGACUUUAUCAUUAUCGUUAAGUAAUUAUAUAAAAUACUAAUAGUCAAGUUAAAAUUUUCAAAAUAUAAUUAAUAAAAUAAAUAAGGCAUCUUCCCCUAUGCUUAAUAUAUAUACUCUCUUAUUAUAUAAGAGAGAGUUCACACUGAAGCAAGCACGUCUCUGUCAACGUGCCCUGCUUCAGCAUGUUUCGAAAAAAAAAUUAAAAAAUGAUUUCUUUUGUUCUAUUAUAAUUUAACUAGUGUAUAAUAUUUUUGAAAUUAUGAGAUCCGUUUUAGCUAUGACUUUUAGUUUUGAAUUCAUAUUAUUUAGUUAUAGCUUUAUUAUUUUUAAUGUCGGUAAUAUUUGUUUAUAUCUUGUAUCUACUUUGAGUAAAAAAUUAACGAUUGAUGACGAAAAAUACUUUAAUUAUGGGGAUCUUAAUGGACCUCUUCACAUUAAAUUUGCACAAACCAAAAGUAAUUAACAAAUUAAGGACCUCUUCACAUUAAAUUUGAGCAAACAAAAAAUAAUUAACAACUUAAAAAAUCUAAAAAUUACAUUAAAAUUUAAUCAACUUUUUAAAUUUUAUCUAUAUAACAUUAAUUAAAAUUAAAAAAUAAUAGAUAUUGGGCCCGUACUAGCACGGGCACCUGUGUCUAAUAUAAAUAGAAAUGGAAUCAAGUUAAGAUCAAUAUCACCAACCAAAUGGAAUAACAUAGUCUUAUAUUCUAAUAUAAGUUGAUAGGCAUUUUUGUAAAGUGUUUUUUUAAGGAAACGUUUAAAUUAUUCCUUCUGGGCUUACUCCGUACAAAUCUGAACUAAUCAGAGUGAUAAAGUGUCAUGGGCAAAGCUAGUAACUCGGAUAUUGAUUUGAUCUAACUCAAUAGUUUUAAUUUGCUCAAUCGUUAUAUUUGGUUGAAAACACUUAUUGGAUAUAUAUACAAUAUUAAAUUUAAAAUUCAGUUAUUAUUAUUUAAAGUCACCUUUUUAAAAUUCAGAACUUAUAAAAUUGAAAUUGAAACUCUACGAAUAAAUCAUACUAAUUAAUUUCGAACGUGAAAAAUGAUCGCACAGACAAAAAAAGUUAAGAAAAUAUACUCCACAUAAUAAUGAGUUGUCAAAAUUGAAUGCAAUGAAGGUAGAGAUUGAUUCCAAAUUGAUAAAAGCUCGAAUAAUUAUAUGUCAACUGCAAAACUGGCUUUAUACUACUCAUAAAUAUUCUCACACGGUAAUUAGAAUAUUACAGUAGUAGUUUAUUAUAAUAAUAUCGUUUUCAUUGCUUAUUUAUUAUUAGUUCACAUAUUCUACUUUAAUUAAAAUAACCUUCUUUGAAUGAAAUAUAUAUCACUUGAUUCUAGUCAGCAUAUAUUUAUUCCAAAGUAAGUGUAAUUGUUCAAUGAAUACUUGUCUUAAUUUUAUUAUGUGCAUGAAAGCUGUAUUUGAAAAUCAUAAAUAUUUAAAUCAUAUUCUUGUAAAGAGUGAUGAUCAAACCAAAUAUCAGUCGAUGAAAUAACUUCGAAAUGUUGGAAAAACAUAAUGAAUUGUACACGAUAUAUGAUAUAGCAAUUGUUUGAUAAGUAAAUCAAAUAGAUACACAAGUAAUCUCGAUUAAAUUAAUUGUAUGAUAAUAAAAUGAAUUUUGGGGUAAUUAAAAUAUAUAGAAGAUCAAUUAUGCUUUGCCCGACAAUGAGUACGUCAUGGUUAUUGUGGGAUGUUGUGAUGAAAAUUAAAUAAUCAGAUCGACUGAAACAAAAUUCACAAGUGAUUAUAUGUUUUUAUUAUUAGUGGAAAAACAGUAUUAUGGAAGUCAUCCAAGUAGAUGUGUAUCCCUCACUUUACAAUGGACUAAUGUACUCAGAGCUUUAGACAAAGUCCAUGAAGAAUCUUAAGAGAUAUGAUGUCAUGAUUCAGACCGUUGUGAGUGACACACACACUAACAAUAACAAUCUAGUGGGAGAACCAUGUACAAACCCAACAUCGUUCAAAAACCAAGUUUAUCAUAUAAAGAGUAAAACAAUUUAACAACCAAAGGAUUGAGUCCUCAUAAACUCAACUAAAUAGUUUUAAAAUGUUUAAUGCGGAAAAACCUCUAAGAACUAAAAGUCAUCAUAACCAAAAUUCUAAAAUAGUCAAACUGGGGAUGCAACCCCCGAAUCAAUCAAUAAACUAAAGACUAGUGUCUAUCUCCGAAAAGAUGGACAAGAAAAGCAGAAGACCCCAUGACAACUCGAAAGACGUAGCUCACCCUUGUAUUCAGGACAUCUCUCAACUGAGGUCUUGGAUUAGCUGGUAGAAGAUGUGAAGUACUCAACAAAGAAAAGAACAAGUACAACAUCACUACACAAACCACAGUGUACUACUAGGAGCACACAAUCAAUCCAAGAUAGGAAUGUAAACAGCUCACCACAAGUAGUAACACAGAACAAUGCACAUGACAACAAUUAUCAACCACAUAAACUCUCAGUCACAUGUCAUGGAACAACAACGCAUAAGUCAACCAAUGCAUGACAACAUGUCCCACAUGAUCACAAUGCAAAUGAUCAGUCCUCUCAUGGAACCACAAUCACUUACCUGGUUCUCUCACAUAACCCAAACCCAAAUUGUUAGUGUAUGACAUGGUAUCCGAUCGAGUCAUCCAUAGUUAGUAUAUUAGCAUGGUACCCGAGUCAACCAGCAAUCACAAACAACAUGCACAAUCACAUAGAACAAUAAACAAUACCACUUGAAAACCACAGGUGACAAUAACAAGUUCGUGGCAUGUUAGGGCUUGGAGAAAAGAGAAAGGAAGAAAGAAAGGGAGAAAAGCCAAGAUUUCGCCAAGAACACUCAAGCCUUGCGAGUGGAAUUCGUCGGGGGUGAUCCCUACAAGGUAUGUGAGAUCACAUAGUGUUGGGUUAGUUCACCCACACGCCAAACUUGUUUCAAUUCAGCAAAUUUGGAGUUGUUUGAAUGUUAAGAAAGUGAAGUUCUUGAAGAACAUUGUUGAAUUCUUGUUGGUUGAUUGUUGAAUGCCUAAUGUUGAUUUGAUUCGUGGUUCCGGGUUGUUUUAGAGUUAAAUAUAUUGGGUAUUGAGAGUAAUAAUGAUCCUAAUUGUUUGGGGAAAGAACUAUGGAAGUUUAGAGAUGAAAAACGGAGAAGAAAAAUCGUCAAAAACCUGGGGAAGGAGGUGGGGCGUCACGCCAGCCAGCGCACCCCAGAAGCUCCUCUGACGUUUGAGGACUGGCGCCCCGCGCCUCACAGAGCACCAGGGACGCCAGUUCUCUCCAUUCUUUCCCCACCUUUUUGUACAUGUUCCUUAGUGAUGUACCUACGUUUUCUAGUUGAUUCCAACACUCUAAGGUACAUCUAAAUAUCAUGAAAUCAUCCAUAAAUAUGAAAUCAUGAACCUUGAAUCCAUAAUCCAAUUCAAGGAAAGUUAAGAUCAAAGUCAAGAGAAGUAAGAGUCAAGUCAAGAUAAGUUCUUAGAGUUUUUCAAGUCUUUUUCAAAUGUUUUAACUUUGUUUUAAGACUUAAAGUUCAAGUUGAGUAAAGAGUAAAGAGUAAAGUUUGAAGUUCAUUUCUUCAAAAGUAUAUGAGGACUAAGUAUUCCCAAAGAGAUUUAAAAUGUUUUCACAUUUAAAUAAGACGGAAACUGAGAUUUCCAAAGAGGCUUCGGGCUAGUUUUCAGAAAAAGUAAUCGCUUUCUAAAAGAAGCAAGAAGGGAAAUUUUGAUUUCCAAGAUAGCCUUUGAGCUAAAUUUUUGAGCACUAAUCUCAAAUCACAGAAGAAGUAUGUUUUUAAAACAUAAGAGCCAGUAUAUUUUGGGAGUAGUAUUGAGCACCGAAUUGGGGACGAGCAUGAGUUUAGAUAACUCAUGUCACCAUAGAACCAUGUAGCCAUCAUGGGUAGAAAAGGGUCAUACUUUUUAGAUGAAUCCUUUUCGCAAUAGACUAGUGGAUCCAUUAGGUCAUUUCAGGUUCUAUACCUUUGGCCGGGUAUAGGAUGUGCUGGCAGCGUGAGGUAGAUCGUUGUAUCAUCACUAUAGCUCUUAUGUGAUGGUUGUCGGUAAGAGAAACUCCCACAGAAGUUAUUGUAUUUUUAUAUAUAUCAGUUUAUUGUAUGUUACAUACAUUUAAGAGUUAUGUUGUAUCCUUGUAUAUACAUAGAGUUGACAUCAUAUUUUUAAACAGUUUUUCUUUAUAUUGCACUUGUUUAAACUGCUUUAUAUUGAAAUGAGUUCAGUUAAGUAUUCAUGAGUUGAAAAAAGCCAAGGUAAGUGUUUCUUUCAGAUUCUCUUUCCAGCCUAUAUUGUUUUAGCAUUCCAACUCGCAUACUUGUACAUUCAAUGUACUGAUGCCAGUUGUCCUGCAUUUUAUUAUGAUGCAGACACAGGUAACUAAGAUCGGUAUUCCAGCGCACCGUUGAUCUAGUGAGCAGUUCAGAGUCAGUCGGUGAGCCUUUUUGCAUUCCAGAGGACUCAUUUUUAUUGCUUUCUAGUUAGUUCAUUAGGAUGUUGUGGGUUGUCCCAACAUCCAUCUCAGUUGUUUUAGAGGCUUCAUAGACAGUCAGAUGUUAGUCCUUUGAGUCUUUUCAUUAUUAGAUAUUAUUGUUAAGACUUCGGUUGCCACUUUUGGCCAAGUUGAAUGUUUAAUCUUUAAAACAUUCUCAGUUAUUUUAUUUCAGUUCAGUUAAGUUCAUUUAUCAUUAUAGAUAUGAAUAUUGUCUUCCGCUGAGUUAAGUAAGCCAGGCCAAGGGUUCGCUUGGGGCCAACAAUGGUCUUCGAGUGCCAGUUCCGCCCAGGGUGUAGGCUCGGAGAGUGACACGCUUACUCAUAACGACCGGGUUAGGUCGUUACAUAUGAUCGUUUUAAAUUGACCCUUGCAUAAUCUCAUGUAAAAAAAUUAUCGGUAGGAAAACUUUGAACUCGACUUGGUGUUGGAGGUUCAUUAUGACCCUAAUUCACAUUUAAUACACUUCCAAUACUUAGAAAUUAGUUUAACACAGAUACAAAAUUAGAAAUCAUCGGAUUCGAAUAUAUACAUAUAUAUAUAUAUAUAUAUUAUAUAUUCAAAAAAUAGUUUGAAUCGUAGCUUAUAAUUUGUGGGUGAAUCUAGUACUAAUUUAUACUUCUUACACUUGGAUAAGUGAAUUUUAAAAUGCCACUAAGCUCAUAUAUAGACCUUAGUAACAUAUAUUCACAUCUUUUGCAUGACUUUUAAAUAACUAUUGAUAUGGGAAGAACUAGAAGCUAGCCGUCGUCGUGAAGACUUUUUGUUUGGAAAGUCAAUAAUUUUUCUUCAAAUAUGAUUUUCUCGUUUUUUUUUUAAAUAUCAAUUUUGUUUUUAAAGUUUUGAAAAUUUUCAUAUCCAAAUUCAUAUUCAAAAUAUAGUAUUUUAACCCUCAUAGAUCCCUACUACUUAUCCAUAAAAUACGACAAAGGGAAAGGGUGUGAAGUCCCGAAGGAGAGAAUAUGAGAGGAAAAUCAAAAUUUCAUUUAUUAUACGAACAAUAUUAAAUACAAAUACAAAUUUAAUUAAAAGAACACAUGACUCUAAAAUACAUGAAUAAGAUUUUUAACUUAAGUUUCUCCUAUAAUAAAUUAUGAUUUAUUAAUGAUAAUAAUCGAUGUAUUUCUAUCUUAUAAUUUUCUUGUAAUACUGUUUUUUCACUCGACUAAAUUAGUUUUUAGGUCUCUAUCAAAUUUACAGAAUGAAUUUUGAGGCCUCCUUUCCACUUUUUGUUCCAAACUUCAUACAAUCCAAAAUAAAUCUUAUCAGUAUUGUUCCCUUUUCCUUUUGUUAUCGUAAUAGUUUUUGAUAUCAUUUUUUUGCCAUUAAUCUCAGUUGUCAAAUUCACCUUUCUCCAUUGAGUGUUAUCUCCCCAUUUAGCCAUAAGAUAAACUGGUGAAUCUCUCCAACCGAACGCAUCAGUCAUCAAUGACAUUGUAAAUCCAAUCUCGUAUGAUAUUUUCUUCGCUAUAUUAAUAUUGUCGAUGCAACCAGUUACUUCCAACCAAUUUACUUGGAUAAGUUCUGCAUCAUCCUUUCUGUAAUUCAAAUAUAUUUAAUAAAAACGUUAGCGUGCUGAAAUACCAAAUUAUGACAUGUAGUUUUACAAUCUAAUUAAUGUACAGAUUUAAUUUCUAUAUAUAAUUUAGAUUUGGUGCGCCUAUAAUUUGUUCUGAAAGUCUCUUUGCGCUAUUUUAUUGCCUACUUCACAUUUUUGCAUAUAUAUACCAUAGGAGAUUAUUAUAAUUAAAUUUAUCUCAACAUGAUUUAUGCACUCUUAUAUUGUCUUUUCAUUAUGCAAAAUGUACUCCAUAUAGAAAAGUUUAUAUUCAACUUCUUUAUGAAAUCAAAAUAUAUCUCAAAGUUCAGCUAUAAGUUACAAGUACGUAACACUAAAUAAUUGGCAAACAUUUUAAAAAAAAGUUGUAUUCUUACUCGUAGUUAGGUAACUUCCAAUAACUCUUAUCACUUCCCCAAACAAUAUUAAGAGAUUUCGGAUAAACUAUAUAACCCUGCAAGCAACAAAAAUAACACUAUAUUAAAUAAAUAACAUAAACAUGAUGGAUCGAGCAUAAAGGAAAGUAAUAAUGGGAGAAACAAGAAUUGCAAUAUUGGAAGAAAUUAAUGAAUGAAAUUUCCUGUACUUUUCUGUUUUAGAGAAUGUUUGAUUGCCUUGGUAAUGAAGAGAUUUAGAAGCCAUUUAAUUUGCUAUAUAAGUUUGAAUUAUUAAAGAAUGUAGAGAUUUGAGUGCCUUAUAAUAAUUUUCGCUACAAAAAUCAGAUAUAUAUAGAGAUAGAAAUGGAAUCAAAUCACACGUAUUAAGAGACAUUUAGCAUAGAAUAUCAACCAAUCAAAUGGAAUAAAAUAUCAUGUCUUAUAUUCUAAUAUAUAUGUUGGCAUGCAUUUUUCUACAAGUUGUUUUAAGGAAACGUUUUACUCCUUAUGGGAUUUGGCUUACCUUACUCAGUGGAGUAGCCUGGAUACGGGUUCGACUGAACUCAAUAGUUUUAUUUAAGUAGUAUAUUUAUGUUUAAAAUAAUCAUCAAAUAUAUGUAUAGUAAAUUUAAAACUCAAUUAUUAUUAAUGAAAGAUCGUCAUUUUAGAAUUCAGAAUCCAUCAAAUUAAAAUUGUGACUCACUCAAAUUUACCAGUUAUUUUAAACGCGGGAAAUGAUAAAACCGACAAAAACAAAGUUAAAAAUAUACUCCUUACUAUAAUGAGUUGUCAAAAUUGAAUGCAUGAAGGUAGAGAUUGAGGCCAAUUGAAUAAUAUAAUAUACCCACAACAAAUUUGGCACUGUAUAUUAUUCUCACACGUUGAAUAUUUACAGUACUAUAUAUAGUUCACAUAUUCUACUUUUACAACUUUUUUUCAUUUAUUUUUUUAAUCAACUAUCACUUGAUUCUAGUCAGCCCAAAUUACCUCGAAAAUCAUAAAUAUUUGAAUUUUAAAGUAGUAAGAAAUCCAGUUGAUUAAAUUAAAUUAAAUUAAAUUCUUGUAAAGAAUGAUGGUCAAACCAAGUAUAUAUCAAUUGAAAUAAGUUUGGGAAAACAUAAUGAAUUGUAUACUACAUGGUAUAGUAAUUGGCCAAAAAGUAAAGUAAAUAAAUAAAGUAAUCCGAUCAAAUUUAUUGGAGGAUAAUGAAAUAAGGCAUGAUGCGUAAUUGAAAAUUGAAAUAUACAAGAUUAUUCUUAAUUUGCAUGACAAUGUUUCUGCGAGGAAUAUAGUGUUGCAAAUUGAAUCACCAGGUCAACUGAAACAAACUUCAUAAGUGAAUGUACGUUUUUAUCAUUGAUGGAAAAGCAAUAUCAUAGAAGAUGUUCAAGCAAACGUGCAUAUAUCACCCACUCUGACUUCAAAAGACUUGGGAACAUUAUGAAUAAUGGAAAAUCUCAUCACAUACGACAAAGAUAUAAUUGUUAGAUAACUAUUUUACUGAAAUUAUCGCAAGUGACUAAAUCACUAUAAUAAGAGAUAUUUUCGUGUCAAUAAUUACCACAAAAUAUUUUAUAUAUAUAAUAUAUAAAGUCAAAAGAUAAUAUGGACACUUAAAAAAAAAAAAAUUAGAGAGAGCAUUUGAAAAAUCAACGAAGAAUAAAAUGAGGUUAUGAUCAAGAAUAAAUUAAUAUGACGAUAAUUCUGAUAUAUCUAAAAGAUUAGAACUAUCAACAUCUAAGUUUAAGAAUUCAAAUAAAGUUAUAAUUGAUUGUUCGAAUAUUAUAACUAUCUUUCCAGGACAAGGUCACGUGUAAUUGAUGUAUUUUCACUUCUUACGAUGAGUUACAUGAAAUUAGUUAAAUUGAACGCAUGUUAUAUAUAUAAUUAUUUUAUUUUAUUUUAAAAGGGAUAAAACUUGAAAGAAAAUAAAAGAACAAACGAAAUUACGUAAUUUUCAACUUUAAGCCAUGAUAGGUGUUUUUCAAUUUAUUAUAUAUACAAGUAUAAAAGAAGCAUAUGACUGGGAAUUACAGUUCAUUCAUGAUGCGAGCAAUACGUACAAAUACAAAACACAAAUUUAUUUAAGAAAACACACUUCUAAAAUACAUGAACAAAAAUAUAUAAGAUCUUUAACUUGAGCUUUUCCUUCUUUUAAAUUUUGAUUUAGGGAAUAACAACGAUCAACGUAUUUUUAUUUUACAACCUUUUUGUAGUAUUGCUAGCUUUUUCACUCAGUAAAUUAGUUUCUAGAUCUCUGUCAAGUUUAUAGAAUGAAUUUUGAGACCUCCUUUCCACUUUUUGUUCCAAACUUCAUACAAUCCAAAAUAAAUCUUAUCAACAUUGUUCCCCUUCCCUUUUGUUAUCAUAAUAGUUUUUGAUAUCAUCUUUUUGCCAUUAAUCUCAGUUGUCAAAUUCACCUUUGUCCAUUGAGUAUUAUCUCCCCAUUUAGCCAUAAGAUAAACGGGUGAAUCGCUCCAACCAAAUGCAUCAGUCAUCAGUGACACUGUAAAUCCAACGUCGUAUGACGUUUUCUUCGCUAUAUUAAUAUUGUCAAUGCAGCCAGUUACCUCCAACCAAUUUACUUGUAUAAGUUCUGCACCAUCUUUUCUGUAAUUCAAAUAUAUUUAUUGACAAUGUCAGCCAAUUUACAAUUGUAAGGUAGUAUAUAUAUAGUAAAUUUCUAUAACUUAGAUUUGGUACACCAAUUAAUUCUUACUCGUAUUUGGGUAACUUCCAAAAGCGUUGAUCAGUUCCCCAAACAAUAUUAAGAGCUUUCGGAUAAAUUAUAUAACCCUGCAAACAACAAAAUAAACGCUUUAAAAAAAAACAUAAACUCGAGCAUAACUAAGUAUAAUGGGAGAAACAAGAAUUGCUAUAUAUAGAUAUUGGAAGAAAUUAAUGCAUGAAAUUUGCUGCACCUUUUCUGUUUUAGAGAAAGUGUGAUUGCCUUGAUAGUGAAGAGAUUUUGAAGCCAUUUAAUAUUUGCUAUAUAAGUUAAAUUAUAAAGAAUGUGGAGAUUUGAGUGCCUUAUAAUAUUUUGGGGUACAAAAAUCAGAUAUAUAUAGAGAUAGAAAAAUUUUCAUGCAUGCAUGCAAUAACCUAAAGAAGGAAAUGGAAUCAAGUCAUGACACGUAAGACCUUACGCAUUAAAGCUAAAGAAUGUCCACAAACGGAUUUUCAAGAAGAUAGAAUAUAUGCACAUGCAUCAUGUCCCUAGGAUGAUUGGACAAGGAAAAAAAUAUACUCCAAAGUCGACAUCUUAACUAUAAUUAGUUGUCAAAAGUUGAAUGCAUGAAGAUAGAGAUUGAUGCCAAAUUGAUAAAUCUCGAAUAAAUACUCUCAUGAUGCGGUAAGAAUAUUAGAGUACUAUAUUAUAUCGUUUUCAUUGCUAAAAUAUUACUCCCUCCGUCCCAUUUUAUAUGUCACCUUUUUACUUUGUACUUGCAUUAAGAAAUGAUGUAACUUUACCCUUCUACCCUUAUUUAAUGUUUUCUUAAGUCAACUUUAUAAUAAAUGAUGAGUACAUUUUUAACAUUAAUUAACUACUCUAUCAAGGGUAUAAUAGGUAAGAUAUGGUAAUUUAUGAUAAUUUUUAUAAAAUAACAAGUAUUGUGGUCUAGUUAUUUAUAGAAAGAGAUACAUAUAAAAUGAGACGGAGGGAGUAGUAAUUAAUUGGUUCAUAUAUUUCACUUUUAAAACUUCUUUUCAUUCCCCUUUUUAUCAACUGUCACAAAGUUUUAAAGGAAGGGCCUAAGUUUGACCAAAAAGGGUCAAAAUUCCUCCUAUUAAAUUAGUUGCAUUAAAGUAAUGUUUAAAUAACGCAAAAAAUGAAUGUGGAUUUCCUUUUAUAUUCCAAAGCAAAGCAAGUAUAUAUGAUUGUUCAAUGAAUACAAGAACAGUGGAGUAGUCUAGCUAGUUUUGUCUCAAUUUCAUUAUGUCAAUGCAAUAUUUAAAAAUAUAAAAUAUUUGAAUUUUAAAGUCGCAAGAAUUUUAAUUAAUUCAUAUUAUAUAUUUUUGUAAAUAUUAAUGGUCAAAUUAAGUCUCAAUUUUUGUAUAUAUAAUAUUACUUGACCAAUAAGUAAAUUAAGUCGAUAAACAAAUAGUUUUGACUAAAUUCACUAGAUGACAAUGAAAUGGAUUUUAGGGUAUUUAAAACAUCUAAGACGAUUAUGGUUUGCAUAACAAUGAGUAUUUCGUAGUUAUUAAGGGGUGUAGUGAUGCAAAUUGAACCACUAAAUCAAGUGUCUAGUGUGUAAUUUGUUCUGCCAUAUAUAUUUGAAUUCACUAAAAUUCUGAAAUUAACGAGGGGUAAAUUACUUAGAGGACACACAAGAAAAUUAUAAUCCUUUAAUUAUAUAUUUUUUUCUUCAAUUUUUUCUUAAAUAUUUUAAAUUAUUGAUUACGUCAAUUGACAAUAUUUUUGGUAUAAUUUUCAUAAUUAACAAUAUUGUAUUCAUAAUUAAUAUCAUUGUAUUCAAAGUUGCUAAAGUCUUUAACAACAUUAAGUAUUGGUUAUAAAUACACAUAUUAUAUUAUUGCUACUAAUAAUAUAAAGAAAAUUAUACUAUUAGCGUAAAAUUAUUUAUUUGUUGCGAUGAGUAUUUUAAACUUUUUCCAGUGAAACUAGUUAAAUAGAAUAUAUGUAAUAUAGUUAUUAGGAGGGGGGAAAAGAGGAAAAACUUGAAACAAAUAAAAGAACAAACGUAAAUCAACUUAAUUAAAGUUAUAAUUGAGUUCAACAUACGAGUUUCAUUCAUGAUUGGACAAUAAUUGACUAAUUAUUUUUGUCUUACAAUUUUCUUGUAGUACAGCUAAAUCAAUAUCUAGCUAAAUCUCUGUCAAGUUUACAGAAUGAAUUUUGAGACCUCCUUUCCACUUUUUGUUCCAAACUUCAUACAACCCAAAAUAAAUCUUAUCGAUAUUGUUUCCCUUUUCCUUUUGUUAUCGUAAUAGUUUCUACAACUUAGAUUUUGUACACCAAUUAAUUCGUACUCGUAUUUGGGUAACUUCCAAAAGCGUCUAUCGUUUUCCCAAACAAUAUUAAGAGCUUUUGGAUAAACUAUAUAACCCUGCAAGCAAUGAAAAUAACACUAUCAAAUUUUUUAAAAAGAGAAACAUAAAGUCGAACAUAAGUAUAAUGCCAGAAGGAAAGUAAUACGUAAAAGGCCAAAAGGAAUAAUGUCACAUGAUAGAUGACCUAAGGCCAUAGCUAAGACCUAAGUUAUCGUUAAACAAAAAUGCAUGUCUGAAACUUUAAUCAUGUUGCGUAUCUGGUAAAUAGCACUGUCCAAAUAAGAUAUUUCGUGAAAAUUUUAUAUUUUUUUAAGGAAAUAUUUUAGUUGUUCAUUAUUGGAUUACUCAAUGCAAAUAUGAACUAAUUAGAGUCUAUGGGCGGAGCUAGUAGCCAGUUGGAUACGAGUUCAACCGAAAUCAAUAGCUUUUACUCUAAAUUUCAAAUAAUAUGUACUAAAAAAAACUCAUUAAUCAAAUAGCUUUUACUCAUUAAUAUACUAUAAUUAAUCAAAAAUUGAAUGCGUAAAACUAGAAUCGUCCUUUGUUUUUGUAAUUGAUUCUAGUUACCUCGAGUUAGGGGUGUCAUGGCCGGAUUGGUUCGGGUUUUUCAAAUAUCAAAUCAAAUCAUUUGUGUCGAAUUUUUAAAUUUAUAAACCAAACCAAACCAAUAAAACUCGGGUUUUUCAACCUCGGAUUUUUUUGGGGGUUUUCGGUUUUUCGGUUUUUGGGGUUUUUUCGAUAAAGUAUUCAUACAAACAUAUAAUUUACUUGUACUUCAAAUAUUUCUUUACUCCUACCAAAAUACAACUAUCUAAGGCGUUUCUUAAAAAGAAACACAAAAUAUGAUAUGAUUAAUGACACUAAAAUAUCCAACAAAAAUAAUAAUAAUGAAAUCACGUAAAACAAAUAUUGCAAAUUAACAAGUCAUAAGUAAAAUGAUCAUAAUUUAAAAGUACUAAAUCAUGCUAAAACAAGUUCAAUAAGUAUUAGUUACAUGACUAAAUAUUAAAGGAAAUUAAAAUUAGAUUAUGUAUUUUAAUUGUCUAAACCAAUGACAAAACUAAAGAACAAAUAUUCAAUAUUAUUGUCAUUUUUAGUGUUUAAUUGAUUUCCUUUUUGCAUUAGUAUUAAUUUAAUUUUGAUUUAAGCUUUAUUAUAAUUACCAACAUAUGUGGACUAUAAUCUUUAUUGGNNNNNNNNNNNNNNNNNNNNNNNNNNNNNNNNNNNNNNNNNNNNNNNNNNNNNNNNNNNNNNNNNNNNNNNNNNNNNNNNNNNNNNNNNNNNNNNNNNNNNNNNNNNNNNNNNNNNNNNNNNNNNNNNNNNNNNNNNNNNNNNNNNNNNNNNNNNNNNNNNNNNNNNNNNNNNNNNNNNNNNUUAUAUAUAUAAUGUCGGGUUGGUUUGGUCUCGGGUUGUUUUUUUUUAGUUAAAACCAAACCAACCCAAAUAUAGUCGGGGGGUUUUUUCCAAUACCAAACCAAGUCAAACCAAACCACUAGUCGGGUUUUUUUUUCGGUUUGACUCGAUUUGCGGUGUGAUUCGAUUUUCAGUUCGAUUUUGUACACCCCUACCUCGAGUUAAUUAAUAUGUAGUCCAAAUUUGACUUUUCUACUUAAUCCUAUACGUAAUGGUUUUUUUUAAAAUUCACUUUUUUGCUUUAACUAUGUUUACUUAUUUAUAAAUAAUCCGACUUGGUCACAGGAGGCAAAUAAUCAAUUUUAUAACUAAGCCGACAGAGAGCAUAAUAUAGCGAAGGGCCUAAGUUAAAUAUGACCAAAUUAAAGGGCCAAAAUUCCUCUUAUUAAAUUAGUUGCAUUAAAGGUAAUGUUUUUUUAAUAAUGAAAAAAAAAAGAAUAUGGAGUUGCUUUACAAUAUUAGAUAUUGUUCAAUGAACACAAGAACAAUAUUUAGAUUAGUGGUUUAAAGAUGAUAAUUCUAGAGAACACACUGAUGAUUAAUAAAAACGUGUUCAUGAAAGCAAAAGUUGAUGCACUUUGUUAUUUGACAUAGAACACCAAAUGCUUCAUGAUGCCUUCAUAUUUACUGUUAGUUCUUAUAAUAUUAUUCAUAUCAUUGCUACUUCAAUUUAUUAAUCAUCUGUGUUUUUUGUGCUUGGAUUAUAUAUUUAUUGUUUUCUUUUCUGAAUGUUAUGUAAUGUUUUUCUUAUCAAUCAACAUAUCUACUUUAUUUCCUUUUAAAAAAAAAAACUACUUUAAAAUAUUUUAUUUGAGCCAAGAGAGUCUAUCAAACAUAAAUUAAGAUUUAAAAUCAAAUAAAUUAUGUAAAGAACUAAAAUAAAAAUGAUAAAUUUGGACGCUAGAAGGAGGGCUUGAACCUCCGACCUUGUGGUUAACAGCCACACGCUCUAACCAACUGAUCUAUUCCAGCUUGUUUGAUAGGGAGUUGUUUUGCUCAUUAGAAUAACCAAUAUCUGUCCCAAUUUAUGUUGACUAUGCACACAGUUUUAAGAAUAAUAGGAAAUCUAUUCGAACUCGAGGUCUCAGGUCUCAGGUCUCAGGUCUCAGAUAAGUCAUUUAUAUUUGUAUAAUUAUAAAUAAAUGAUAAAUGAGGGAGUAUAGCAUUUCCAUUUGACAUAACCAAGCAAAUCUAUUAAUCUAUUAAUGAGUACUAUUACAAACUGCAAUAUCUGUAAACAUAGUUCCUAUAGUAUCUGCCCAAAUUGCAUAUGCUGGCUGCUGCAAUCACUGAAAAAAAUACCAAAAAUCUUGGCCUAUUAAAAACUUAACGAUGUACCCUUUAGCCAGCUGAUUCGUCACUCUAUUUUGCUCCCUAAAUAUGAGUAAAUGCUGGAAACCCAUAUUUUUCUUAUAUACACAUAGGGUGUGCUUAGGAAACCAUAUUCUAAUAUCGUUAUAUUUGGUUGGUCAAAAUAUUAAAAAUAAGAAUAAUUACUUCCCUAGUGACAUUCACAUUCACAUUGGUAGUCUGCUCCCUACACUCUUAACACAUGACCCCAUCCCUUAUAUCCUACAUCCUCACCACACCAUCCUUCAUAGUAUUUGAAUAUACUGGUGUACAAAUAUUUUUUGUCUACUUACCAAACACUUAAAACUAAGUAAGAAAACCAGGUACUACUUGUUAUGUCACAUAAAAUGGGUAUAAAUCUAUGACUAUACCUCGAGAAUGUACAAUCUUGCAGAAACGAAGGGAAUUUUUUGAGAUAUACGAAAUACAUGUGUUAAUAUGUUAGCGCUUGUACAUGUUAGACACAUGAUAAAUGGAGUCCUGAUACUAUAGAUAGAUAAUGAAGAACGCUUUCCAUAAACUGGCAAAGAGCAUAAACGAGCUCGAAAUGUACUGCUCAUUGUGGAGGUUAUCUCCUCAUAUUGCCAAUUUAUACCUCUAGUUCUUGAUCGAUUGAUGCAGCUUCCAGGUCUUCAAGACUGACUGGUUGGUGCAGCUGCAUUGAUGAAACACAAGUUUAAUAUAGGCUCAACAGAAGACUACAUCGCUAGGUACUCAAAGCAGCAUAAAUAAGCAUGUAACAAUGAUAAAAAGUCCAUAUAAAUGCAUCCAGACCAUUUUAAUUGCAGCUCCUACAUCGACUUCCUCUAUAUCCUCAUUUUCCAACAUUAGCGUUCAUAAGCAUUUAUCAGAGGAAAGACAACUAAAGAGAACCAAAAUUAGCCAAACAUUUGGUCGCAGAUUUGAGACUACUGGUGCUUAUUUGAUACUGUAACAACUCAAGUUACCAACACAACAAUGAUAUGUAUUAUAAUCGCUAAAGAACACAAAAUACAAUUGAGAAAUGGAAACAACAAGCUAAUAACAACUAACGUCCUUAAAUCGAAACUGAGAAGGUUAACCGAAGGGGAAGAUGAUCAGAAAAUAUAGAGAUAGAUAGAAGGGGAUGAGAAGCUCGACUAAGAAUGGAGAUGAGAGAAUCAGACUCUUUACUCAACAAUUUGUAUAAUCCUUGAAUCACAUCCCACUACCCUUUUUGAUGGAACCGCUCCCAUGCCCAUUUCUCAACCCGAAUCCAAAAUUAACCUGACCCUAUUGCUUGUUCUAGGCCCAAUAGCUCUUAUCAGCCCAAUAACUACUUUUGCGACCCUGGUAUCCACAUUGGCCUGGACUUGGUUCAUACAAGAUACUCCUCCCAACAAAACCAAGUAAGGUAGAUUAAAAAAGUAGUCAAACUUUGGAGAGGUAAAAUAGCUGACUCGAUGAUGCAUGUUUGGACAUGAAAGCCACAAUCUGAAAAACAUUUUAGGCAGCCAGGGUGUCAUGUCAAAGCAGGUACCAUAGUCAGUAGAAACUGUUGUUUGUCUAAGGAGCAGCUUUCAUAUGAACACUUGCUUUAGCAACUUAACAGAAAAUCAAACAGAUAAAUAGCAGGAAAGGCAUCUCCAGAUAACUAGGAUCAAGAAGAAACAUACUGCUGUUGCAACAGAAAAUAGGUGGAAGGCACGCAAGGAAGCAUCAUUUUCUGAGGGAAGAGAAUCAUGGUUCCACAAUGUUAUGUUUUGGAACUUUGCCUUCAUCUCCCAGCAACUUGAAUCUUCCUCGGACCUUUUUCUUUUCUCAACAGGCAUUUUCUUUCCCAAGACAAACCCUGAAGAAGCAAGAAAAUGGUUUCAAAUAACACAAAGUUAAGUAGAUUAAGAAGUCCCAAUAUAAAUUUGAACUACAAUAAUCGUAAGACUUUAGGUGGCAGAUAAGUGAUGUAAGUAAAUUUACAAAAAACAGAAAAAGACAAUACAACUGGAAACAGCAAUUCAUGCGAUGAUACAUAAUUAGAAUUACGUAUCUCAGAAUUGAGCUAUCAAAAUCGGGAUGGAGAGACUAGCACUUCCAGUCCAAUGCAAAAGCUGUAAGACAAUAGACUAUCAUUCCAAAAACAUUUAUCUUUAUUCGUUUGGACAUUUUCCUUCCAGACAAUUGUUCCAAGAUUGACACAAGUGUCUAAUGAAACCAAAAGCUUAACCAAAAUUUCUGUUAAAUCAUCAAAAGUUGGUAGCCAAACUACAAUCCAUGUAAACUAGCUAGGAUAAACUCUUGAAAGAUGAACAAGCAAACAGUUCAUCAGUCUAGUUGUUCCCCUUCGCCUUGCCCCUCCCUCAACCCCACACGCCAAAAGAAAAAUUAGAAAAUCACGUGAUUAUAAUCCUAGUUGCAGGUGUGAGAAUUCAAUCACAUGUCAUUUAUACAGGAUUUCACUGUAAUUACAUGGUAUUAGGCUCUGCCACCUCAACAACUAGCUUUUGGCAUGUGAUUCUCAUAAAGUUCAUAACAAUCGGUGUUUGAGCCAUCCAGUUAUGAAGCCUCCAAAAUCAAUCAUGCUGGAUGGGAAAUAAUAUCAACAUAACAGUGUUUCCUCAGUCCUACAGCAUAUAAAGCACAGUUGUAUGUGCAGCCACUCACCAAGAGCACAAUGUAGUCAUUGAUGGUUAUUAUCCAAGCAGCAAGUAUUGAGACUUUGAUCCAUCACUUGGGAUCCGAGUAUUUAGCUUUGAAUUAUGGUCCCCUUUGCUUAAUUUCUGACCAUACUGUUUGCACAAUAUUAUUUUACUCCCUCCAUUUCAAUUUAUUUAUCCUACUUUCCUUUUGUGCUGUACUAGGUUACCUAUUACCCUUACCAAUAUCCCCUUUCUAUUCAUUAUGUAUAUAUAAAUAGAGAUGGACCAGCGGCUUAUUGAGCCUUUUAUCACUUCGUACCACUUGUUUCCUCUUCUUCAGAUGUCUCGCUUCCUUCUUCUACAACAGAUAUUAUACCUACUCAAUCAAAAUUUGUUGUUUUGUCAGGAUCGUCUACUUCAUCCUUUUCAAUUCCUCCUUUGCCUUCUUUUUCUCAUUCUCUUCCUCUCCACACUGUUGGGCCAAGCAUUCUGCUAGGUUCUUCUAUAGGCCAGAUUGGCCUACCUUCGCUCCCACCUUGCAGUGGAACAAUAGAACCAACAGUUCCAUCUCCCUUCCACUCUGCCGCGGCUUUCACCAUACCUAGUAUCACUAAUUUGGUGACUAUCAAACUUAAUUCUGUUGAAGAUUAUCUCACUUGACGUAGUCAAGAAACUUAUUUACAUUCUCAAAUUUCGUGUCAAGUCAAAACCAAACAAACAAAUUAAAACAGAGGAAGUAAUAGACAAGCCCAUCCAACACCAUUAUUAAAGGAAAAUAAAUUAGUUUACCAGAAUAGCCAUGAGGAAUUACAACAGUAGUACCCUGAAGCUUCCUUCCUCUAAAAUGAGCUUCCUCCACACUUAACCCAUCAACAAUUACACCUUCAUUUCAUUCACAAAUUCAAACAGUGAUUAAAUAAAUAAAAGCAAAGUUCUUUCAAAAACUACGUUUUUAAUACCCAAAACCAAAAAUUCAAGUAGAGUAUGAACUUGACUUGCAUAAAUAGAAUAAUUAUACCGGUGGAUUUGGGUUUGAAGUACUGUGAAACAUCAGAUGGACCAUUGAACUUGAUACAGCACGGCAGCUGGUGCACUUUUCCGGUGAGUUCCACCACUUUCUCCGGCGAAAGAUUGCCGGUUAGAUCAAUUGUGCCUGAAAUUCCGUUGUUGCUUCUCGCCAUUGCUCGGUUGAACUGGUAACAAGUAUCAAAAGAACCCUAAAGGGUGUACCAAAGCUUAAGCCUUUAUUCAGAGUUGUUCCUGUGUUCAUAAUAUGGCAAAUUUGGAAAAGAAGGAACAAAAUUACACAUGGAGGGAAAAUGUCUAAAUUCUCUAUGAUUGCUGAAAUUAACAGGAAUCUACAUCUGUUGGCAGCAUACAGUUAUCCCUGGCUAGAUAAAAUUCCUGUGUUUUGGCCGUUAAUUGUAAAAGCAUUUGAUAAUUACAUUCCUCUAAUCUCUAGCAAAAUUGUUAAUUGGAAGCUCCCCGAGGAAGGUAAAUUUAAAUGCAACAGUGAUAGUGCUUACAAGGAUACUAUGGACUUCAUUGUCUCUGCAUUUUGUAUUAUUUCAUGUAUGCAUAAGUGAACAAGGUAUUGGUAGGAUCUGCACUUGAGGCAGAAGUGAAAGCUUUGGGUAGAAUAUUGCAUGACCAAUAAUUUGCUUGCAGAUUCACUUAUUGGUAAGAAGAUCAUAGAUGGGAUUUGGGAAAUUCCUUGGGCUAUUGUAGUUGAUAUAAGGAGAAUCCAAGGGAUGGUGAGAGAGCAUACAGUGGAGGUGUUACACAGAGAAGGGAAUAUGUUAGCUGAUUUUUUGACUGAACCAUAUCUUCAUUGCAGGUAUUAACAACAAACAAUUUCAUACUGUUACCACAGAGGGCCAAGGCGAUUAUCCAAACAUGAGAGUUACAAGGUGUCAAAAUAGAUUUCAAAGUCAUGACACAAUACACUAUACAAGCUUCACUGAAAACACAGGUAGCGCAAACGAAGUCUAUGAAGAACAAAGCAUUUCUGCUGAAGCAAUUCUCUUGAAAUGUAGGCUUACCUGAUGCUCUAGAUCCUUAUGCAGUGCUUUUCUGAGCUCGAGGAUAAAGAAACAAAGGGUGAGGAGGGGACUUUUCAAGCUUUAAAUGCUUCCAUUCAGCGACUUUUGAGUUGAAGAAGUGAGUCGCUCAAAUUCAAAAAUCUGUGUUUGUGUUGAAGAUAGAGAUCGGAAGUGAGGUUGCUGCUAGGGUGAUGGUCUGAUGGAUGAACACCGAUUCGUCACUUCCCUUUUUUUUUUUCUGGAUUUCUUUUGUCUACAUGGGCUUCGGUGGGGCACUUUUGGACCCAACCACUCUAUAAUUAUUCGAUUAAGCAAAUUUAUAGUACUUAAUUACUCAUCAUGGGCUCAUGGCUAUAGUUUGAUAUAAUUAUCAUUCGCGACUAACAUUAAUCAUUAAUUACUUGAAUAAGUCCCUUUUAAUUAAUGUUUACUAUUUUUAAACAUAUUUUUUAAUUAUUACCAUUUAUAGCAAUAUAUAAUAAUAUUAUGUAUACUUAUUUUAUUAGAUCUAUUAUUUUCUCUUGCGCUAUUUCUCCGUUUGUUUUUUCUAUCUCUCGCUAUUUUUUUCUUUUUCUCCCUGGCCCUGCAGCCUCUCUGCACCCCCCCUCUCUCUAUGUUUUUUUUCUUUCUUUUUCUCCCUGUACCUCCUCUAUCUAUGAUUUUUCAAUAUUAUAAAAAAAAAGUUAGGCUUUUAUCAAAGGCAAAAGAACUAUAGAAAAGUUAGGGAAAUUUUCAAAAAUCGAAGAAUUGGGGCUGCUUAGUUUAUAGAAGAAGUCGAUUAGUUUUUUAUUUGUUGCUUUGGCAUUGUUGACGAUUUUCAUUCUAAUAAAGGUUAUAUAAAUAAUUGUAUUCAUACCUGAUGAAAACUUGAAGAUUUGAAUAUUUGUAUAUAUGAAGAUAUGAAGAUAUGAAUGUUUGAAGAUAUGAAAGUUUGAAUAAAUGAAGAUAUGAUGUCAUAUUUGUGCCCCAUACUUCCUCAUAUCUAAAGGCGAAUUCACAUGAGAAAGUUAGAUUUAAAGAUAUGAUGUCAUCUUUGUAACAAAUAAAGAGACAUAAUAAACUGCAAAAUGAAUUAAACUUGAAUCAAAUAUGUAUUACACACAUAUUAAAGUUGAAUUAAAAGAGAAUUAAACAUGAAUACAAAAUGUAGCAAACGAAAGAACAUUUUAUGAUCAGUAAACUGAAUAAAAUUUGUAUCAAUAAUGAUUUAAACAAGUAAUCCAAUCAUAACAAAUCAACCAAUAAACUGCAAAAUGAAUUAAACUUGUAUUAGAAGUGUAUUACACAAAUAUUAAAGUUGAAUUAGAAAAGAAAAUUAAACAUGAAUAAAAAACGCAACUAAUAAAAGACCAGACAUUGAUCUAUAGAGUAAAUUAAACUUGUAUCAAUAAUGAAUUAAACAAGUAAUUCAAUAGUAACAAAUCAAUCAAUAAACUGCAAAAUGAAUUAAAUUUGCAUUAAAAGUGUAUUACACAAUAUUAAAGUUGAAUUAGAAGAGAGAAUUAAGAAUUAAUGAAAAAUGUUACUAACGAAAGACAAGAGAAUGAUCUAUAGACUGAAUUCAACUUGUAUUAUUUAUGAAUAAAAUGUAUUAUAUGUGUCUUAUAAAUUAUUUUGAUUGUAUCACUAAGAACAUGAAUGAUGUUUGCAAUAUGUAUUAUAAAUGUAAUAUAAGUAUGUUACCUAAAUCAUUUGGUUGGUAUCAAUAAGAAGAGAGUGAAGUUUGCAAAUUAUAAAUGUAUUGUUCACGAUAAAACUUAUAUUAUAUGUGUCUUGUAAAUUAUUUUGAUUUGUAUCACUAAGAAAAUGAGUAACGGUUGCAAUAUGUACUAAAAAUGUAUUGUGCAUGUCUUAAAAAUGUAUUAUUAAUGUGCUACCUAAAUUAUUAUUGUUGGUAUCACUAAGAAAGAAGUGAAGUGUGCAAUAUGUAUUAAAAAUGUAUAAUUCAUGAAUAAAACAUGUAUUACAUGUGUCUUAUAAAUUAUUUUGAUUGACUAAGAAAAAGAGCAUUGUUUGCAAUAUGUAUUACAAAUGUAUUGUGUCUAUGUUAUANNNNNNNNNNNNNNNNNNNNNNNNNNNNNNNNNNNNNNNNNNNNNNNNNNNNNNNNNNNNNNNNNNNNNNNNNNNNNNNNNNNNNNNNNNNNNNNNNNNNNNNNNNNNNNNNNNNNNNNNNNNNNNNNNNNNNNNNNNNNNNNNNNNNNNNNNNNNNNNNNNNNNNNNNNNNNNNNNUUAUGAAACAUAUAUAAUACAACUUUAAUACAAUUGAGAUACAGUUCCGUAAACUUCAUAUUUUUCGAGCUUCAAUCUAAUAUUUCUCCUAAAAUCAAUUCUAAACUUAACCAAACCCUGUUAAAAUUGAGAAAUAAACUCCAAACGAUAUUUUCAAUUAUUUGUAGGAACAACCUAUCUAAACUAAUCACAAAUUCAUAAAACUUAAAUAAUGAAUUCAAAAUUUGAAGUUUUAUAAUGACCAUCAAUGGUGAACUCUUGAUGCUGUGAUUUUAGAGAUUUGAAAUUCCUGCUUGAGCACAUGAUUCUUAUCGUAUUUUUGGGUGAAAUUGCGAUAUAUGGGCAAAAACUGAUUUGAAGAUAUUUCUUUAAAUGAAAAUUUCAAAGAAAAAGAAGAAGAGAAGGAAGAGAAAAAAUGGCAGAGAAAGAGGGAAAGAAGCGAGAUAGAAAGGCUUUCACUGUACCAUUUUUUAGUUCCAAAUAAUUGCUAUAUCAAGUUAAAAAUAUUAUAUUGCCAUAGAUGGUAAAUAUUUUCUUAUUAUUGCAUAUUUAUGUGAUUUACCCAUAAUUAUAUGGGCUGACUUCGAGUUUGUAUAAUUAGUCACGUUUGUAUAUGUAUAAUUCGCAACUAACAAUUCUUUGUAUGAUUUGUAUUUGCAUACGAUGGUUUGUAUUUGUAUAUGACAAUGAUUUCCUUUGGUUUUUCAGUUUUGUCAUCAUAUACAUUCAAUCUUUUUGUGUAUAACUUUUUAAAGUUUGUAUAAACGUGUAGCUUUCGAAUUUUUAUAUAAUAUAAUUUAUAUAAUGUAAUUUGUAUAAUAUAUUAUGUAUAACUGUUUAAAGUUCAUAUGUUAUGUUUGCUAUAACUUAUUUUAGAAUAUAAAUGUCAAAUCUCUUUUUCUUUCUUAAACCUUAUGCCAUAGCAAACUAAGUCAUAUAUUUAGAUGGAAGAAAUAUUGUUUAUAGCCCACUUCAAUUAGAAACAGAAAAGCUUGAAAAAAUUGGAAUGUUAGGGUGUGUUUUGUACAAUAGAAAAUGUUAUAUUACACAUAAGUGAUUUUCUUAGUUGUUUUUUUUUUUUUCGUUUGGUAAGCAGAAAUAUUAUCCCAAGAGCGGUGGUGAAGCUAUGCUAUAUAUACUAGACAUUGAAUCUCUGUAACAUUUUUUGUGCUUUAUUUUUUUCUAUUUUGAGUUUCGUUUGUGAAAAUCUCACCUCUUGUCCAAAAGUAUCUUAUAUAUAAUCUAAACAAAUAUGAAAAAGUAAUAGAGUGUUGUAAAAGGAACUAGCUAAUUCUUCAUAACAGAAUCUUGCAGCAAAUAACCCUUUAAUGCCUACUACUCCAUAAUUAAUUGAUAACAUUUGCUACUAUUUGGAUACAACAGAACCUAACACAUGUACUUGCAACAGAUACAACUUCUAAAUGCAAUAAUUCACUUGAAGUAACUAGACAGUAUUGUUUAACUCUCAGGAUCAGAUAAAUACACAGGGCUAUCCAAAUCACCCAUUUCUGCUGAGGCAAAUGACUCAGAACUAUCUGCACUUGACAGGGAAGAAGGCGAUCCAUCAGAGUCCGACAUCCCCUCAUCAUGCAUAAUGAUGUGUUCAUCAUCAAUCUCAGAUGUAUCUGAUCCAGAACCACCUAGCAGAAGCUUGUUUAUGGCUCCUUUUGCGGUUUCAGUGAACCAUUCGUCCUCGGGUAGGGCACUGAAAAGAAAGACAUUUUCAUUAAUGAGGCUCACACAUAAAGAAGAUGAGAAGUAGUGAGCUAGGUGAAUGAGGUAUUUAUACCUUUGUGGAUCUAUGCCCCUGGCAGAAAAAGUCCUGACUGCACGUGCAAUUAUGUCUGAUGAUAUUUGAUGCACGUGCCUUGAUGGAUAGCCCGCAAAUCGUGCAAUUUCAACAGUGAAGUGCAUGUCAAGAAUUAACUGUCAAACAAAAAGUUGAUAUCAAGAUACAAAGAGGGUUUUAUCAUAACUCAAAUAUAGAACAUCAAAAUAUUUGCUUAACAAGAGAGCAAUUCACGUUGAAUAUCGCAAAUGAAUGUUAGUAUGACUUAGUCCGGUCAAAGACUAAGGUAUCUUUUUGGAAUUUCACCAAGUUAACGGCUAAUGAGAGAAUACCUUAAGCUCUUAAACUCUAAAACCAAUUAACAUAUUAUGCCGAUUGGGCUGAGGAAGUAAUAAGGGCAUGGACAAGAUACCUUCAUUUUCUUUCUUUUGACAAGGAACAAGAUACCCUUAUUUUCAAACACCCAGAUACUCGGAGAGUUACUUUUAGAAAGAGGUAGCACACAAAUGGCCGUCCUAUGCCCAACGAUGUAUCCUUUUAAAUUGUCCAUCCAGGAAUUUCUAACAGUUUUGAACUUUAAUCUGCAAUAGAGCCAUACAAUAUAUUCUGUUGCAGAGUUCAAAUUAAACAAAGCUAUAACAGCUCCUACACACUAUCCCAAAUUGAAUGAAAAUCCGGGUAGCAUGCCAACAGGUGAUAAGGUGAAAAAGUAGAAUGAAAUUGUGAUAAUACUCUAUUAUCUUCAGGUAGUACAACUAAAGACAGGGAAGUAGAUAUAACAAAAUACCUGCUGCAAACCCAGCGGCUGCAGAGGAGCUGACUCAUCCUCUAGAACACUCCAAAAUUCUUGUUCAUCAGACAACCACAUUACCACAGUCUCUGUCAGUCUGGCAAGCAAAACCUUCUGUAUCUUCUCUCUUCCUAAAAGAACAUCUCCUGCCACAGUUGCUAAUUGCUGCAGCUUACCAAAUAAUGCCUACAGGUUUGAAGAUUUAUCACCUUUUAGUUACAUGAAAGUGUUGGAAACAUAAGCAUUUUAUAAGGUUCUAUUUAGCAGAAACUGUUGAAAGCAUUUCGCAAGAAAAUACCGAAUAUUAGCACUUGGAUAGUCAGAUAAGAAUUGACAAACAGUUGUAAACCACCAUCAGAGAGACAAUGUAAAACUAUGCUUCCGCUGCUUGAACUUUAAAAAAAGUCAAACGAGCAUCUGCUGAAUAUUAUGAUGAAUGAUUGUCUAAUUUAUUUAUUUAAAAAAAAAAGAAUACUUAAGGAGGCAUUUGGCCAUGAAAUUCUUUUCACUUUUUCCAGAGUUCAACUCUGGAAAACACGUUUGGCCAUAAAACUCAGGAAGAAGUUGAAAAAGAACAAAAAGGUUUUCUCACUGCAAAUUACUCACAGAAAGUCAAAAACAACUCCACUUUGUAUUCACGGCCAAACACAACUGCCAAUUUUCAAAUAUCAUUUUUCACUUUAAAACAAAACUACUUUUUUCAAAUUUCACAAUGAAACAUGGUCAAACACCCACUUAGAAUCUCCUUAAAGUUGCUACUAUAAAGCAGUGAUUGAUGACCAAGCAGAAAAACUGGAAUUGAAGGUUUUGGAGGGCGAGUUAUAUACUAACAGCAAAGCAACACCAAUGAUGAACCAGAAACUCAACAGACACAGCAUUAACCUACUUGGAUAAAGGGAUAUUACACAUUCAGUCGCCCAAUUCACAAAAAGGAAAACUUAAUUAAUCUUAGACCGUUUUUUGUGAAGGGGGAAAUGAAGAGAACAAACUAAGACGGGCAAAAGAAUUAACUAGGGUGUGCUAUUCAUAGCACCAAUCAUUUCGGAAACUAGGACACAAAAGGAUUACAGUACCUGAAAUGGCAAUGAAGGUAGCGGAUCAGUGUCCCAAAUUGUAUCUUGUCCAACACCACUCAAAUAAAUCUGAGCAUCUAAUCGUGCAUCACCAUCUCUUGAGUAUAUGAAAUUAACAACAUAUUGUCGACAGAAAUUAUCUCUAAGUUUGUCUAGUGAAUGCUGAAGUUGACGCCUCCAGUCCUUGAGUUCUACAGUAUUGUUUGCGGCAGGCAUCAUAUUUUCAGACCCCACUUCCUUGCUUUCAUUAAGAACAUUCCAAAUUCUAGAUACAACCAUAGGCAAUAGUUCCUCAGCAAUGGUAAAUGCAGUUCCCAAUAGUGCAAGCUGCUGAGAGUCUGUUUCAGCUCUAAAAGGAACAGGUUCUUUCAGCUCAGUGAGAUUAUCAUCCUCAGAAAGACCAGGUAGAGCUUUAAUCAAUGAAUCCACAUACUUGUCAAAAAGAUGUGAAAUUCUGGUCAAUAUGUUAGCUCCAAAAUGUAGAAUGACUAACUGGGUGAGCUUCUCCACCAUUUCCUGCAGAGGAGGUCAAAGUUGGAUCAAAUUAUUAUUAAGCCAUCAUUACAAGAAACAGACAUCUGAUGCAGUGCUAUUGUUCUUGUCUCUUUUUUUUCCACAUGUUGCAGUUCAAAGCAAUCUCAAACAUCUAUCGGUGCUCCUACUUGAGCAAUGACAACUACUUGAGACAUCUAUUUAAGUGGCACCCCAUUGAAGGUUGUCCUAAAAUUGCAGCUAGCAGAAUCCAGCAGAAAAAGAACAAAAUCACGUGCAUUUAUGCAAUAUACACACGCAGACACAGAUAUUCAUAUACUGCACUAUUGAAAAUGGUAGUUAAGCCACCAUGCUGAAUAUGCAGCAAUAAGUGUGUUACAUACAAGACAGCUUCUUUUUCCCCUUCUUCAUUGGCAAAGCAGAAACGGUCCUUUGACGGAGUGGCCCUUUCAUGUUUUUAUACUAUUUUCUGCUCAAGAAAUAUUUCUUUUCUUGGACCAAGGAGGCACACUUUAACCCCCAAGGUUCUUUCUAUUUUUGCUAAUGAAUCCAGUAGUUGAAUAUACAAGAGUGUGUUCGUGUGUGUGGAUGGAGAGCAAGAGAGAAGAGAAUAAAGUAUCUAGAUUUAAUCUUCCAGUCUCUCAGCAGAUUCAGUUGUGCUAGAAAGGCCAAUCAUAGAAGUCUAUCAAAAACAAUAUUAUAGGUUACAAAUUGGUUAGAGUUCUUGCUGAAUUACCAAUUUUCAAAAAAAAAUAAAAAAUGGUUAGAGUUCUUGCAAGAAUACUUGCACACCUAUACGCCAAGUUAUGUAAAAGAACUUGCAUAGCAACUAUAACAAGGUGAGGGAGGUCUUUAUCGAGGGGAAUUAAUUUUAAAAAAAAGAAGGGAGAUUUAAAUCUGCACUGUGCACUUCAUAAAUCUAAGUCCUUUGAGGGAUACAGUAAUAACACUUGAGCAAUCAGAUGACCAAACAUUAAUAAAUAAGGAUUAAACCUUACUUUGACUAUAUAUAUGAAUCUCAUUCCACUUUCAACAAGCAGAGUAUCAGAUGUAGUUGCAAAUGUAGAUAAAGGAGACGCAAACCGAGGUGACAAUGGUUUCCCUUCAUCACUUGAAGCAAAAUCAAGAACCGCUUUCCUGGCUCGUAUAUAGUUCAACUCGAGGACUUCUUCCAUAUAUGGGUGCAAAAGCACCAAGAGUAAUUUUGACAGUUUAAGGCCCUGUUUCUCCAAGGCAUUACAGUGGUUAAGACUGGCUUGAACACAAACACUUGCUGCAUGUAAAGCAGGAGCUCCAUCAGAAGGCGGUGCGUGUUCUUUAACCAACCGCACAAAGUAUUCAAUUUCCCUUUCUGCCCACUGGAUAAUUCUGUUGCUAUAAACAGGAUUGUCACCAAACAUUGCACCAGAUUCCUUAGUAGUCAAAGAAAUGGUAGAGAAUACAAGGUUAGACAAUGUGGCUGAAUAAGUCUCGGGAUAACAAGGACAAAGGGGAAGGAAAGCCUCAAUACUUUUUCGAAGACGAGAUCUGUACGAAUUAACAAGUAGCUGAUGUGCCAAAGAACCUUUUCCAAGCUUGAGCAAACCAGACAAGGCUUUCUUAAGUUCAACAAUGCCAAUUGAGGGCCGUUCAGUGAUCUCAACCAGCUGAUUCUCGAGCAUCUUUUUUCUUUUAGACAAAGCAGAUUUAAAAGAUGAUGGUUCAGCAGAUGAAGUGUCUCCUGAACUUUUCAGCUCAGGAUGACUUCUUUCUUUAGCAUCUAUUGCCUCUAUUACUUCCUCAAUCUUGUGCUCAGCCAGAAGAACAUCAAUAUUCUCCAAAAACAACAUGUUUUCAUCUUCCAUGUCAUUCAUGAAAGUAUCACCAUAAUCAGAGCUUCGAGAACUUUCAUUAGCUUCUUGGACAUCAUCACUAGUUCGACUCCAUUCAUCCAAUUCUCUGCAUACACCAUUCAUGAGAUCUUGAACAAGAAUCCCCUGUGCGGAUAUAUGCUUUCUAAGCUCAUUGAGUUCGUGUUCUGUUUCCACAACUUCCUCGGACAAUCUACAAUGACAAGAACAGAUUAGAAGUUGACCUUUGCAUGUAGAGGGGUCACCUACCAUUACAUGAGUUCAUUUAAGGUUGUGUGAUAACAGUGUCUAUAACUAUCCAAUGUGUCUGUGAUUUGACCACUAAUCCAGUGUACUUAAAAGAAUCUGCACAAAGGACCCAUAUCCAAGUUGCACCCAUUUGGCAUGGGUACAUCAAGGCGAAUGAAGGACACAUAACAUGAUCAAGAGAUUAAACUGAAGGUGAUAGGUACAAAAAAUACAUAAAGCAGCCUGAUGCAAAAAGUAGGCAGUAAUGACAAAAAGAACAGCUGAACAUGCAAAGUUCAAAAAGACUAGAUGCAAGUAAUCGGUCUAGCUAAAUUUAUGGAGAUUAUUAACACCAUCUACAUUUUGAUCUAGAGAUAGUAAGUUGAACAGUCAAUAAACUCUCUUUCAAUGUGUUUUUUCAUAUCUCAUGUAUUUGUCGAUAAGGAACUAUGUCUUGUAGCCUUCUCGAAUAAAAAAGCUCUCAUAUAAUAAUUUGGAAUAUAAGAAGAGCAAUUUGAUGAUGAUUAUUCUCCUAUUUCACAAAUAGAUGCAAGAGCAAUUCGUCCCUUUAUUACAUGCUAUCUCUGCUUUCAGUUCCUCUACCUAAUUAUGCACGUAAAGCGUUCAGUAUUGAUGUUAGGAUUUCUGAUCAAAUAGAUAAUGGAACCACUAUAUAUUGAUAAAUCUGACUGCCAUUCUGUUAAAUCAACUCUUAUCUAUGAAAGUUUUUUUAAAAAAUAUAACAAACAAAAAGCAAAAAGAUAAUAUAGAAGGGUACACAAAAAAGGAAGCAUAAAACAGGGGACAAAUUGCACUUAUCCAGAUAAAUAUUAGAUAUCUUCUAAUGCUGUGCUAGUAAACCAACUGUUUAAAGGAUGUGUCUCUCCAAACUUUUCUACUUCUUACCGUUUCCCCACAACCGAAACCCCCCCCCCCCAGAACCAUAUAAAUGGAAAGACACGUCGGGUUCCCUCUACAGUUCUAAGGAAGGAUUCUCAAUAUCAGAGACUAGAACAUCAAGAGGCAACCCAUAAAAAGUGGACACAGUUGGGUUGAUUUUUGGUUCUUCUAGAAAUAGGAUUUGCUAUCGACAUGAACUCAACAUCAGACUUUAGUAUGAGUCCAAAUACAUAAACUACCAGAUAGUUCUCAUGGUCUCCUAGCUGUGAAGGGAUGCCGCCUUCUGUACAAAUUAUAUCACAUCUCUUUGAGGUAGUACCUGUAUUUGCCGAUGAUACACAUUUUCUCAUUUAAGUUUUGCCAUUGUGCCCUUGGAAAUUUAAGUUUUUAACAGACUGGUAACCAUAGUUUCCAUAGAAAAGGCAGGAAAAAUGUUUAUGAAAAUGUAGUAUUGAACAGAAUUCUCUUCCACUUUGUUUUGGUCUAGUAAAAGAGUUUCAUCAGCCAAUACCUCAAGAAGGCCAGGCACUUUGUUCGAGUAUUACCACACAGGUUCUCCACCGCAUCCUUCAAAUCCAAAAGCUCAAAACAGAUUUUCCUAAUUCCCUGCACAACUCAGAACAAUAAACUGGGGAACCCAUAAGAAAGACAAAAACUGGCAAAAUCAGCAAGCACUCCAAAAAUAGUGGGAAAGAUAAAAACUACUUUUAUCUGUGAUAUAUUGAAAAAUUAACCAAAAAGAAACGGAACAAGCACUUAAAGAAAUUGAGUAUGCAUUUUUUGGAAAUAAAAAAAGGUAAUAGUUUGGCACAUAACAAGCACUUACAGAUGUUUGUACUACCAAUUUUUUCCUAUCUAUUCAUGGUAUACAGAAUUCCUAAUAUCGACAUAACAGAAAUCAAGUUCGAUUAUUGUAGCCAACAUAUCUCCACACACAAAAAAAAGUUAAGGGAUGUUAUCAAAGAUAAAUUGGGAAGAACUCUAAUUGAAUUGGUUGAAGAUAAUACAAGAGAAGCUCUAAUACAGGAACCUUAGUCUACCUACAAUAAAAUAAGUAAUUAUUUUGUAUGUCCAAUAAUAUAUUCUUUAUGGAUAUGGGUUGUGUUAGCAUCAGGACAUGUUGUCAAGAAAAUUCUGCCCACCAAGGCUGGAGUAUAUAGGCUCACACCAAGUAUUGUAGUGUAAUUCGGACAUGAGAUUUCUAGGUUGUUACUCCCAUGACACAACCUCUAGGUCAUCCCCUUGUGAACAAAAAGGGGCAUCCUUUAGCUUUCUUCCUUAAAUCUUUUGUUUGGAAAAAAAAACUAAUUUUACCUUGCACUUGUUAACAAAGCAGAUUUUUAAAACUCCCUUGCCUUAUUUUCCCAACUCCUCUUAUUUGAUCAUAAUUCUUCACGUCUACUCACCGCAUCGCCAACCAUUCUCCUUAUUUUAACCUUUACCCUAAGGAUGGUUGCAAGCAUUCUGGUAUGAUCCACUACAUUUGCUCAUUUUAACUCUCAAGUACAGUUUGGAAUUAUUCUGGUCAAGACCAAGAACAGACAGUAUUCUGAAUUCAAAGUCCUCGUAAAUAUACUCAUUUCCAGAUAAGGUCCUCAUAAAUGUACUCAAAUUGUCAAGAUUCAUGUCCAACUAUAUCAGCGAGAUUACACUAAGAAUUAUCCACUAGGAAGAUUAUUUGAAGAAAUUUACUGAAUCAACAUUAAUAAAAUGAAAGAAGGCACUACUGGCACAUUAAUACAUCAGUAAAACUAGUACAUAGAUGUUGAAAUUUUACUGGUCUAAAGCAAAAAAAAUCCCCGAUUAUAUGGAAGAGCAUCUUUGAUGCAUAGAGAAGCUAUAGAUAAUCAACUAACAUCCAAAAAUGCUUAACAGUCCCAUCACACAUGAUUAAUUCAACCACUCUAUGAAGCUCAAAAUUCUAUAAUCCAUCCACAUGUAGAUGAAACGGAUAGCUUCUAAGCUUCCCUACUUCCAAUAAGCAGAUCCAUGAACCAGUCAUGCAGAACAGAAAAAACAACAAUUGUAGCUAGUUUUAAGCCCUGUUCUCCCUCAAAAAUCACACACAUCGUCACCAACAAAAAAUCAUGAACCAAGGAAUCAGCUCUUGUCCCUGCCUAGCAUAUAACCAAGUUAAGGCAGACACACUUCAGGAAGACCUAAGCCAAAUAUUUUCACCAAAGCACUAACAUUUACUCCCAGCACUUAAAAUAUAACCUAGGAAACCAAGUUGAAUUUGAACUCACAAUAUAAGGAACAUCCACUUAACUAUUCAUGGAAGAACUAAAGCUUAGUAUCACUUCAGCAGGUAAAACUAGGUUUGUUUCUUCUACUCUAAAAAGGGAUACCUCAAGAAACCAAACUAAAUAAAAAUUCCAAAAAAUAAAAAUAAAAAAUCCCACCUAGAAAAACUCACAAAUUUAGCUCAGAAAACAGAUCAAACUUCAAGGAAAGAACAAGCACACUUCCACAUUUCAUCUAGUACCAAAAAUUUUACUUCCAGUACUUGAAGCGAAAACCCAGCAAACGAAAUUGAACCACAACUCCAAAAAUAAAGAUCACCUAGAUGAAAAGUUCCAAACUUGAUUCCAAAAAUUGAUCAAACCCCAAGAACAAAUAAGAGCAGUUGAAUUUGCUAUCAUGCUAUUUUCUGAGUUAAUGAAACAAAAUGGGGGUGAAAAGAACGUAGAGAAAAUGCAAAAGAUAGUACCUUUUCAGUCUUGGACUGGUAAAUUGAGUCGAUCUUGGACUGAGGAGUAACACUUUCAAUACAUGGGAAAUCAUCUUCUUCUUCACUGCUUUCCAUCCUCAUUUUGGCGUUUCCAACCAGUAGAUUUUCCGCUUUUGCAGCUAUGAAAAUGGGAAAAAUGAAGAGACACACAGUUCAGUGGACUUCGCCUUGUAAUUGGAGAGUUCGAAAAAAGAGCCUUUAAAUUAGUAAAUGAUUUAUACAUGUUACCAAUUUAAUUAAUAUAUAUGUUACUAAUUUAAUUAAUCAAAAUAAAAUAAUUUAUGUUCCCUUACUGAAAACUUGACUUCAAGGAAUCACUAAACAAAGAUAUAAUGAUAAAUUUACCUAGUUUUUUUUUUUUUAAGAGACGUGAAAUCUAAAUUGAUGACAUAAAUAAAAAUGGAAGAGUAGUAUAAAGUACAGAAAUCUCAUAUAUUUGGAACUAAUUACAUUUUAUCUUGAAAGUUUCUUCAAUUACAAAUUGCUCUCAGAUACAUUUAUUAUUGUGCGAUACGUUGCAAAUUUACUUAAUGGGAGGGAUGUAUCCGAGAGAGGAUAAGAAUGCAUUCGAGAGGAGAUAGAUGUAUUCGAAAAGGAAUAGGAAUGUAUCCAUAAGAGAAUUUUUGUAACUUUUUUAAAUGAUAGGAAAUUUUAGAGAUCAUGAUAUCUCAAAUUGUGUAUUUAUGUAAAAAAAAAUUCCUAACUUGUGUUAUCAUUCAUUUUCAAAAAAAAAAUUGACAAAGAAAAAUAAAAAGGCCAAAAUGUUCCUUAAAAAGUCAUGACAACAAACAUAAUUAAUAUGAAUUUGAAAAAGGGGAAGAAAACAAAAGGGAAAUAUCAUUGAUUUGUAUACGAAAAACUACUACUACUAUUUGUAAUUGAAAAUGACUUCGAAAAAACAAGUUCAGAUAAAAUUGUACUAUAAAAUAUGUGUAUAACAACAUAAAUUUUGUACAACAAACUAGAAAUGAACUUUAGUCCAAAACUACAAAAAAAAAAGGGUGUUUUUAUAANNNNNNNNNNNNNNNNNNNNNNNNNNNNNNNNNNNNNNNNNNNNNNNNNNNNNNNNNNNNNNNNNNNNNNNNNNNNNNNNNNNNNNNNNNNNNNNNNNNNNNNNNNNNNNNNNNNNNNNNNNNNNNNNNNNNNNNNNNNNNNNNNNNNNNNNNNNNNNNNNNNNNNNNNNNNNNNNNNNNNNNNNNNNNNNNNNNNNNNNNNNNNNNNNNNNNNNNNNNNNNNNNNNNNNNNNNNNNNNNNNNNNNNNNNNNNNNNNNNNNNNNNNNNNNNNNNNNNNNNNNNNNNNNNNNNNNNNNNNNNNNNNNNNNNNNNNNNNNNNNNNNNNNNNNNNNNNNNNNNNNNNNNNNNNNNNNNNNNNNNNNNNNNNNNNNNNNNNNNNNNNNNNNNNNNNNNNAAAAAAAAAAUGGGUGUUUUUAUAAGAUAUAAAAGUUUGAUAUAAUAACAAAAAGUCGUGUACACUUGGGUGCAAUUUAUUCUAUUUAUCUAAUAAAGUUUUGGUAACGUAAACAGUAAAAAGAGAGAACUUUACAUGAAGAGCAAGUUUUGAUCAUAACAGCAACAACAACAAAGUCUAAGUACAUUUCAUUGAUAAAAUCAAGUACAAUACAUGAUAAUGUUUUAACUUUGUCAAGAUUGACAGAGUAUUUGUGAAGAAAUACAUAACAGAUAAGAAAAACACUUCCAAAGAUAAAUAAGAUUGUGGAACAAUUGCAGAUUACAAAUGUUGCAGAUAACUUAAGAGGGGAAGAAUAUGAAGCUUAAAAUGUUAUUAUUCCCCAAGUCUUCAGAAACUUGAAUCCUAUUUAGUGUUUAGUUGAAGAAUUAGCAAUCACAUUGAGGCGUCGAGGAAAGCAUCAGAGACAUCAAGUUCCACGUUCAGGUUUUUGGCUGAAGGCAUUCCUGCAACCACUUCUUCUUCAAUGCCACACUCGUUUGUUCCUCUUCUGAUCUUGAAGUAGCCAUCCUGCCAUGAAGACAAAUAUACAUUUGAGAAGAACAUCAUAAGGAUGUACGCGCUGCUCAAUUAGCACAUCUUCAAGAAGUAGGAAAGAUGAAAUCACCCAACAAUGUACAAAAGUAAUAGCUACGGAUGUUGAACAUUAUGAAUCAAGUGUGUAAAAUCCUAUUAAGAAAGGGUAAACCAAUGGUUCAACAACUUUUAAUAUUUUUCGUAGAAGAAGAAGGAACUAUUUCUGCUCAAGUAAAAUGUUGAAAGAAAAAGGGUUAGAUCAAGACAUACGUCACCCCAGCCUCUGUUCCAUUGAUUGGCAAGGAGCUGCAAAGCCAAAAAAAAGAUGAUCGAAUUUAGAAAGGACGGAAUGAUUUUGAAGAUCUUAAUGGCACAAUUAGAAGAUGUCAACAAACCCAAUAGUUCUCUCCAUCCUCAGAGGUUCCCCAUCCAAUGAGCUUAACAGCAUGUCCUCCCAUUUCCUCACCAUUUAUGUGUUUGUAAACUCCAGACUUGUAGUGAGCGAAAUCCUGCGCUCGAGAAACAGAAAUAGUAAAGAAACUAAUCCAAGUCGGCAAAUUUCAAUUUCACCAGAAAAGAGGAUGCAUUCACAAGGACACCAUGCUGAGGGCAAAUGCAAGAACAAAAUAAGCAGUCUACUACUUUAGUAUGCACCAAUUGACAAACAGUACGAUUAUGCAGAAAUGGCUCAAAUAUUUCCAGACUGAGAAAUUAGUGCGUUUAAACAAUGACCUCUAGAUCCAUUUAAGCAGAUCAUUGAACUUUCUAACUGGCACUUCAUUGUCAUGGACAUAAUUAUCCUGGAACAUAAACCUCUACAGAUCACUAAUUGGCACAAUAUUUCCACAAACAUAGUAGAUGGUAACACUAGAAUUCAGAAGGAUAGAGUUAGUGACCAACAAUUAUUUUGAGCUCUGUCGAACAGCUUAUCAACAAUUAUUUGACAGUUAACCAUCAAAAGAAAGUAAUUCCAAUUAUAUUUUGCUAUAUAACUCAGCCAAGCAUUAUUAUUGUCCUCACAUAUGAUUUGUAAGGGAAUCACAUUUAAAAAAUUAGAAAAGGGUAUUUGUAAUAUUUAACUAAAGUUUCUCAAAGUUCAUUAGAGUUGGCCUAAAAUAAGCCGUCCAAGGUUAACAAUAUCACGGGGUAGAUAGAGAACUGCUGUUCGAUUGUUGCUUGGGAUUAAGGCAUAGUUGUUAUUGUUGUUGUUUAUCAGGUUCAUGCAACAUUCAACUUCAUAUCAUAUAAUAUAAAUUGUACCCAAAAAUUCAGGAUCAGAACUUUACUCUCUUUCUCGAUCAUUCUUACCUCGUAAACAGUAAAAGAAACCUCAACUGGUCCAUUCUUGUAAACUUCUGUCAUGAUACUGUACGGAUCGGAGUUGAUCAGGUAUGCAUUGACGCCAAAAUGCUUGGAUUUACUCCAGAGUAGAUUCUCUUUAACACACUUCCUCUUGCACUGUGGAGUGGGAUAUCCAGGUUCACAUCCAGGGUGGGAACAUCCCUUAUUAUCAAAGUAAGGGUCACACUGACAGGAAAAAUUUUAUUAGUCGAGCAUAAUGAUCCACAAUCUUUUUUCAGAUUGGUAUAAGAAUCCCACAAUAUCUGAAAGAUGUAAUCCCUCUGAAGUACAAUAAGUGUAUAACAAAACAGAAUACCUCUUCAGUGACCACACCCUUGCGAACAAAGUAUUUCCAAGCUUCUAAUGGAUAUCCACCAUCACAACCAUCCCCACAUAAAUAGCCACAGCAUGCUACGAUAUCAUUAGCUGACAGAGAGAUAUUCUGCCUCACACAUAAAAAUUGAAUCAUUAGCGACAAUAACUAGAAUAAACUUGCAAGUUUUUGCAUGAAGGAAUGAAUUUACCAAGCCAUAAUGAAUACAGAAACGAUCAGACAAUGACUCAGCAGCACCAAAAGCCCAACAAGAACCACAAUGUCCCUGAAAUAUAAACGAUCAGAUUGUUAGAAUACCAGGAAAGAGCGAUUUAGCAAAUUCACGAGGAAAAACAAAUGAGUGAAAUUAGAACCAAGACAAAUCACCUGAUCUGCGUCGCAAAACAGUACCGGUGCAUGACAUCGAAAGAUGGAAAGCAUUAGCACCACUCUAUAGAAUUACAGCACUAAACCAAGGACAAAAGAGAAGAAACUAACCAAGAAUUCUCCCAAUAGUGCUACACUGAGGCCAAGCCACUCGUGCAUCAAACUCUUGGGGUAACUUCAAAAGUUCUGGAUGAGUUAAAAUAGGGAUGCCCUUCAAAUCACCCUUUCUUGUGGGCUUAACUCCAAGAAGGCGCUUAAAUUGGGAAACCUGUGAAUGAAGGGUACAUGCACUCAUAAAAGGAGAGCUGAAGGAUGUGGCAUUGCACAAAGAAAGUGCACCUAAGUUUGUCCAAAACGAAUAUACAGCUUUAUCGAAAUCUCACCGUGAAAUUCGAGAAUUGAGGGUUCAGUGCAGCUCUCCAUCCAGCUUUUUCAUUUUCGUUAACCUGUUUAACGAUUGAAUCCUGUACGACCAUUCAAAAAGAAUCUGUGACCUUUAGUUUGAUCAGAGUACAAUGACAGUAAUAUCUUCUCUAUGAUGAAGGAAAUCACACCUGAAGGAUUGCAGAUUCCGCUUUAGCUUGGGAUAUUGGAUUUUCUGCAACAACCUGCUUGCCGUUCAAAAAAAGAAAUUAUGUAUUCAACAAUGGACUACAGGAAGAUUAAAUAACUUCGGGUAUAGGCUUCAGCAUAUGGUACUUUAACCAACCAAGACUACGCUUUCGCAAUAAUUGGACCUAAAUCAUCCACAAUUCAGACUGUCAACCUUCUAAAUGCCUUAAAUUGAAUCCUAGCUGCUGUAAAGUCGAAAGCAACAUUGAGAAUAUGAAAGAGAUUAAGAACUCGAUCAUGUAAUUUUGGCUCAAGCAGCAACGCUUCUCCUCCACCAUUUCCCCUUUUCUAUUUCUUAGCAAAAUAGGGGAAGUCUGGAGGUGAAGUCUUCAAUUUCCCACUUACAAACUCAACAUAGCAGCAAAAUGCUGUUUCGCAUUUCUAGUUUUCUUUAAUUUCCAGUCAUAGCAUGCCAUGAAUUUUCUCAUUCAUUUGACCCAUAUACUUUUUUCUUUCUUCUACUCGUGAAACACACACAACCAUUGUUGCAAAAUCUACACUUGUACUGCAAGUGUAUAUUGUUUUGCAUUCAUUUAGCUGCAAGAGAACUAGGACUGGAAAGAAAACUAUAUUUACUUCGACCUAAAUUGAUAAAUUGAUUUGGUUCAUAAUAUUAAAAAGUUAGUUGUAAAUAUAAAAACAAAUGUUUUCAUUUUCUUCGUUUGGCAUAGACAAUAGAUGCAACUAUAUGUGCUAAGUCUGAAUGUUUAUGCCCGUCCCUUACCACUCACAAAUUAUUCAUCAGCAUCCAAAUAUAUUAAGUUAGAGCAAGAUAGCAUCAAGUUCAGGCUCUGGUACCAUUUGACAAUUCCCACUCAACAUUUUAUAAUCAAGGAACUUAAAGUGUGAAUAUGAACCAGCACAGAAUAAACAGUGGCCUUGCAGAAGCUCAUGGCAAACUAGGAUUUGUCUCCACAUGGCUUAAUUAGACAAUUACUUUCUUAGGAGUUAGGACCUGGGCAAUUGAUUCAAUUGGGCAAUUACUUGCUACGAAACAUCUUUCUACCUUUAUGUAAUCUUAGAAUUAUGUACUGCGGUAGAUUAUCAUCUAGUGGCGCUUCAUUCAUAUACACCUUUAAAGUUUAUGGUAGGUGAAAAACCAUAUACACAAAAUACCAUUACACCAUCCAUCCCCCUCCCCCUUUCCACACUGUCAACCCAACAUACUUCGAUUGUUUUUGGUACAUAAUAUACCUCAACUACAUGUAUAUAGAUACAUAUAUAUCCCACCCCACCCCCAAACCCAAAAAGGGAAAACAAACAAACAAACAGACCCCAAGCAAACCUAAUCCUCAAGAAUUGCAGGUAAUAUAAACAGAACCUUUAAAAAACACUAAAAAGAUUUCAUUUUUUAGGGGUAUAUUAGUUAAUUAACUAAUUAUCAUCAUGAUUACCAAGAUUAAGCUCAACCCAAAAGCUAAAAAUGAAAAGGACAUGGGGUUUCGGUCUGAUACAAUAACUUAAUCCAUCCAUUCAUCUAAAAGCUAUAUAAAGCAAACCAAUCAUCCAAAAACACAACAAAAAAAACCAUAAAGAAUCAAGAAUCAAACCUGCAAAACAAGGGUAGAGACAGCAACCAAAAGCAAAAAAGUGGUUAUGUGCUUCAUAUUUUUGGGCUUUCCUUUGGGGUUCUGCAAUGGUGGUUUAAAAAUAAAGCAACCCCAGAAAAUAUAUAUUUAUAGAUACAGGAAAAAGAUGAAUGAAUUAUUGGCCCUCUUUCUUGACGUAUUAAAAAAAAAUUAUAUUAUUGCUCCCGAUAUUUUGAAUUAAAUAAUUGGAUUAAUUAAUGUUCAGUUCCAUAGGUCUGGAAAAUGUUUAGUUGAGGAACACGUGUAAUUUUUUUAUUGGAUAUAAGAGUGUACUAAUUUUGUCAUUUUAAAGAUAAAAGGCCUAAGUCAUCCACCGCCACUCAAAUUUAUCUGCAUAUUUGACUAAAAAAUGUGUUUCACCCUCCUUAAGCGCGUUAAACAAUUGAUUUUUUAUUUUUUAUUUAUUUUCCAACUUAUACUGCUAAUAUUUUUUAAAAUUAAUUAACAAAAAGAAAUGAAAAAAGAAGAAGAAAAGUCGUCUUCUUCCCCCACCCCUCUUUUCAUAACCUCCUUCACCCACACCCUUUCCACCUCUCUCAUUCUUUCUCUCACUCUCUCCAACUCUUUUUGGUUUUUACCUUCUUUCAUUUUUUAGUUAUUACAUAGACCUAAGUUUCAUAUUUUCCGGCAUAACUCCAUUUUUUCAAUGAAGAUAACAUUUUUUUUCGGCAAAAGUUAAUUAUUUUUCAUAUAAUUGUAAUAAAUGAUUAGUAAUGGAAAGAAAAUGAAUGGAACGAGUGAAAACUUUUGAUGCUAUUCGGUUGAAAGGGGAAUUAAUUUUAGCUUGGGUACGCAACCAUGUCAUACUACUUGGGGCGAAGAGGCAAGGCUUACUCAUUGUGAUCACGAUACCGCCGGGGAAUGUGAUAGUACAUGAUUUGACGAAGAGGACUGGUGGCGUGGGUGUGUAGGUGGCUUUUUUAGAAAAAUCGUUUUAAAUUUUUUAGUUAGUUUUUUAAAAAAAUAAUUAAAAUAGACUAAAAUAGUUGUUUUUUAGAAUUUCAUUUUUAAAAUACAUUUUUAGAUUUAAAUUACACAUGUCAUCAUUUAAUUCAUCAAUUUGUCAUGUCACUGUGAUGUCACAACAAGUGUAUUACACACAUCUCAUAUUUUGGGCUGAUUGUCAAAACAAUGUCAAAUAGGUAUCAAUUUUAAAGGAUACAGGUGUUCAAUAGAUACAAACUUUAGUUGCGGUGUUUAAACGAAUUAUGUGGAUAAUUUUAAGGGGUCGUGAAUAACUUAAGCCUAAAGAUAAAUUAACGAUUGAGAUAUCUUAUCAUCUGUUUGUAAAAAAGAUAUUAAAAUAAAAAUCCUUCAAGGUAUUUUUAAUUUGAAAUGAACUAUCCACUUGUUUGUUUACCAUUAUUUGGAAGAAUGGGCCGUAAUUUCAAUUCUUGUUUUUUUAUGAAAUAAAUAAAUAUGAAAGAUAACGUAAUGGGUCUUAUGGAUAUAUACGUAUAUCUUUCAACUUGAAUAGAAAAAUAUAAUAUUAUUAAAAGAAUUUAGUAAUAAUAUGUUGGAAAGGUACUAGAUUAGUUUAGUUUACAUUGAGAAAUAAAAGUUCUUACUAAUACAAUAUUUAGAUUUUAAUAUAAUAACUUAAUAUAUAUUAUAUACUUAUAUAUAUUCAUGAGUUAAUAUCUUAAAAUGUCACUCAACUUUAGAAUUUUAUCUAGCAAAGUCACUAAUCUUUAUUUUGUAUCAAUAAAAUCACUCAAUUUAGGCCUUUAUAUCAAUAAAAUCACUCAAUCAAUUCCUAUUAAAAACAAUUCACACCACAAAUAAAUUAAUUUUUUAUAUUAUGUUCAUGAUUAAACUACUAAAUACAUGACUCAAAAUUACUAUUUCAUUAUAAAAUAAUAAAAGUUCAAAAUAAAAGAUAAAUUUAUCAAAUUUACAUAAUUAUAUUCAUGUUAUAAUCUUAAUAAACAUCUUAUUUUUUCUAUUUAUACGAGUGACUUUAGGCCAAAGUUUUAAUAGAAAAUUAUGUAACUUAAAAAGUGGCGUGUGGACAACUAGUAUGGUAUUGGAUUUGAUGGGAUGGCUUAUUUAUCUUAUGAUUUUUUAAUUCAUUUUGAAAAGAAUAUUUUUUUAAGAUUGCACAAUAACACUCUGACAAGAAAAGGGAUGCGUUAACGCGUAAGUCGUAAUUGCUACUUUUUCUUUCUUGCUCCUUAUUUCAAACUCAAGAAAAAUCCUGAUAAAUACGAGAAAAAAGCACUCAAGCGCCCAAGCCCGUUUGGCCAUAGAUUUCCCAAGUAAAACUUGGGAAAAAAUUUGGCAAAUAUUGUUUGUCCAUACACUUUCUCAUUAUUUGGCAAAUUUUUUUGGCAAAUAACCCAAAUUCCCAAAUACUAGUUUUUUCUAGUAUUUGGGCCAAAUCUCUUUAUUUGGAAAGUUUUAAAAAUUCAAAUUUAACACCAAACUUUUAUCUUUUACAAAAACACUUUAUUUAUUAACACCAACCAACUCAAUCAAAUCUCCAUAUGCUAACUAACUCAAUUAAUAAAUUUUUCUAUUAUAAAGAGCAUACAUGUACAAGAGCAUACAUUGCAAUAUUUAUUUCCUUCUGUUUUCUUCUUCUUUUUCAAAUUCAUAUUAGUUGUAUUUUCAUUAUCAUGAUUUGUACUAGUCUUUUUUAACGAUGCGACUAUUUACUGUAAUGAUGCUUUUGAUUUGUUGCGGAAGUCAUGAAUCUUGUUACGCGACAUUUCUAUUUUGCUAUGUAAUACAAAUUUAUGGUUAGUUUUGAUAGUUUUAAAAACUUAUGGGCAUAAAUCAUAUUUCUUAAAAAAAUUGAAAUAUAUUUCCCAAAUACUAUGGCCAAACACAUGGUGAAAUUUCACCCAAAUCUUCACCCAAAUAAUAUUUGCCAAAUAUAUUUGGAAAUCUAUGGCCAAACGCUAGCUAUAUAAGGGGGCUUGGGCUCAAAAGUUGGUCUUACUCAACAAACACCUUUCUUAGCAAAGUUGUAGUAACUCUUUAAUGCUAACUUACCAUGUGACAUGUUUAUGAUCACAAGAUUAAAAAAUAUUUUGUCACAUUACAUGUCUUUGAUUUAAGACUACAAUAUUUUAUUUUUUUAAAUUAUUUUCUUAAACUCCGUGUCAAACUGAAACUAAUUAAAUAGCAAUUUACAUUGAGGCAUCAAGGAAAGCAUCAUCAAGUUCUACAUUCAAAUUUCUUGCUGAAGGCAAUCAAUCUUGCAACCACACUAUGUUCAAUGCCAUACUCAUUUGUUCCUCUUUCUGAUCUUGAAGUAUCCAUCAUGUCAUCACGGAGAGAUAGAGCUUGGCUUAAGUCAUCUGCAGCCCCUUAAAGUUGUCCGCAUAAUUCAUUUAGACAUCUCAACUGAGACUCGUACCUAUUAGACACUUUAAUAUUAAUGAAUAUUUAUCUAUUGAACAUAAAAUGACAACUAGCAUUAAAAAUAUUGUGCGUGUAAUUCACACACAUUAUCUUGACAAAAUCACGAAUAAAAUUACGACACGUGACACAUGGACCCAUAAUUUUAAUUUUGAAAAAUAAAAAAUAAUUUUCAGCCUUUAAUAAUAGAGAAAAUUAAAUUGACAAAAAAAAUCUCCCCACUCCCUACCUAACCCCCCACCCCAUCUAACCUAUUUGCCCUUUUCUCCUUCGUCUUCUUCUCUGUCACUCCGCCAUCGCCAUUCACCAUCGAUUUCUCCGGCGAUAACAAAAAGAAAAAUAUCUCCCCCACCCCUUCCUGAAUACACCCACCAAAUCCUUUCCUCUUUCUUUUUCUUCCCGUGUUACUCAAAAUAAGAAUAAUCGACAUCGAUAAAUUAUUUCGAAAUUGAAAACGAAGAGAAAAUCAGAAUUAUAGCAAAAAAAUUUAUAACAUUUUUUAAUAAGUUUAAUGAAUGGUGAUGGUUGCUCGAUCGGAGUUAUUGAAAAUAAAGAUGCACAAUUGGUCGACUUUUUAACUCCAAUGGUCGAUUUUUUUUCUUCUUCUUGCAAAUUCAACAGGCAGUUUGUUUGCAAAUUUAGCAGGCAGUUUGUUUACCAAAAAUGAAGAAAAAAAAAAUGCCAAAACAAAAGACAGAAAUUUGAAGUCUUGAAAAUGAUGGGUCGAAGAAGAAGAGGACUUGUACAUGGGUGUGAGGGUGAUUUUUUUUUUUAUGAAUUAAGAUUAAUGUUUAAUUAAAUUAAUUUUUCAUUUAUUUAGUCAAUGCAUGCCAGGUGUCAAGAAAGUAGGUAUAAAUUUACUUUAAACAAUAAAAAAAAAUGUAUUCACACGCUCAUCAGCAGUGAGAUACACUUAUUUUGCCACAUCAGUGUUUUGUGUUUAAUAGGUACAUGUCUUGAACAAUUUAGGUGUUCAAUAGGUACAAGUCUUAGUUCAGGUGUCCAAGUGAAUUAUGCGGACAACUUUAAGGGGUCGUGGAUGACUUAACCCGAUAGAGCUUUAACUUACAUGCAUCGACUAUGUAUGAUUUGUAGUAAAUAAUAAAUAGUUUGAGAUAAUUAUUUUUAGAAAUUAUGACAAAUUAUUGGAGAUGGAUGGAGUAAUAUAUAAUUCUCGAGGAAAUUAUCUAAAAACAAAAUUAUAGUACUCUCUCUAUACAUAUUUACUUAUUCAUUCUCGACUCACUUGACGCAUCUUGUAAAGAAUAAUAAAUAGAAUGAUAAUUUUAUUAAUAUUAUCUUUUAAUCAUGAUAAAUUCAAUGUUUUUAAAAUGCAUUGAGAAAGUGACAAAUUUUCUCAUGAUUUUUCAAAUUGAUCAAGUGAAAAUGAUAGUUAUUUUUAGAACCCCGUUUGGCCAUGCGAAUCAUGAUAUGGUAUCAUGAUAUGGAAUCAUGAGAUGAAAUUGAAGGUUUGUUUGGACAUGAUAUAUGGAAUUUUUGUGUAAUAUAUUUUUUCAUANNNNNNNNNNNNNNNNNNNNNNNNNNNNNNNNNNNNNNNNNNNNNNNNNNNNNNNNNNNNNNNNNNNNNNNNNNNNNNNNNNNNNNNNNNNNNNNNNNNNNNNNNNNNNNNNNNNNNNNNNNNNNNNNNNNNNNNNNNNNNNNNNNNNNNNNNNNNNNNNNNNNNNNNNNNNNNNNNNNNNNNNNNNNNNNNNNNNNNNNNNNNNNNNNNNNNNNNNNNNNNNNNNNNNNNNNNNNNNNNNNNNNNNNNNNNNNNNNNNNNNNNNNNNNNNNNNNNNNNNNNNNNNNNNNNNNNNNNNNNNNNNNNNNNNNNNNNNNNNNNNNNNNNNNNNNNNNNNNNNNNNNNNNNNNNNNNNNNNNNNNNNNNNNNNNNNNNNNNNNNNNNNNNNNNNNNNNNNNNNNNNNNNNNNNNNNNNNNNNNNNNNNNNNNNNNNNNNNNNNNCACAAGUUUGAGUCAAAAACACUUCUAAUAAAAUUUAAUCAAAAAAAUUAUAACUAGUCCACUUGACUAAAUAUUAAUAACUAAUUGAUCAAAUUUUUCCCAAGUCCUCAAUCCAUUGGACUUGAUAUUCUUCAGUCAUGUGAUAACAUUUUGCGAAUACUAAAAGAUUAAGAAAGUGCGGCACCGCCAAUGAAAAUUGCCUUUUAUCAAUAUUAUGCUUAGUCAUAAGAUUAAGACGUUUUUUUUUGUUAUGAAAAAUCAAAAAAGUAUUAGUCCCUUCGUUCUUAUUUAUAUUCACCAAAUGAAUUUCUACUUUAUCAUUUAUAUUCACCAAAUUUAAAGUAAUAAUAAAUUUUAUAUUGGUGAGAAUAAUAAAUUUUAAAAAGUAAUGAUGUGAUUAUAAAUUUAUUUACAUAUGAAACAAAUGGUUAGUAGAUAUAAAUGUGGGGUUGUUUUAACAAAAUAUAAACUCAUGGAUCAAUUAUUGUAUUAAAAUAUCUCAAAUCAUGAUAUGGAAUUACAUGGUGAUUCCAUAUCAUGGUUUUUGGAGAAUAUGGUAUCAUCUCUCAUGAUAUGGAAUCAUGAGAUGGAAUCAACGUAAAAUCGCAUGUCCAAACGAUGAUUCCAUCUCAUGAUACCAUAUCGUGAUAUGGUAUCGCAUGGCCAAACGCCUACUUAGUAUAGUAAACAAAUGAAAGUAUAAGAAGAAUAAAUUUAUAAAUUGUCAACUAUAUUUAUUGAAUAAAUAUAUAAACGAAUAAACUGACAAUCAUGAAAAGAAAAAUGUUAUCUUUUUCCACUCAAAAGGGGAGUCUAAUUAAAAUAAAUAAACAGACACUAAUUAAGGUCUUGAAAAGCUCCCUUUGGAGGUUUUUUGUAUGGUUUUUAUGAAUAUUAGAUAAAAAUGCAUUCGCAAAUGCGUUUAAGGUACAUUUUAACAAUUUAAAGAGAUUUUUUUUUAACUUUUUCUCAUAUUAUCCUUGGUAUAAAUAACUACAUAUUUAAUAGUAGUAGUUAAAUUUAGAGUUCCAAAGUAUAUUAGUAAAGUUAGUUUAGUAAAACACAAUUCUAAUUAAAAUUUUCUUAAGGAAUGUGUCCAGUCAAUAGGGAUCAAGUAAUACAAAAUGAAAAGAGUAUAUUCAACUUUCAUCCGAGUCAUAUUUAAACGAAUUGUGCAUAACUCUAUCGAUUUUGGUGUUGAGCUGUGUUUUUUUAAUUUUUAUUUAAAAAGCUCUUAGGUGGAUGCCCCAAUUAAAUUUAGGUUCACACGACCUCAAAGUGAAUUUUGAACUCUCUUAACUACUUAUCCAAUCUCUAGUCUUGUGUCCACGACAUUCAAAAUCUAUAUAUAUACAUAAACACUUUAAAAAUAAUUACCCUACAUAUACCGUGUAAUUUUUGUUGAGGGGGUUCAGGCGAACACUAUGACAACCCCUAGAUCCACCCCGAUUCAAGAUCACAAAAUUUAAAAGUCUUCUUUAUUUUCUUGAACUCCAUGUCAAAUAGGAACUAAUUGAAACUGAGGGAGUAAGUGCAACAAACAAAAGCAUUCUUUAAGUCAUAAAAUUGAAAAGUGAAAAGUGACUAUUAGAACAAGUAUUAAUUAUGAAUUAUACAGAUUAAAUCAACAAGAUAAAUAUGCAAUUCAUAAGGUUUUUCUUGUCCCCAGUAUCAUAUUGCUAGUAUUAUUAUGUUAUGUACUUGUUGAAGAAAUAUCAAUUUUACAUUGAGGCAUCAAGGACAGCAUCACCAAGUUCCACAUUCAAAUUUCUUGCUGAAGGCAAUCCUGCAACCACACUAUGUUCAAUGCCACACUCAUUUGUUCCUCUCCUGAUCUUGAAGUAUCCAUCCUAUCAUCAUGGAGAGAUAGAGUUUAACUUAUGUGCACUGACAAUGUACGAUUUGUAAUAAAUAACUUGCUUUAACCGGUGGAUAUACUAUUUACGUUGUCAGUAUAUAUAAGUUAAAAGUUGUAUAGAUAUGUGUGUGUUAGUGCAUGUUCAACAAGAAGUGGUGAGAGCAUAAGGAGAAAAUCAAGGAUAUAACAUACUUCACCCCAGCCUCUAUUCCAAGAAUUAACAAUGAGCUGCAAGAAGAUAUAAAGAAGGUGAUUAAAUUUUUGACAAAAUGGUGUAUGAUUUUCGAUAGAAAAUAGAAGACGAUAAUUUGAACACAUCAACGUACCCAAUAGUCCUCUCCUUGCUCACUAGUUCCCCAUCCGAUAAGCUUAACAGCGUGGCCUCCCAUGUUUCCCCCUGUUACAUGCUUGUAAACUCCUGAUUUGUAGUGAGCAAAAUCCUGUGAUUGACGAAAAGUUUUAAGUUAUUCAGUACCGGGAAGUGCUGCUAGUAAUAAGAGACAACAAAUGUUGUAAGCUUAGACAAUGUGUUGUUUGAGAACUGUGACAUAAUUUACAAUAUCUGAACUUUUGCACUAAUAAUCCUUCUUCUUGUUACCUCGUAAACAGUAAAAGAGACCUCAACUGGUCCAUUUUUGUAAACUUCCGCCAUGAUACUCUGGGGAUCAUGGCUGACCCUGUAUGCAUUGACACCGUAGUGCUUUGAUUUCCUCCACAACACGUUCCCCUUGACACACUUCCUAUGACAUUUUGGAGUGGGGUAUAGCGGUUCGCAACCAGGGUGGGAACAUCCAGUAGUGUCGAAGUAAGGAUCACACUGCCAUCAUAUGCUCAAUUUGUUAGUGAUUGAUCGUAAAGAGCCAUACUACUCUAGAUGGUUUUACAGAAAGCUGUAGUUUUACUGAGGUGACAAUAAGUCACCAUUUACCUCUUCUGUGACCACUCCCCUACGUUUAAAGUAUCGCCAUGCUGCUAUAGGAUAUCCACCAUCACAACCACUCCCGCAUAAAAAGCCACAGCACGCUAACAGAUCAUUUGCAGACAGAGAGAUACUCUGCAUUACACAUUAAAAGUUAACAUCAGUAACUGUAACUACAGUCAAACUAAACAAGUUUGUGUGCUAAGAUGAGGUGGUGGUUACGUGCUUGGCUCAUAGUCAUGACAUAGAAUUAGGCUCACACAUGAGAGGGCGUGCUGAAUUAGGCUUGUGAAAUGUAUCAUUUCUAACAGUUUAAAUUAGGCAGUCACAUAGUUCAACAGAACUUACCAAAUUAUAAUGGAUACAGAAACGAUCAGACAGUGACUCAACAGCACCAAAAGCCCAACAAGAACCGCAAUGUCCCUGAAAAAUAUAGGAUUAGAUCACUAGAGAGAACCUGCAAUGUGCCAUUUAGCACAUUUAAUAGAAAGAAACUAGACCAGUAGCAGAAAAUCACCUGAUCUGUGAUGCAAAUUUGUCCCAGUGAUUGAUGUGCAAAGAUGAAAAACAUUAGAAUCUCUAUUAUAGAAUUAUAGCUAGAAAGGACGGAGCAAGGAAGUGAAAUGACUGACCCAGAAUUUUUCCAAUUGUGCUGCAUUGAGGCCAAGCCUUUCGUGCAUCAAACUCUUUUGGCAACUCCUUAAGUCUUGGAUGAGUUAGAACAGGAAUUCCCUCCAAAUCACCUUCUCUUGCAGGCUUAACUCCAAGAAGGCGCUUAAAUUGGGAAACCUGUGACAACCAAAUAUCGACAUAAUUAUAAAUGCAUGUUUUCGGUGUAUAGCUGCAAAAUCGAAUGGGGAAGUAUGAAACAUCCCACUAAAAGAAAAUGCAACUGUCACUGGUUAACAUCAUGUCAUAUGUUCAAGGUUACUGAUCCCACUUUUUACAGGAAAUUAGGGGUAGUUAUCUUACUUUUACACUGUUAGCGUUUAGAAGUUUUAAUAUUUAGCUAUAUGAUGGUCUCACCGUGAAAUUCGAUAAUUGAGGGUUGAAUGCAGCUUUCCAUCCAGCUUCAGCAUUCUCAUUGACUUGUUUGAUGAUUGAGUCCUACAUGAUCAUCCAAAAAUUAAAGUGUUUCAGUUUUAAAUUCGACCUGAGCACAAUGACAAUAACAUCUUCCUGAAUCAUGAACAAAAGAGCAUACUUGAAGGAUUGCAGAUUCAAGUUUAGCUUCAGAUAUUGGCUUCUCUGCAGCAACCUGCUUUCAAGAAGAAGACAGCAUUACAAUACUCUUAGCCUGAAUUUUUCUGUAUGAACAAAAUAUGUAGCUAAUACAUCAUACAACUAAAACACUACAACAUGGGUGAAAUUACGACUAAAUAUAAAGCAAACAGAAGUUGUAACUAGUAAAUUAUUUCUCCUCUUCUUUCCCCUUUUGUAUUUAUUUGUGAAGCAAUACUUCCUCUCAUGUAGACUCAUGUAUAUAUAGAAGACAUAAUAUAUAAAUAGACACUCAUAAUAUAUAAACAGACACUCAAACACGGCCUCAACUGACAAGGGAGCACUCCAAUUUGAAAGUGCAUAUUUAGACAACUCAACUUGGUCUCAACUGACAACAAAACAGUCCAACCCAUUGCGUCUCGUGGACAUCUGACAUGACACAUGAGUUUUGGAGGCGUCCAGAUGAUCAUUUUGUAAGUUGGAGUUUUCAACUAACACAUUGGAGACGAGUUGAAGUGUCCAGAUGUACAUACUCAAAGUUAGAGUGCUUAGUUGCCGGGACCAAGUUUGAAUGUAUGUUUAUAUAUAUAAAGACUAUAUAGGAACAUGUAAGUUAACUAAUACAUAAGAAUUUCUCAUCAAACCAUAUACUGAAGCUGCAAAAACAUGUCUCUACUUUUUUUUUCCAUUAUGUAAUCAGAAAAUCAUUAAAAUUCAUUUAUGUUCAUUAUUUCAAGUCAAAGUCAAACUAAAGCAUAUGAAGUCCAAAUUACUCAACAAUCUUUGAUCUUUCUCAAGAAAUAGCAAAAGGCUAUUCCAUGUAAUCAUCAAAAACUAAUAAUCUAAACCAUGGCCCCGGCCCCGAGGGUCUAUUAGAAACAGUCUUUUUAUCUCACAAAUGACACAAGGUCGAAGUUACAUCCUAUCUUAUCCUACUCUCCCCACACUCUACUCGUGGAAUCACACUAGUAUGUUGUUGUUUAUGAAAAAUUCAUUCAAUCUAGUUCAAAUGAUUUAUCUAAAACCCAAUAAACUCAAAAUUCUAGCUACGUCUCUGAUCUAAACAAGACCAUCAAUUUAAUAAGUAAGAACAACCCACAAAAGAUCAUAAAAGAUAGUACUAUAGACAUGUUCAUUAAAAUUGAAGAAACAAACCUGUAAGAUCAGGAUAAAGAAAGCACCCAAAAGCAAAGGAGUUAUUAAAGACUCCAAAGUCAAGGCCAUCUUUUUUUUUUCCUUUAAAGCUUUCCAAUUGUGUUGUGGAAAUGGAGGAAUCUCAAAGGUAUUUAUAAAAUAAAGAGGAAAAAAAGAAAGAGAGAAUAACAACCAAUUUUAUUGGCCCAUUCUCUGACAAUAUAUAAAAAAAAAAUGGCUUUAUUAAACAAGAAGAUGAUGUCUACUUGUGGUUGGUUUUAUAAGAUAUUUUUUUGGAUUAAAGAAUUUUGAGUGUUUUACCUUUCCCAAAAGUCUAGUUCAACUUGGUAUGUUAGGUAUUCCAGUUGGACUAUUUCACAAGCAAUACUGCCCCACCCUACGGUGGAUAAGAAAUAGGUUAUUCAUGUGAAUACGAUGUUUGGUUAACAAUUUAGAAACUCGUUAUGAAUUGUAUAAUGCACGAUAUAAAAUGAAAUAACUCAUACUUAUAUAACUAAUCUUUGCCUAAUGAAUACCCGUAUAUACAUAAAUUCUUUCACAACUAAUCUCUAUAUUACUAAUACUUGCAUAAUUUUAACUAGCUACCAAAUGACUCUAAAAAAAUUCUUUAUAUAAUAAAAAUCUUAUAAGUUAAAUAUAUAUAUUUUUUUUAUAGAAAUUUUGAAGUCUCCAUGUCAGAUUGCUUGAGGAAACAGACUUUACAUGUGCAACCACAGUCGAUAUUCAUAUUUAAUUUAAUUGCAGUAACAAGCAGGAUAAACAAUUUGAGAAAGUAAAUGAAACGUAAAAAUUAAUUUGAAAAUUGGAGUGAUAUUGUAUUGUUGAAGUAUAAUUAUAUUAUUCCAAAUCAAUCAAUAUAGUGAAAUUGCAAGGGAUAACAUUAGUUUUGGACCUAUAUGUAAUUGUGAUGUGACAAAAUCAUAAUAGAAUUUGAUUAAGUCACGUUUCAUCCGAAGCCAGUGAUAUUACAAAGUAAAAUUCAAACUAAUUUUUUGUUUAGAUUUUCUUUUUGUUUAGUCAGGUGUACAAUUUUCCUCCACAAAGUGUGCAAAAAACUACUUCUGUCGUGUCAAAUUAAUUGUCAUAUUUCGUUAAAUUUCUAUCAAUAAUUUAAAAUGUUAUUUUUCAUCAAAUUAUCGCCCUUACUUUUCAUCUCUUUUUCUACUAGUAAUGUUUUUUUUCUUUUCCUCUUUCUUUUGAUUGAUUGAGAAAGAUCUAAAUAAAUAUCAUAUCUUUCGAAAAUUAUACGUAAUUUUGUUUUCUCAAACGCAUCUUGUAUUCUUGUUUAUUUUCUAUAUAAUAAAUAAUGAUAGUGAGUAGAAAUAACUCUUUUAAGUUUAUAGAAGGUGAACACCUUUUGUCUAAUUUAACUAUAGAUUCUAUAAAGAGCUAAAUCUUUUUGUAGGAAAACUUAUUUAUAGAGGUGUUGCAUCGGAUGUUCCCCUUUCUUUAAAAAGAAAAAUUAGGGCUAGGAAGGAAAAAUAAGGAGGUGAUUAUAAGGUAGAGAAUCGUACACUCAUCAAUAAGAUAAAUUUAUGUAACUAAUCAACUGAGAUAUUAAAAUUCUCCUUAUUAAAUGUUACUCAAUAAAGGAACAAUUAUGUUUUUUGAAUUUCUCACAAGAUAGACAAAUAUCCACAUUAUUGAGGCCUGACUUAAUCUAGAUUCAAGUAAUUUAUAGUGGAAACUUUGAAUUGUACAUCUAAUUAAAUCCACAAGAUGAAAAUGCAAUUUAGGUGUCAUUUGGUAAAAUACAUUAGAAAAAAUAAUGCAUGCAUUAACAAUAUGUGUAUUAUUAGUAUCAUGUUUCAUAGUACAUUUUUCCACCCUAUGUAUAACUAAUUCAAUACUUUAUUUGUCUCUCAAAACUUUUUCCAUGUCCUUUCUACCAUGUUUGUGGAUGGUAUUUUUGUACACAAAUAAUUUAUUUUAGAAAGUAUACAAUGCAUGUUAUUUUAAAUGCACCAAAAAUAAUCUUAUCAUAACCAAUACAAUCAUAACUAAUACUAUCAUUAGUAAUGUAAACAUUACUAAUACAUCAUAUUCAACUUUAUUCUUAUACACAUUACCAAAGGACUCCAUAAAUUGCAUAGAUUUGGUAGUAGUAUUAUUUAGGUGUCCUGUUGAUGAAGUAGCAUUUUACAUUGAUACAUUAAGGAAAUCAUCAUCAAGUUCCACAUUUAGAUUUCUUGCUGAAGGCAAUCCUGCAACUGUAUUAGAUUCAAUGUCACACUCAUUUGUUCCUCUUCUGAUCUUGAAGUACCCAUCCUGGCAUACACACACAAACACACUAAGGCAAAAAACUUAUAGAAAUAUAAUACUACUAACUUUUUCGCUCAUGUAAAUUGGGAGUUGAUUUCUCAUAUAGUCACUCAACUAGCCACUAUUAUCUCAAGAAGUCGCUUUCAUAUGAGAUAAUAAGUAUUAGUUGAGUGACCAUCUGAG